RNAcentral lists this long non-coding RNA (102084 nucleotides) under Citrus x clementina. RNAcentral describes it as "Citrus clementina (C. clementina) long non-coding RNA (CCLE_LNC004223)". The record is from RNAcentral. Lineage: Eukaryota; Viridiplantae; Streptophyta; Magnoliopsida; Sapindales; Rutaceae.
GACCUGAUUUAAGACCCACUGGUUCUGAAUUCCACUCAAUGCUUGUUAUACAUUCGCUUAAGCAUGGAGAGGAAGCUGAUGAUGAUUCUGUUGAAGGUUCUCAUACGCUAACUGCCAAUAAUUUUGAUAGCUAUUCACAUGAGUAAGUGAGCCUUCUCUGAACCACAACUUAUAAUUUUUAUUUUCAAUUCUGUGAUCACAAUAUUUCUCUGCUAUGUGGCAAUUGCAAUGAUGCCUUCUUUGAUUUGUAUUAUAUUUCCUUUCCAGGUAUCCUAUUUUAGCUGUCAAUUUUUAUGAUCCAUGGUGCUACUGGAGUAAAUGCCUGGUAUUUUUAUUUUCACCUUUUGUUUCUCAAAUUUUGUCUUGUUGCUUUUUGAUUAUUGUUGUCUAGAUUUACCUUAUUGGAUCUAUUCUUUCUCAUGUUUGUGUUGAUGUAAUUGCCAGAUAUAAUAUUUUAAAUUUAUUCACUUGGAUGUCAUGUUUGUGCCUGCUCAUAUGCACACAUAUUAAGUUGAUUAACUCCAUUGCUCUGUGCGUCCACUGACAGUUGCACACAAAUUCCUUCAUUACUUUGGUUAACUCCAUUGGUCUCUGUGUUUGUGUUGAACUUUCCAUGCCUGUUAUACAACCAAGCAUGGGUUUUCUUUUGUUUGUUUGACUGUAUUGUUAGACUUCCCCUCAUGAUGUUGUUAAUAAUUUCUCCUCUUUCUCUUGGACAACGGUUAAAAUAAUUUUUAUUGUUAGUAUAAUAUGCUUGUCUUGCAUGCAUUUAUAUGCCAUUAGGAAACUAUGCAGAUUGCAGCAUGUAAAUUUUAUCAGUUUUUUUAUUGUGCAUGUCUUGAAUGGUGCAGGAUGACUUACAAUAAACCAAAGCAUGUAUAUGGGUCAAAACUAAAUAAUUAGAGCAAAUGUCAAAUUGGUACAUGGAAACAAUAAUAGAAGACUUCAUUUCGAUUACCGAAAGAAAGAAUCCGCGAAGCAAUAAACAUGUGUUGGAAGAUUGUGCUGUUACUAUAUAUCAGAUUAUAAAUUAUUUGUAGUUGGUAAACAAUGUAAUAAGUUUCAAACAAUGUAAUAAUUUUUAAAUUGUUCAUUGCAAUGUAAUAGUUUUCAUAUGGAUGAAUGUAAAUUUCAAUUCAAAUGCCAAUUGCAAAUUUUCAAUUUCUAUUAUAUGGAUUUCUAUUUUUUUUUUUAAUUUUUCUCAAAUAAACAUUGAUACCAAAUUAUCGUUAUAUUUAUUAUGCUUUUGUAUCAUUAUUUGUUUGAUACCAUAGUCUCAUUAUAUAUGUGAUGUUCAAGCAUCAAUAUUUUUUUGGUACUAUAGUGACAUAGAUUCGCUGAUACAAAAAACUUGUGUCAGUAAAUUUCUUGCACCGUAUUCAGUGACACUAAACUCGGUGUCAGUAAAACAAGCUCUUGAUAUCAAAAUAGUAUCAAAGAAGGCCAUUUUUUUACUAGUGUAAGAGACAUCGAUUCAGACAACAUAGCAAUGAAGUAAUGUAGGAAGUAUAUUAGAUAAAAUAAAUUAGAAUUUAUUAGGAAUUAUAAUAUUUGGGUAUUUAGUAUUUUAUUAGAAUUUAUCUUAUUUUUUAAACUUAUUCGAUCAUGUUUAGAAUUCUAAUCUAAUUAAGAUUUUAGAUUAUUUAUCUUAUUUAAGAAGGAUUAAGAUUAAGUUGGCUACUUAGUAUAUAUAGGCUUGUUACUGAUAGUUCUUUAUAACAUACAUAAGCUUCUCAUCAAUAAUAUUUAAUAUUUCUUAAUUGAGAUACUUUCUCCUUCGUGAGAGCAUUUUUUCUUGAAUUUUCAAGAACGUAUGUUAUAAUGAAAUUUAGUAUCGCUUAUGCGAUGCGUCAAGUGGUAUCAGAGCCUUUCUUUGUAUUAGGCAGAGCUUUCCUGACCAUCAACCAUUCCCCAUACACAAAUCCUCCCUCCAUCAUCCAUUACUUUCAUUAAAAAAAAAAAAAAAGAAGAAGAAGAAGAAAAAGUCAGAAAAAUAGCAAAACCCGAAGCCACCUCACGUCCACCAUCUCCAGCUGCUGCCUCUGUCAUUCUUCACCUUUUUCAUGCUUUAAUAAAAUUUAACAUAAUGCUCACUAUUUUGUAUAUUAUUAAGGACCAUUGUAUGAUUAAUCAUGAAGUGUAUAUUAUUUUUCACAUUAAUUUAGCACAACCUAUACCAUGAAAUUACGGAUUAUAUUACAGUGAAUACUUUUAUAUGGUAGGAAUAUAAAUUUAAGUUUUACAAGCCUAUUUUCAUUUAAUUUUCCAAUAUCACUUUGUUGAUUUCGUAAAGUUGAAAUUAACAUACAUUCUUAAUUAGUUAUAUAGUUUAUGAAUCAUGAAAGAUUUUUGUUGUUGAUAUUCAUUGAUUGUGGUUACAAAAUUUUAUGUCACUAAGAGGCUGAUUGCAUUUAUGAUGGUAAUUAAUAUAAUAAGUAAAUAUUACCUCCAAUAAUAUUCAUGAAAUAUUACCUAUUUAUUUUAUAUUCUCGUUAUAAAAGCAUGGUUUUGGAUAUUUUAACUUAAAUUUUGACACAAAAAAUGAGCCAUUAAUCUCUCACAAUCUAAUGGUUGAUAUUAAAAGUCAAUGUAAAAUUUUAAAUCAUCCACCAUAGUAACUGAAUUGUGUGAAAUCAAUAAUUUCAAUUUUGUAUUAAAAAUUUAAGAUAAAAUAACUUAAAAGCAAAAGGAUACCUAAACGCCCUUUUGGCUAUAAUACCCUACAUAGGUAGUAACUUUUAAAAAAAUUAACGUUAAAAUAUUUUUAAUAAACACAAAUAUACUUUAAAUAGUUUAUUUUGUCUAAUAGACUAAAAAUAAUGGAAUAUUUGUAAUAUGUAUAAAAUAAUUUUUAAAAUGUAAAUUAUAAUAUUAUUUUAAUAAUAUCUUUUUAUCUAUUAUAUAAUUUUUAAAUAAAUAUUUGGGUUAAAUAGAUUUUACAACUAAUAAAAAAAUCUCAUGUAUUGAUAAUAUUAAAAUUAUUUUAUAUAAAUUUAAAAUAAUUCGAAUCUUUAUAUAUUUAUUUUAAUAUUAUGUUUAUAUCCAUUAUAAAAUUUAGUUUAAUCUAAUAUAAUACUGUAAAGUAUUAAAAUAUUUUUUGAAGAUUAAAAUUAUUUUAAUAUACAUAUGUUUAUUUUAUUUUUUUCCUUUCGGAAGCGAAAGCAAGUCCAUGCCCGACAACUUGGGAGGAGAGGCUAAAGGCAAAAACUGGAACAUUUUUUUUUUAUGUGAUAAUUUCUUCUUUCUAUUAUAUAAUUUCUUUUCAAAGAAUUUGUUAUUUUGUUGCUUGUUUAAUGGUAAUUCGGCAAUUUUUUUUGAAAAAACAGAGUAUCAAUGACUCUUAGGUCUCAAAAGUGAUAAGCUAUCCGCAUAUUUUAAUAUUUAACACACAACAUUAAAUAAUUAGUAAUUCUGGUCUCGAGCCCCUUCAAGUAUACCAAACAACUCGCGCUCAUCGCAUCUAUGUACGGCAUCUUUUCCAGAAAAAACAGAGUAAUAAAACAAAGCAGAGUAUUUACUUCGGUCCUUUACUUUCCUUAAUUUUCACCUCAUGAGAAAUCAAAUCUCAAAAUUCAAAGCUUCGAUUUGAUGGGCCAAGAAUGCAAUUUUGAUUCAUGGAAGGCACAUUCUGAUUCUGUCCAACUUUUUUAACCCAAGCCAGGCAUUUUCUGGUAAUUUAACAGGGAAAUAAGCAGCAAGAACUGAUACAAUAAACAAAUACAAAGAAAGUAAAUGAAAUGCGAUCUGCAGAGAAAAUAAAAUUGAAACUGAGAUGCGCACUUACACUGUUACACGUAGACUCAGAGAAAAUAAUAUUCACUAGGCUGUGCCCUUCAUUCGAGUUGUUUAAAUCUUUUAGGUUGUGGUUCCUCAUCAUCAUUACAGCAGCCACUUCCACUAGCUUCAGCCGCCCCAACAUAUUCUUCAAGACUUCGCUUUAGAAAGCUUCGCUCAGACGACGUUGUUGAUCCUGCAUCAUCCCGGCGGCAACUUCCACUGCCUUCUGCCCUGUCUAAGUCAUCAUUACGGCUAUGCGUAAAGGAUGUUGAUCCUGAACAAUCGUGACCAAAUUCGUUCAAAUUCCAAACCGGAUCAGUUGUUUGGUUGAACUUAUCCCCUUGAUGCACAUAUAUUGGAUGGACACCACACCUCUUCAACUCCAAUCCUGACGGCGAAGAAAAUUCCACUUCACUAAUAUCUUCCCUAUUCUGGUAGUAUAGGAAAAGAUGGUCUGACAUAGCCUGACCGAAUUGCUUUCUCAAAUAAAUGCUACACAUACCCGAGGAGGUAGGCUUUCUAUCUAUGGACAGCUCAUGUACGGGAAGCCCUUGUAUAUAAUAAGGAAGUGAAUAUUUAGGGACAUGAAAAACACAGCACAUAGCAUAUCCCACAAGCUUACUAUUCUUAUACGUCUUUGGAGGCGUGCUUAUUGUUAUUGAAGAACCCUCAUUAUUCUGAUACUCGAACCACUCUGGGAUUUCACUUCCAGGAACAAUUAUGUAACAAUAUCUCAUAUAGUCCUGAAACCUCACAAAUAUAUAUAUAUAUAUUAGAAAGCCAUACCAAUGCAUAAUUUUUAGGCAUAAUUUUAGCAACAGGUGAGAGACAGUGUAAGAAACUGACAUUAGUCUGUUUAAUGUACUUGUCCGACAGUGACAUAUUCUGCAACCCCACGGAAAAAAAAAGUGAGUAAAUAAAUAAAAUAAAAAGACAUAACAUGUAUUGCAUCAGUUUUAGGCAUAAUGUUAGCACAGGUGAGAGUGAGAGACUGACCUCAGAAUUUUUAAUGUACUCUUUCAGCAGUGAAAGCGCCAAAUCAUAGUUGCCAGCCAAUUUCAAGCAAUCCACACAAGGAAGGUGUAAGUACGGGAGUUGAUGCUCGUUUAAAUUUAAUACAUCUGAUAAUGUCUUCAACGAAACACAACCGUCUAACGAAAUCCAAUGUAUACUGGCUGGAAGUCGAGGCAGAUUUUGAAGCAUUUUGCAUUCCUCUAAAUCAAUACUCGAAAGUUUAGAAAGAUGGUAAAUGCUUGCCGGCAGCGUAAAAAAAUUGUUUCCACUCAGAUGUAACUCUUCUAAUGAGCAUAAGUCGCCAAUACUACUUGGGAUUGCUCCUUCCCCUAGAUCACAGUCACUGAUAUCCAAUUUCGUUAAACUACACAAACCUGACAGAGAAGACGACAAACUCAAAGCCACCGGAUCUGAACUCCAUCGCAUCAAAUUGAUAGGGAAGCGCAGAAACCAUGAUGCAGAUGAUGGUGAUCCUUUGCACCCAUGAAAAGAUAGUUCUUUAAGAUUCUUCAUAAGAAAAAUUGACGAUUGAGGUUGCCUUAUAGCUGUACCACUUAUAUCAAGGAUUUCCAAACUUUCUACUUGCCCAAUCGUCUCAGGCACAUUUUCAAGUUUGAAGCAGCCUGAGAGAUUCAAAGUUUUGAGGGAUUUCAAACCAUUUAUACUGCUAGGAAGUCUCACGAGACUUCUGCAGUCAUUCAAAUUUAACAAUUCAAGUCUGGUCAAAAGUUCUAUUGAUGAUGGUACUUCUGCAAUAGAAGUUCCAUCUAAAAAGAGCUCUGACAGAUCUUCCAUACUUAUCACACUCUCUGGAAAUUUCACUAUUUUCGAGCAACCAGAGAGCGUUAGAGUUCUUAGACAUUUUAAGCUGCUUGCAGUAAUUGGAAGAGUCUCGAGAUUUCUGCAAUCCUUCAAAUUCAACAAGACAAGUUUGAAUAGAAGCUUAAUAGAUAAAGGUAGUUUUUUGAUAUCAGUUUCAUCCAAAAGAAGUUCCCGUAGACACUCCAUACUUCCCACAACGCGUGGAAGUUUCCUCAAUUUCAAGCAACCAGAAAGAACAAGUGUUUUAAGCGAUUUCAUAAAUAUCUCACCCGGAAGAGUUGUAAGACUUGUACAACCUUUCAAAUUCAACAAGAUCAGCUUAUUGUGACGUAGUAAAGACUGGUGAAUUUCACGCAACCUUGUACAUCCUUCAAGAUCCAACUCCUCUAAGUUUGGGACCUUUGUGAAGUCUGGUGUCUUAAUCAGAUUCUCUGAAUGGCUGAGUUUCAUGAGUCUCAACAUGUUUAAAGGCUGUUGAAAACAAAAAAGGAGCUAAAAUGAUAUUUCUUAAUUCAUAUACUACUAUAAUAAUAAAACUGUUAUCAACAAUUAUUCUCUCAAAAAUCUAAAUUUGUGACAAAAAAAAAUUGAACUUACUUUGAAUCCUUUCCAUAAUUCUUCAAUGCGGCUGUAACACAUUUUAAAUCCAACAAUUUCAUCCAAUUGCAAAUUUGAUGGCAAAGAUUUCAAAGGAUACCGACGCCAAUCAAGUAAUCGCAACCUGUUAGAGAGAUAUUCUAGGCCUCUAGGAAGUUGCACAUUACUGAUUUUGAGCAGUCUUAGGUUGGUCAUCUGCGAAAAUGCUUUAGCACUUGCACUUAAGUAAACCUCAUUUUCAGGAAAGUAGGCAUUAACUAUUAUUCCUUCCACUACUUCACCUCCCUAAAAAUUAUAAGCAAACAAUAAGUAGAUAAAACAAUAAUGUAAAGAUGUUGAAAAUUCGUCAGAGAUAUAAUUGGGAAAAAUAAAGUAGCAACCAUCAACAAGUUUUCCAUUUAAUAAUUCACUUACCGUAUUGUUUGUCAACACCUGGCGCACUUCUUCUUCCCUCCAUAUUCUGCUACGUUUCCCAGGUUCUUCGGGGGAUUGUCUCGUAACAAUCAGUUGUCCCAAUUCCUGUAACAAAUCAUGCAUCCCCAGUGUGUUGUUGUCAUCAACAGUUAAUAGAGACUUUUCGAUAAGAACUUCUAUUCCAAUGACUGGGGAAAAACCACAUCCCUCUAGAAUUUUUGUUACACCAUCUCUAUUCUUCCAUUUAAAGAAACAUGCAACAUCGAGAAAUAUUUUCUUCUCUGAAUCUUGUAGUCCUUCAAAACUUAUUUGAAGUAUACUCAUAAUCUUAUUUGAAGGAUCUUUUUUUAGUCUUUCUAGGGCACUUCUCCAUAGAUCUGCAGAUCUACCAAUUAGAAAGGAUCCCAAAACUUUUAGAGCUAAUGGAAGACCACCAGCAUACUCCAGAACACGUUUAGACAGCUCCACAUAUUCUCCCAUAGGCUGAUGGCUUUUAAAAGCUUUGGUACUAAAGAAUUGAAGAGCUUCAUCGUUAUUUAGUACAUCAAGGUCAAGAAUAUGCUCUUCAUCCACUUCAUGUGCCACCAACAACUGUCUAUCUCUCGUUGUUAUUAGAAUCCUGCUGCCUGGACCGAACCAAUCACGCCUUCCAACUAACCUUUGUAAUUGUUCAACAUCAGCCACAUCAUCGAUUAUGAGAAGAACUUUUUUCCGUUGCAGCCUACUUCCAAUUAUGUUAAUACCAUCGUAGACAUUCUGUAUGCUAUAAUCUGAAAGCUUCAGUAAAUCAGAAAGAAGCUGCUUUUGUAAAGAGAUUUCAUUGCCUUCUUUUUCAGAUUUUUCUCUAACAUCGGCAAGAAAACUACUCCCAUCAAACUCAUGAGACAUCAAGUCAUAAAAAACCUUUGCAAGAGUUGUCUUUCCUAGACCUCCCAUGCCCCAUAUCCCGAUCAUACGAACAUCAUUAGACCCCAUACCCAUAAGAAACCUCAGUUGCUCCAAGCGUGAUUCCAUUCCUACUAGCUCCUUAAGAAUCUCUGGUUCUAAACGAAUUUUACGAAAUAUGACAUUGGCAAUUUCCUCAAUAAAUUCUGACUCAUUGCUGCAGAUUGAAAACAACAAGAAAAGAUUGGCGUUGUUAAAUUAAAGUUAGUAUGAACGUAGUAGCAAAUCAAUUCCAUAUUGUGAAUAAAAUCCAAACUAUGCAAUAUUCAUUUCAUCAAAUUGAAGCCAUAUAAUUAAAUAAUAUGUUAUUAUUACAUCAGUCAACAACAAUUGGAAUGAGAAAUUCAAGCCCAACCCAAUAAAAAUUGGAUUGGGUUGCAUUGUGAUUGGUAAUUUCAAAAUUUAUAUAUUAAAAUUUAUAUAUUGUUUCUUUCUACAACAGGAUCAGUUAGUUGAAAAGACAAUUUAAAUCAAUUAGAUUAGCUAAAUAUGUAAUGAUAUUGAUAUCAUUCGUAUUGAGAUUAUUGCCAUUGUUAUUAUUAGUAUUUUGCAAAUCUAGGUCAAGAGUCAAUUCAUAGAAGAAAAUUAUAUUAAAAUAAAUAGCAAAUGACAAAACAGAGCAGUUUGCAAGCAAGGACGCGGAUAGAUUAAUCUAGGAAAUAAAUUGACUAAAAUUAUAAUCACAAGCUUAAAUCAUUAUAUUGAGAUGCCUAAGCUUGGGCAAUAAUCUAGGAAUAAAGUUUUAUUUUACUUUUUUUUUUUUUUGCAAAACUGAUAGCACAAAGCAUCGCAGCAUAAAAACAUUUAGUCAUCAAAAGUUCAAAAUACAAUAAUUCAACGUAUCAAUGUCCAUAUCUCUUUGUUUGCAGAUAUUAAUUCAUUUAUAAAUUUUAGAUUAUUCUCCUCAUGAUUUGAAUAUCUUCAAAUCACUCCCUUUUGAACACCUCAAUUACCCUAUUUUUGUUCAAAAGAGAAGGAAAAAUGGGGUGAGUUGAUGAAAUAUUUUUUUAUUCUUAACAAAAAUGGGAGGUAAAUUGAGAUUUUCAAAAUUAAAGGUAUAAUUUAAAGAUAUUCAAUUCAUGGGAGGAACCCUCUUCCUACACAUCAUAUGAUAUAUAUAUGUAUUAAAUAGAAGUUGUUUAAUUGAAAACAGUGUUGAAUGAAAAUCUGUUUUGUAGUUACUAAUCUUGCAAAACAAACAAAAUUAAUAGUUGAGAAAAAGAAUGAUUACCUAUCCUUAAAUUCCCAACCUGAUAUAUUGGCCACCACCUUUAAAGCGUGUCUCCACUUUUGCACUUUUUCUAUAUUAUCCUUGAAAAAUUCUUCAUGUUUAGCAAAAGCUUCUCCGAAACAUGUUGUUUGUUUUCUUACAACAGUUGGUUCCACUUCAUAAAAAAUUGGAAAAAUUUGAUCCUCUCUAUUUUUGCAUUCAACAAUCUUAAGAAGUUCAUCCAAGCACCAAGUGGAAGAAGCGUAAUUUUUUGAGAGAACAAUAAUUGAAAUUCUUGAUUCUUCAAUUGCUUUAAGGAGAUUUGGUGAAAUGGAUCCUCCUUUCUCAAGUUGUUUGUCAUCCCUGAAUACAUAAAUUCCUUUAUUGUUCAAAGCAGUGUAGAGAUGACCUAUGAACCCUUUACGGGUGUCUUCUCCUCUAAAGGUUAAGAAGGCAUCGUAUUCCCCAUGAGAGACAUUUUGGAAGCUCGUGGAAGCCAUUAUAUUAAUUUGUUCCUGAAAAUUUAGAAUAAAUCAAGUGAAAUCCAGUGAGCGUAAAAUACCAUGCAAACAAUAAGAUUCAUUCAAGAUUAUGGGCAGCACAAAAAUGAAAAUGUUAUAGAUUAUAUGUAAAUUCUACUUUUUUUAACCACCUAAAUGGUAACUCGAAUGAAUUGUGAUUGUAACUAGUAUUGCGUGACCAGUAUUGUAUAAGCAUUAAUCCGUGCACAGUAAUUUUAGGAGUAAUUAAUUAGAAAAAUUAAUAUAUCUAUUGUUUUAAUUUGCUUAUAGAUCUAAAUUAUUUACGCAUGAUAAAUCCCCAAAUGUAAUAGAAAUUUUUUCUAGAUGCUAAUCGGGGAUGCGCACACCGAUCUCUACUUAAGCAAAUCUUGAUUAGAGCCUCUAAAAGAAGGCAAAGAGUUUGUACAAAAUUAACAUUCAAAGAUUUCUUUCAAUUUUUUCAUUUUUUUCUUUUUCUGUACACUAAGAUGUGCAAAUUAAUUCUGAAAAUAAAAGAGAGAUUUAUGAGAUAGAACUUACAGCUUUUGAGUGUAUUGAAGGAAGCCACUUAAAUGAACUCCAAUGCAGUAUGAUUAUUAUAAUUACCACAAACUCCAAUGCAGUAUUUGUUUCAAAGAAUUUAUUCAUGCAAAUAUCUUUUGGGAAAAAAAAUAUUAAGCCAUUAGGAGUUGUGUGGUUGUACUAAUGUAUGAUUUUCCAAAAGCAAGUCUUGGUAAGAAAGUGACUUUCUUAAUAAUCAAUAAAUAUUGUCACUGUUUACUCACAUGAUGAAGUUAGCAUCGAACUUCCUGGAAGCUUCAAGAAUCUAAACGAAAAUUAUCAGGCUUUUCAAUUGAAUACGCGUCGUCCCCAUUCUGCCCAUUAGCCGUGUUGAAGCCAUUAAAAUGGAUUGGAAUCCAACGGUUGAUAUUAGUAAUUAAUUAAAAAUAGUUAAAAUUACCAGCAGUCUAUCGGAAUGGUAAACAUAGUGACCUUUAUUAGUAAAAUUUUAACGGAGUCCAAAUAGGUAGGGUUGGACAAACUCAAUCCAACCCAAUCUAAUCAAAUUAGAUUUAGAUGGAUUGAUUAGAUUAUAAUGGGCUAACUGACUCAAUUUUUUUUUUUUUCAAUUUGAUUAAUGAUUGAGUUAGGCUGGAUUCAUUAUCAUAAACUCGAAUAAUUCAACCAAACCCAAAAACAACAAAAAUCAUAAAAAAAAUUAACGUUCGGCUAUUAACUAUUCAAUCUUAAACCCAAUUUUGAACCCUAAAAGAGAUCUUGUUCAGUCUCUCUCAUUUAAACAUGAUAUUAAUUGAAUUCUCUAGACUAAAAUUCAAAAGUCAAAUCAAACUUUGACUAAAACUAAGUUGAUAGAUAUUCAAACAUUAAGUUAUAUUGUUUUAUUGACAGAUAUUGGAUAUAAUAGAUAACAUUUAAUGAUAUGAUGAAGAAUUAAUAUGUUUUUUUUACUAUUUGAAUGUGAUUUUAAGUACCAAAUAGCUUUUUUUCUUUUAACUUUGAUGUUUGAACUUUUUUCAUUUUUAAUUUUAAUCAAUUCGUUUGACCCAGUCCAAUGAUUUAAGGAUAAGAUUGGGUUGUCGUCAUAUUUAUUUGGUUGGGGAACUAAUCAAUAGUGGGUUGGGUUGGAUGCCCACUAAAGAGNNNNNNNNNNNNNNNNNNNNNNNNNNNNNNNNNNNNNNNNNNNNNNNNNNNNNNNNNNNNNNNNNNNNNNNNNNNNNNNNNNNNNNNNNNNNNNNNNNNNAAAUUAAAAAAUAAUAAUAAAUUAUAAUUUCUUCCACCAAUAUCAAUAAUUAAAUAAGAUUUAAUAUUAUAUCAACAAAAUAUGUUCAACUUAUGUUUAAUAAACUCCUAUUAAUUUUCACAAUUAUCCGUAAUUGUUGUGGGAUUUACUUUUAUCGUGUUUAGAACAAAAGAAAAAUUAAAUUUCUUUAUCAUAGAAAUAUGCAAAAUCCAUACACUGAAAAAAAAAAAAAGGUAUGCGAAACUGUAAUUACAAUUUAGAAGCUUCCAGUAAGAAUUGAUUCAACUUAUAAAAUCUGUGUUGUUUAUAAUUAAUAUAUAUACACCCUGAUCAACAAAUAUGGUAAAAUAUUAUUUAUCGAGAUCUAAAUUAAAAAAAUCUACAAACCUAAAGAUUCAUCGAGACUUACGAGAUUCAAGGAGAUAAAAUUAUUAAUGAUUAGUGUUAAAAAAGAGAAAAUAGAGAGAAAGAGAAAAAUAAUGUAAUAUAAUUACUACGAUAAUUUCUUUUAACAUGAAAUUAUCGAACAACAAAUUAAUAAUCUUCUUCUUAACUAAACAAACUAAUUAAAAGCCUCUCAUUUACUUCCAAAAUAUAAUUAAAAAAGUUUGUCAAAUGCUGAUUGGAGAGUGUGUUUGCCGACCUUUACUGAAGCAAAUCUUAAUUAGAGCCUCAAAGAGAAGCAAAUUAAAGGGUUGAGACAAGACAAAUUAAAUUACCAUUCAAAGCUUUCUUUCAAUUUUAUUUAUUUCCUGUUCUAAACAUCCAGGAUGUGCAAAUUAAUUCUGAGGAUAAAAGAGAAAUGUAUAAAAUAAAACUUACGGCUUUGAGUGUGUUGAACGAAGCCACCUAAUUGAUCUGCUCAACUCCAAUGAAGUGUUUUGAUUCAAAGGAAAGAAGGUUAAUCAGGCAAAUAUGCAAUUUCCAGCUCCCCAGAUUUAUUUGUACGUAUUCUAAAAGUAAGUCUUGGUCAUCUCAGAAAGUGGGUGGGAAAAAGCAAAAAAGGCCAAAGGAAUCUUUUUGACUACUUCAUAUACGUCUUGUGGGGUGGUUUUUUGUUUUUUGUUUUUGUUUUGGUUUGGGGAGAUAGGGGGGGGGUUCUCCGGGGAAUAAACCGGGUGUAUUUCGCAUGCCGCGUUAAAAGAUUGUAUUUGAGAUAAAAUAAAUCUUAAAGUUUUGAUUGCACAGGCAGCUACCUGUUGAAUUUCAAUGCAGUAUUGCUUCAAAGAAGCUAAGUUAAUCAGUGAAACAUAUUUGUGCAUAUGACGAUUAAAUAUGAAUUAUGUAGAUAAAACAUAAAACAUAUGAAUUUUAAAUUAAAACUUAUAAAUCAAUAUUAAAUAUAAAAUAAAACAUGGAUUGUGUAAUUAAAAUAUAAAACUUCUAAAAUAGAAGGUAAAAUAAGUAAAUUAAUUUAGAAGUGGUAAAUUAGUAAAUUAUGGGUACAUAAAAUAAAAAUUUAUAAAUAUAACAUAAAACUUGUAAACCAACAUUAUGUGUAAAAUAAAACAUAAGAUUUGUAAAUAGAAGGUAAAACAAGUUAAUUAAUAUAGGCAUGAUAAAUUGGUGUAUUAUUAUUAAACAAAACAAAAACUUACAAAUAUAACGUAAAGCUUACAAAUUAAUAUUAAAACAAAAACUGAGAAACAUAAUAUAAAACUUGUAAAUCAAUAAUAAGUUUAAAAUAAAACAUAAAUUAAGCAAAUGAAACAUGAGACUUGUAAACAGAAGGUAAAAUAAGUAAACUAACAAUAUAGGAGUGGUAAAUUGAUGUAUUAUUGGUAAACAAACAAAAACUUAUAGAUGUAACAUAAAAUUUUUAAAUUAGCAUAAAGUGUAAAAAUAAAAUAUAAAUUAUGUAACUAAAACAUAAGAUUUAUAAGAGGAAAGUAAAAUAAGUAAAUUAAUAUAAGAAUUAUUAAAAAAAUAAAAAGUUACAGAUGUAAAUUAAAAAAGAAUUAUAAUAAUGAUUCCCUUAUAUAUUUACUAAUUUUGUCUCUAAAUUGAAUAAUGAUAGUUUUGGGCUUAUGUAAUACAUGUGAUGAUAUAUUUAAAAUUUUAUUAAGAAUAAAACUCUUUUUAUAUUUUUUUAAAGUUGUUUUGUAAGAUAAGGUAAUUUUGCAUCAUUCUAAACCUCCUCGGCAAUAACUCAACGGUAUAAGAAGCAAAGCUUGAAACUAUAUAAAGUAUGCAUAAAACUGAAAAUUAAAUCAAUUUUAUUGAUAUAUCAUAUAUGUCUAGUACUAUAAAAAUAACUUUUAUUUUGUUUUGGCUUGAUCUACAUUAAGAAAAAUAAUUUUGCUUAAUUAACCGGUGUAGUAAGCAAAUAUGAUGAUUAAAAAUGAAAAAAAUUAUAAAUGUCUUAGGAUAAAUAUAGAAUUCAUGGUAUUCAUUAAAAUUUAUUCUAAAUUUGUUUUAAUAUAAUUUUUUCAUUUUCAAUUAAUAAGUGAUUUUUUUGCUUAAUAAGUGAUUUUUGCUUAAUUAAAAUAAAUAAAUCAACUAUUUUCUAGUCUAGUUAAAGUUUGAUGUUGAUUUAUAAGUUUUAUAUUAUUUUUACAAGUAUUUUUUAUUUUUAAUUUUAAAACAUCAAUUUACCACUUUUGUAUUAAUUUAUUUAUUUUAGUUUUUUUAUUAGUUAUAUGUGUAAAUUAUAAAAAUUUAUAUUUAUUACGCAAUUAAUUACGAUGUGAUAGAUUUUUCCUUGUGCACCUAUCUUUCAAGGGAAGGCAGAGGACUUUUAUUGAAUCUGGAAAAUUAAACCGAUUACACGGUUUCCAGCUCCCAGUUGUGUUGAAUCUUGGUCAAAAAGUGUGACUCUUUAAGUAGCGUUUACUUUUUGGAUUGGAGUGGGAAUCCUAGGAUUCAGAGUGUUGAGUGGGAGUGUGAGUAGGUUGUUUACUUGCACUGGAAUAGAAGCAUGGAAUGGAGAUCAGAAUCCAAUUUAUGUGUUUAUUUUAUUUUGAAUUGAGAGUAAAUAGUUUCAAAUUAUAAUUUUAUCCUUAUUUAAAGAAUUAGAGUUUUUAAUUACAAAGUUAAUAAAAAAUAUAUUUAAUGAAUAAACAUUUAUUUUAUUAUAUUUGUAAAUUUAUAAUAAUUAUUAAUAUUCUUAAUUAUGAACAUCACAAUUUUUUAUUAAUUUUAACUUUAAUUAUAUAAAUUAAAAAUUGUUGAUAAGGGCAAUAUAAAUGAAAUAUUUUUACUAUUAACAUAGUAUGAAAUUAAUAUUUUCUUAGAAUAAACUAUUUAUUAGUAUUAAUUAUUCAUAUUAAAUAAAUAUAAUACUAUUAUUUUUAAAUAAAUAUAAUAAUAUUAUAUUUUCAAAUAAAGAUGGUAUAUAGUAAUAUUAUUAAUUCUCUAUUAAUAUAGUAUUAUUAUUUUUAAGUAAAUUAAACUUAGAAUCAAACCCAAUUAUUAUUUAGUUAAAUAUAAUAAUAAUAUUUAAAUAUUUAUUAAAUAUAAUUAUAGUAAAUUUAAUAAAAAGAAGGGUAAAUAUAAAAUGCAACAUUAUUUUAUUUUAUUUUAUUUUACAUAAUUAUAUUAAUUCAUUAUUUAUUAAUAUAAUAUUAUUUAGUACAAAAUUAAUAUUUUCUUAGAAUAAACUAUUUUUAUUAUUAAUUAUUAAUAUUAAAUAAAUAUAGUACUAUUAUUUUUAAAAUAAAUAUAAUAAUAUUAUAUUAUUAAAUAAAGAUAGCAUAUAGUAACUUUUAUUAAUUCUCUAUUAAUAUAAUAAUAUUAUUUUUAAGUAAUUUUAACUUAUAAUCAAUGUAAAUUAUUAUUUAGUUAAAUAUAAUAAUAUUAUUUAAAUAAAGAUAAUAUAAUUUAUUUUAUUUUUGGAGUGGGGAGUGGGAGUGGGACUUCCAUAGGGAGAGGUGGGAGUGGGAUUCCCAAUCCUUCCCCAAUUUGUUGAAGUAAACACUAGAAUUGGAGGAAUCCACACUCUUCACUCCCACUCCAAAAAGUAAACACAACCUUAGUCUUUACCCUACAAUAUGAAACUACCGUUCAAUCAAACUUUCUCUCAAUGAUAAGUCUCUUUAAUUGAAAUUACACGUCGUCGCCACUCGGCCUUGUUAGAGAGCAAUAAUGUCUUCAUCUGCUAAUGUUCUAAUAAUUUGUAAUAAUUAACUCAUCGACUAUGAUUCUGCAAAGAUAUUCAGCUGUAAUCACUUGCUUCGGAUUCGUGUAGGUUUAUCUUUAAUAUUAGUAUUAAGCCUUUGCUUAUCAGCUUAAGCUUUCCGAUUAUAUAUUGGCAAAUGGGAGCUUGUUGUGAGCUGAUAAUAAUUAAAGGAAGUUAAACCAUUUCCUUCGAGCCUCUGUAGUGUAGCCUCCACUAAACUUUGUUAUUUGCUGGUUCUGUUCUUAGUUGAACUUUGCUGACUUUGUAAUUUGUAUGCUUAUUGCUAAUGAUCCUUGCACUUUGCUGCUAGUGUAACGUUGAUUCCAUCGCUGCUGUUGCGCUUACUAGCUAGGAAUUCCACGAACAAAUUUCACAAAAGGUUUGUUGAAAUUGUUGAAAAGGCAAAGAAUGUCUUGCAAAUUUCAAAAGGCAAAGUUGGUGGGUUUGCCAAAUUAAAAAAAGCAAACUUGGUUGGCUUGCUAAUUUCAAAAGACAAAGUUAGGUGUUGAAAAGCUUGUGCAUGCAAUACAAGAUCCAGCUCAAUGUUUUGACCAAUUGAACCCAACUUGGAGCAUAAUGCACUCUAUAAAUAGAGAAGUAUUUUGCAAUUGUAAGCAUCCCAAUUUGAGAGAAGUAGAGAGCAAUUGCAACUGAGUUCUUUGAGAGAAUUUGAGAGAGCUUCCACUUGAGUGUUCUAGUGAGGUUCCAUUUGGGUGUAUUCGGGUUGUGGGUUUUGUGAGUUUUUCCCACUUCUAUAAAUUUCCAUUUGUUAGUAAAAUUAUCUUCUAGUUUUUUACCCGUGAACGUAGGCAUUACGCUGAACCACGUAAAUUAUUGUGUUAUAUUUUCUUUGCAUUUGUUUAUCACAACAUUUAUAUUUCUCUAGAAUUUGCAGUAUUAGUAAUUGCUCAACCCACGAUUCUGCAACAAUUAGUAUCAGAGCCGAUGGUUCGUACUUGGGGGGAUACGAUAUUUGAAAUAUAAGUGUGCAACCCAAGAGGGGGGGUGAAUUGGAAUUUUAAAAAUUAUCCUAGCAAAUCCACACAACAAGCUAUCUAAUGUCUUAAUAAAAAUUGAAAGCAAUAAGUUCAAUAAAAGCACAAUAAUUAAAUAGUAAGGGAGAAGAGAAACAAACACACGAAUUUUUACGUGGUUCGGCAAUCCCCGCCUACGUCCACGCCUCUAAGCGAUCCAAGCUUGAGGAUUUCACUAUCCAAGGUUUCAACCGAUUACAAUUGACUUUGAGGUGUCAAUAAACCUUUACAACAAAGAGAUUAUAUCCCAAUCUCUUCACUCAAGUGUCUCACACACUCAAACUCUUACAAUUGAGAUGAAUAAAUGAAGGUUACAAUAAAACUCACUCAAUGAGUAGAUAUUCAAAAAUGAAGAACAAGAAAUGAUUCAAUGUUUGUAUUUUGCAAGUUUUAAGGCUUAAGAUAUCACGUGUGCUUUUUGUUUUUGCUUAUUGGAGAAAUUCAAAAUGAGUUGGAUUUGAGUUCUUAUAGUUUGAGCUCAAAAAUUAGCCGUUACUCACAUUUUGGGCGUAUCCGGUUUGCCGUUUAUGGAAUCCGAUAAGCCGGAUUUAUGUUACCGUUUGAAUUUUGCCUAUCCGGCUUACUGGUUACGAAAUCCGGUAAGCCGUUUGCAUUCUGGAUGCUUACUGCCCCAUAUCCGAUUUUCCAGUUUUUAUAUCCGGUAAGUUGCUUGCUACAGUAACUUGGUACAGUGAAAUUUUUCCUAAAUUUUUAAUUUGACCCCCAAACUUUACAAAACUGUAGUAUGACCCAAAACGUUAUAAAAAUUUACAAAUAGGUCCAAUUUAAGAAUUUCUAAAUAAUGCUUCGUUAAUCCCAAAAUUUUUUGAAAUUAUGAUUUCGCCCAAACUUUGUGAAAUUAUAGAAUGGCCCAAAAUGUUAUAAAAGUUUGCAAAUAGAUCCAAUUUCAGAAUUUCUAAGUAAUGCUUCGUUAAUCCCAAAACUUUUUGAAAUUAUGAUUUUGCCCAAACUUUGUGAAAUUAUAGAAUGGCUCAAAAAUAUUUAAAUAGUUUCAAAUAGGUCCAAAUCCGAAAUUUAAAACAUUAUCAAAUAUUUUGAAAUUUUAGUCCAAAAUGCUUUAAUUCUAUAACAUCAUUUUCUUAUUAUAAAAGCACAAUUCAUAAAUCUUUGCUUAAUAAAUACAUGUGGUUUGUUAUCAUCAAAAUCAAUAUUUAUAACCAUAUAGGCUAACAAUCUCCCCCUUUUUGAUGAUGACAAAGCACAUUCAAAUUUAAUCUAGUUAUGAAAAGCUCCCCCUUAAUCAAUGCAAGUUAAAAAAUGAUUUGAAAAUUAUUUAACAAAAACUCCCCCUGCAUACAUGCUCCCCCUAGAUACAUGCAUAUUUUCAUAACACAUUAAAUCAUUCUCCCCCUUCAUCAUCAAAAAGAAUAAAGGCUCCCCCUAUCAAUCAUCAAAAUCGCAACAUAAGCACAUUAGUAAAAAAAAAUAUCCAUAAGCAUAAGAAAAUCCAUAUAAUCCAUAAUGAUCAAUCAAAACAAAUCCAUAACAUCCAACAUAAAUAGUCACAACAAAUCCAUAUAAUCCAAAACAAAGACAUAAAUCGAAAAGCAUAAUAACCAUCCAUAGAUUCGAAAAUAAACAAACACACAAUGCAGUAAAUGAAAUGUAGAUGUGUCCAAGUACAAGCAUAAGAUACUACUCAGGUGGUGAGGAUGGAGGUGAUGGAGGUAGAAACGGAUAUGGAAUGCCGAAGUGCUCGAAGAGGAGGCACUGUCCAUGAAUAAGCUGCUGCUGCUGCUGCUGAAACUCAGUUUGCCGCUGCUGAAACUCAGUCUGCCGCACAGAGAGUGUCUACACUUCAUCCAUAAUCUGCUGAAGAGUGACCUCUUCAGAGGUAGGAGGAUGUGGAGGUGAUGAAGCGGAUGCAGAUGCACUAGGAGCUGAAGCAACCGUGGAAGAAACUCGGCGUCUACGCUCCCCUCGAAAUGAGAGUGAGAAAACUGGAAGUUGUUCAGCUGGAAUCACAGCAUUAAGUGGCCGAUCAUCACUUGGGGUUAGAAGGGUAAACUUGUUAUCGCUGUAUUUGACCCAAGUGUCAUCCUUCCACUCAAAGCCUAACCCAAUAAUAACCUCAUCCCCGAUACCCUUGGACGGCCUACAAGAUGGUUCUAGAAUCUGUACUUCAAAGAAUUUAAGAAUUCGGGUAAUGAAGUGACCAUAAGGAAGAGAGAGGGUAAUCAAGGCGGGAAUGCUCAACAUGGUGCGGAUGAUGGAAUAGCCCAAGUUAACCGGGCGACCUCUAAGAAUACAGUCAAUCAUGGCGACAUCCAUGUGAGAAACCUCAUCCAAAUGUCCUGAUCUAGGAAGUACAAUGGACUGGAUGAUACGAAGCAAAAUACGAGUUUGAAGACAAAGACACUGAGUACGAAAAUGAAUGGUACAAUCUUCAACAGAAAGAUCACUACGUCGACAAAUAUUACGAACGGCAUCAACAUGAACAUAGUCAUCAAUAUCAGGAGGUUUCCUAGGAGAAAAAAUGUCCAAGCCAUCAUCGGAAGAUCCUAGGAUGGAGUUCAACUCCGAAUCAUCAAAUUCAAUCAAAACUCCUUCAACUGUGGUGAUUACUUGAUUCUCUUUCUCCGCGGAACAAUCCAUAUUCGAGUAAAAUACUUUCACCAAGUCGGGAUACACAUUCUCCUCAAUCAACAAUGCAUCAAUCCAACCAACAUCUCCCAACAAUUGAUAUUUCUAUAACUAAUCUUGAGAGUAUGCAUAACAUCCGGUAAAACAAAGAAAGUGUUGAGUACCUCACGAGUCCGAAAGUUUUGUUGAAACCGUUUGAUCAAGUGUUGCUUGUUCUGAAAAUGAAUGGACUCAAAAGUGGAUUGAUUUGAGGUGCCCCUUGCUUCCCGUGGCCGGGUGGUUUGUUGAACCGGUUCUUUGCCUUUUCUUCGAACCGGCCGAGAGUUUGACAUUUUGAUUUUGAUGGAUGUGAAGAUAAAAACACCAAAGAGAAUGAAGAUGAUGAAGAUUGAAAGUGAUUUAGAGAAACAAAUUGGAUCAAAAACGGCUUGAGAGUGAGAAAUCUAGAGAGAGAAAAAUCAGCCAAAAACCUAGGUUGAAAUUCGGAUCUAGGGAUUUGGAGGUUGAAAAUGAGUUUUGAGUGUGAUUUUAGGUAUAAGAACGGAUGGGGAUUAGGAUCUAUGGAUUGAUUUGCAUCAAAACCGUGUAGAAAAGGUGGAUUUGUGAGUGAAAAAUGAGAGAGAAGGACCGGUUUUUAGAGAGCGAACAAGAACCGGAUUGCUGAAUGAAAAAGGAAGAAGAACAGUUGAAAUAGCUCCCGAAACUGGCUUGCCGGUUUGCACUAUCUGGCUAGCCGGUUGAGACCAGAAGCUUGAAACCCGUAAACGGCUUGCCGGUUUGACUUGAACUGGAAAUCCGGUUGUGACCAGCAAGUCCUUCACUCGAAUCCGGUUUUCCGGAUAACACGAACCAGCUUGCCGGUUGGAUCCAAAAGAUAGCAAGUGAGAAUCGGAUUGCCGGUUUUCCUGAACCGGUUGGCCGAAUGAGUCUAGAAUGCUGCCAAAGUGCAGCUCGAAUUCGGAUUUCCGGAUUGACAGAACCGGAAAUCUGGUUUUGUUCCAGCAAGCUUUCCUUGCGAAUCCAGCUUUCCGGUUUUGCUAACCGGUAGUCCGGUUUGAGGCAGAAAGUUACCUCUUCAAUUCGGUUUUUCAGAUUUUAAGAACCGGUUAUCCGGUUUUUAGGCAGAGAGAAGGCUUAGCAAAUCCGGUUUUCCGGAUUGAAAAUUCGGUUAUCCGAAUGUUGUCCCGAGAGCAACCAAAGUUAAUCCGGUUUUCCGGAUUGAAAAUCCGGUUAUCCGGAAUUUGUCCCAAGAGAGAUCAAUAAAAAAAGUGUUUUUCCGGAUGAAUGGAAAGGGAAUAUUUGCUAGCUCUUAUACUUGUACUACACACACCAUUUUAUUUCCGGCCUUAAAAAUUGAUUAAUUUUAAAUCAUUUUGAGAUUUAAAACUUUUCAAUAAGCCAUUUAAUGCAUAAAACACAAAAUCAUAAAAUCAUAAAUUUACAAGCAUAUCAAGUUAUUUAAUUCAUGAAACAUAAAUCCAUAUGAUAACAAAUAUAUUAAGCCAUGUAGUAAAACAUGAAUUAAGAUUCAACAUUCAUCAUUCCAAGCUCAUGUCUUAUCUUUAUAAAAUACUCUUCGCUAAGAGGUUUUGUAAAGAUAUCCGCAAGUUGAUUUUCAGUGGAAACAAAUUUAAUUACGACAUCUCCUUUUUGAACAUGAUCUCUAAGGAAAUGAUGUCUAAUUUCCAUAUGCUUAGUCCUAAAAUGUUGAAUAGGAUUCUUAGAAAGAUUUAUAGCACUAGUAUUGUCACAUAAGAUAGGAAUUUGAUCAAGCUUAAUACCAUAGUCUCUAAGGGUUUGUUUCAUCCAUAGAAUUUGUGCACAACAACUACCUGCGGCAAUAUAUUAUGCCUCGGUGGUUGAAAGCGCAACCGAGUUUUGUUUCUUACUAAACCAAGAGACAAGAGAAUGGCCUAGGAAGUGACAUGUUCCACUAGUACUUUUUCUAUCAACCUUAUACCCAGCAAAAUCGGCAUCCGAAUAACAAGUUAAAUCAAUAUGAGUUCCUCUAGGAUACCAAAGGCCAAGAUUAAUGGUGCCAAUUAAAUAUCGAAAAAUGCGUUUGACAGCAAGCAUGUAAGACUCUUUAGGACAAGAUUGAAAUCUAGCACACAAGCAUACACUAAACAUAAUAUCAGGCCUACUAGCAAUUAAGUAGAGUAAGGAUCCCAUCAUACCUCGAUAUGUCUUGAUAUCAACUUCCUUACCUUUCUCAUCUUUGUCCAGCUUUGUGGUAGUACUCAUAGGAGUGCUUUUUGCCGUUCCAUUAUCAUAGCCAAAUCUUUUGAGUAGAUCUUUCACGUACUUGGCUUGGUUUAUGAAAAUUCCUUCCUCAUUUUGUUUGAUUUGAAGUCCAAGGAAGUACUUCAACUCUCCCAUCAUGCUCAUCUCAAACUCUUGGCUCAUACAUGAUGAAAAAUCUUUACACAACAACUCAUUAGUAGAACCAAAAAUAAUAUCAUCAACAUAAAUUUGAACAAUAAGUAUGUCUUGGUUCUUAUGCUUAACAAAAAGAGUUGUGUCCGCUUUUCCUAUUGAAAAAUCGUUAUCCAACAAGAAAUUUUUAAGCCUAUCAUACCAAGCUCUAGGUGCUUGUUUUAAACCAUACAAAACCUUAGAUAACUUAUACACAUGAUUUGGAAAUUUUUCAUUUUCAAAACCAGGAGGUUGUUUCACAUAAACUUCCUCCAUAAUAUAUCCAUUUAAGAAAGCACUCUUGACAUCCAUUUGAUAUAAAAUAAAAUCCUUAUGACAUGCAUAUGCUAACAACAUCCUAAUGGAUUCUAACCUUGCUACAGGUGCAAAAGUUUCAUCAAAAUCAAUUCCUUCUUCUUGGUUGUAACCUUGAGCCACUAAUCUAGCUUUAUUUCUUACAACCACACCGAAUUCAUCCAUUUUGUUUCUAAAUACCCAUUUAGUACCUAUAAUGGAUUGAUGUUCCAGAUUAGGAACUAACUCCCACACAUUGUUUCUCUCAAAUUGAUUCAACUCCUCUUGCAUUGCCAUAAUCCAAGAUUCAUCAUUUUCCGCAUCCGCAAAAGAUUUUGGUUCAAUUUGAGAAAUAAAUGUAGCAUGCUCACAUGUGUUCCUAAGAGAUGAUCUAGUGGUAACACCUCGUGAAGGAUCUCCUAAAAUUACAUUCUUAGGGUGAGAGGAUACAUACCUCCACUCCUUGGGGAGUGUUUGAGAAGUACCUUCAUUUUGCUCUACAUUUGUUUCUUCAUGAUGUUCCUCUUGAAUUCCAUGUGGUGAGUCUUCUUGGUUGUCAUUCGAUGCUUCUUCUUGUUGUUCUUCUUCUGCAUUAUCAUCAACAACGACUUUCUCCGUAGAGGAGGGGUUAGACUCAUCAAACGUAACAUGCAUAGAUUCUUCCACAACUAAAGUUCUUUUGUUAUAAACUCUAUAAGCUUUUCUUGAAUUUGAAUAACCAAGAAAGAUACCAACAUCAGAUUUUGGAUCAAAUUUACCAAGAUUAUCUUUUGUGUUCAAAACAAAACAUUUGCAUCCAAAAACUUUAAAAUAACCAAUGUUGGGUUUUCUAUCUUUCCAAAGCUCAUAUGGAGUUUUAUUAAAAUUAGGUCUAAUCAACACACGAUUUAAAACAUAAUAAGCGGUGUUGACGGCUUCGGCCCAAAAGUACUUAGGCAAAGAGUUUUCAUUCAACAUGCUCCUAACCAUUUCUUGAAUAGACAUAUUCUUUCUCUCUACUACUCCAUUUUGUUGUGGAGUCCUAGGUGAUGAAAAUUGAUGUUCAGUGCCAAAGUCAUUACAAAAAUUUUCAAACGCAUGAUUUUCAAAUUCUCCACCAUGAUCACUUCUAAUACAAGAAAUAGAAUAACCUUUUUCAUUUUGAACCUUUUUAUAGAAAAUUCGAAAUGCAUCAAUAGCGUCAUCCUUAUUAGCUAAGAACAAUACCCAUGUGUACCUAGAAUAAUCAUCCACAAUUACAAAUGCAUAAAAUUUGCCACUUAAGAUAGCAUAUCUAGAAGGUCCAAACAAAUCUAUGUGAAGUAAUUGAAGUAGUUUUGAAGUAGAGACAUGAUUCUUGCUUUUGAAGGAAGUUUUGAUUUGUUUUCCAAAUUGGCAUGCUUCACAAAUUCUAUCUUUUUGAAAACUGAUUUUUGGAAGACCUUUAACUAAAUCAUUUUUCAUGAUUUUUGAAAUCAAAUCCAUGCUUGCAUGACCUAAUCUUCUAUGCCACAACCAACCAUCAUCAUGCAAUGCGGAGAGACAUUUAUCAUGUAUUGAUACACAAUCUAUAUUAAUGGUAUAGACAUUAACACAUCUAUUUCCUACAAACAAGACUUUCCCAUCACAUGCAUUCUCAAUAACACAUUUUGAUUCAUCAAAGAUAACUCUAUAUCCUUUAUCACAUAAUUGACUAAUACUAAGCAAAUUGUGUUUCAAGUUUUCAACUACACACACAUUUUCAAUGAGAGUAGAGGAUACAUUACCGACAUUUCCAAUCCCAAUGAUUUUUCCUUUUGAAUUAUCUCCAAAUGAUACAUCUCCACCAUUUUCGAUCUUAGUAAAGCUUGAAAACCAAGAAUAAUUCCUUGUCAUGUGUCUUGAACAACCGCUGUCCAAGUACCACUUAUUCUUCUUCUUCUUCAAGCCCUGUAGAGAAAAUCUCAAGUUUUAGGUACCCAAACCUUUUUGGGUCCUUGAGAGUUAGCAAUGGUUCCUUUCGGAACCCAAACACAUUUCACACCAUAAUAUGCAUUUCUCUUCACUGCACAUCUAUUUUUCAUAUGACCAUCUUGAUUACAAUAAUGACAUACAAUUUGAUUGUUGAUAGAUGUAUUCUUCACAAAAUAACUCUUGUAAAAUUUUUGUUUAAAAUUUGGUUUAUAACCAAUGCCACUUUUGUCGAAUACACAUUUUUGUGAGUUUAGCAAAUUGUCCAACAUCUUUUGCCCAUUUGUGAAUUUUAGCACAAUUUCAUUUAGUUCAUUGCUCUUCUUUCUAAGCAUUUCAUUUUCAUUUUUCAAGUCAUUCAUUUGUGACUCUAAGUGCUCAUGUGAAGUGCUAGAAUUCUCAAAUAAUGCAAUACUAUCAUGCAAUGUUUUAUUUUCUAAUUCUAGGCAUGUAAUCGUUGCACUAAAUGAUUCAUUUUCAUUUUUAAGCUCUAUCAUCUUCUUUUUAAGACAUAUAUUCUUUUUACCAAUCUUCAUCAACUCAUCAUGCAAAUCCUUAAAGGCAUAAUGUAAUUCAUCAUAUGUAGGAAGAACAUUUACCUCAUCGAGUUCAUCACAUGAUUCUUCCCCAACGGCCAUGAGAGCUAAAUUUGUCAUUUCUUGUUGCUCAUCAUCAUCACUUGUUUCCUCAUCGCUAUCAUCCCAUGUGGCCACCAUAGCUUUCUUUUUAAGUUUGUUGAGAAGAGGACAUUUCGGUCGUAUGUGUCCGGGCUUCUUGCAUUCAUAACAAGUGAUUGGCUCCUUCUUCUACUUCUUAUUCUUGUAGCCUCUGAACUUUCUCUGCUCAUUAUUCUUUUUGUAAUAUUUUCUGAAUCUUCUAGCCAACAUAGCCAACUCCUCAUUAUCCAUUUCGCUUUCCUCAUCACUCUCACGUUUUGAAGCCUUGAGAGCAAUAGUUUUCUUCUUUUCCUCAUGCCCUUUUUCAGCUGCCAAAUCUUCUUCAUAUGAAAUGAGAGAACCAAUUAGAUCAUCAAUAGGUAAAACAAUAGACAACUUUAAGUUUGUGCCAAAUCUCAUUAGCACUUUCGCAACUAGACACUCUAUGAAACUCUUUCUUAUCUAAUGCACAAAACAAGGCAUUCAUGGCCUCGAAAUUUAGAAAAGCUUUUCUCUUUUCGAAUUCAUUCCAAUCCCGUGAAGGUUUUGGAAUAUCUUCUCCGACUUCAUUUUUAGUCAAAGGCAUGAAAGGACCAUCAUUAACGAUUUCCCAAAUUUUAUAAUCUAAGGCUUACAAGUAAAUUCUCAUCCUAGUUUUCCAAUAUGGGUAAUCGUUUCCAUCAAAGUAAGGUGGUCUAGUGGUGGACUGUCCUUCCCUAAAUGUUGAAUCAUUUUGAGUUGCCAUUGAUCUUUAGCUCUUGACGGUUAAGUCUAAAUACGAGCACCUCGCUCUGAUACCAAAUGAAAUAUAAGUGUGCAACCCAAGAGGGGGGGUGAAUUGGAAUUUUAAAAAUUAUCCUAGCAAAUCCACACAACAAGCUAUCUAAUGUCUUAAUAAAAAUUGAAAGCAAUAAGUUCAAUAAAAGCACAAUAAUUAAAUAGUAAGGGAGAAGAGAAACAAACACACGAAUUUUUACGUGGUUCGGCAAUCCCCGCCUACGUCCACGCCUCUAAGCGAUCCAAGCUUGAGGAUUUCACUAUCCAAGCUUUUCCAAGGCUUCAACCGAUUACAAUUGACUUUGAGGUGUCAAUAAACCUUUACAACAAAGAGAUUAUAUCCCAAUCUCUUCACUCAAGUGUCUCACACACUCAAACUCUUACAAUUGAGAUGAAUAAAUGAAGGUUACAAUAAAACUCACUCAAUGAGUAGAUAUUCAAAAAUGAAGAACAAGAAAUGAUUCAAUGUUUGUAUUUUGCAAGUUUUAAGGCUUAAGAUAUCACGUGUGCUUUUUGUUUUUGCUUAUUGGAGAAAUUCAAAAUGAGUUGGAUUUGAGUUCUUAUAGUUUGAGCUCAAAAAUUAGCCGUUACUCACAUUUUGGGUGUAUCCGGUUUGCCGUUUAUGGAAUCCGAUAAGCCAGAUUUAUGUUACCGUUUGAAUUUUGCCUAUCCGGCUUACUGGUUACGAAAUCCGGUAAGCCGUUUGCGUUCUGGAUGCUUACUGUCCCGUAUCCGAUUUUCUAAUUUUUAUAUCCGGUACGCUGCUUGAUACAGUAACCUGCUACACUGAGAUUUUUCCUAAAUUUUCAGUUUGACCCCCAAACUUUAUAAAACUGUAGUAUGGCUCAAAACGUUAUAAAAGUUUGCAAAUAGGUCCAAUUUCAUAAUUUCUAAGUAAUGCUUCGUUAAUCCUAAAACUUUCUGAAAUUAUGAUUUCGCCCAAACUUUGUGAAAUUAUAGAAUGACCCAAAACGUUAUCAAAGUUUGUAAAUAGGUCCAAUUUCAUAAUUUCUAAGUAAUGCUUCGUUAAUCCCAAAACUUUCUGAAAUUAUGAUUUCGCCCAAACUUUGUGAAAUUAUAGAAUGACCCAAAAAUAUUUAAAUAGUUUCAAAUAGGUCCAAAUCCGAAAUUUAAAACAUUAUCAAAGAUUUUGAAAUUUUAGUCCAAAAUGUUUUAAUUCCAUAACAUCAUUUUCUUAUUAUAAAAGCACAAUUCAUAAAUCUUUGCUUAAUAAAUACAUGUGGUUUGUUAUCAUCAAAAUCAAUAUUUAUAGCCAUAUAGGCUAACAAUAUUGUUCACGUAUACGGUACUAUUCCCAUAUACGGUACUGUUCACAACUGCGGUGGAGACGACCAUUUAUACUUGGGAGACAGUCUAUUGUAAGUAGUGUGUAUUUUUACAUGUCUAGAAAAGUUCUGUCAACAAGGCAAUAAGAGUCUAAGGAUUCCAGUUUUUAAUUGGGACCGAGUUCCCGUCCAAUCUCUAGAGAACUUUCCUAGUGCAUUUAUUUACGCGAAAUAAACAUCAUAGAGGCUGUUUUUUUAAGUGUAAAUAGUUGUUGAAGAAACUGAUCAUUUGAGAUAAAAAGGAUGGCAGAGGCAUCGUCGUCAUCUUCAUCAGCGAGGACUACUGUGACUAAUACAAAGUUUGAAGUGGAGAAAUUCGAUGGUACCAAUAAUUUUGGUAUGUGGCAAUGUGAGGUGUUGGAUGUCUUAUGUCAGCAAGAGUUGGACGUUGCUCUUGAAGAAAAGUCUGACAUGAUGGAUGACAAGGAGUGGAUAAAGAUCAACAGACAAGCAUGUGAUACUAUUCGCCUAUGUUUGGCUAAAGAUAAAAAAUACUCUGUCAUGAGGGAGACAUCGGCAAAGAAAUUGUGAGAGACACUGGAAGAAAAAUAUAUGAAGAAAAGCCUUGAAAAUAGGCUUUAUAUGAAAAAGAAACUCUAUCGUUUCACAUAUACACCUAGCAUGUCAAUGAAUGACUAUGUGAACUCAUUUAACAAAAUAUUAGCAUAUUUGCUAAAUUUGAAUGAGCAAUUUGAAGAUGAAGAUAAGGCACUAUUGUUGUUGAAUUUCCUUCCUGAUGAAUAUGAUCAUCUCACCACUACUUUGUUUCAUGGGAAAGACAGUGUCACAUUCGAUGCUGUAUGCAGUGCAUUGUACAACUCUGAGACCAGAAAGAAAAAUAGAAGGAUCACAGAGAUACAGUAGCGGAAGUAUUAACAGCGAGAGGCCGUUCACAAAGCCGCAAACCUAGAAAAAGAAGCAAGUCUAAAGGAAGCCUUGCUAAAGAUUAGUGUGAUUUUUGUCGCGAGAAAGGGCAUUAGAAAAAGAAUUGUCAUAAGUUACAAAAGGGUAAGGCUACUUCUGAUGCAUGUGUAGCAGAACAUGACGAGGAGUCAGACUUUAGUCUGGUUGGCAUGACAUUGAUGUCUCACUCAGAUGAGUGGAUUUUAGAUUCAGGUUGUACUUAUUAUAUGUGUCCUAACAAAGGCUGGUUUUCUAACUUCAAGGAGCUAGAUGGUAGAGUUGUUUUUAUGGGCAAUGACAAUGCUUGUAAAAUCAUGGGAAUAGGUACAAUCCAAUUAAAGAAUCAUGAUGGCUCAAUCCAAGUCUUGACGGAUGUUCGCUAUGUACCAAGCUUGAAGAAAAAUCUCAUCUCAUUAGGAGUCCUAGAAUCUAAAGGGCUCACAAUUACUUUGGGAGAUAGAUUGUUGAAGGUAGUAGUUAGGGCGCUGAUGGUAAUGAAGGACAUAAGAAGAAAUAACUUGUAUUAUUUCCAAGGAAGUACAAUUAUUGGAUCAACAUCAAUAAUUUCUAGAAAAAAUACAGAUUCCGAAGCGACCAAGUUGUGGCAUAUGCGUUUAGGACAUGCUGGUGAAAAAGCUUUGCAGACUUUGGUAAAGUAAGGCUUAUUGAAAGAUACAAAUUCCUGCAAAUUAGAAUUUUGUGAACAUUGUGUUCUGCGCAAGCAGACAAGGGUAAAGUUUGGUUCAACAAUUCAUGAUAUAAAAGAAAUUCUGGACUAUGUUCACAGUGAUAUGUGGGGACCUACCAAAACAGCUUCUUUGGGAGGUAUGCACUAUUUUAUUACUUUUGUUGAUGAUUAUUUAAGAAAAGUAUGGGUGUAUUUGAUGAAGAAUAAGAAUGAAGUUUUGGGCAUUUUUUUGAAAUGGAAGAAAAUGGUUGAGACUCAGACUGGUCAAAAGGUCAAAAGACUUCGCUCAGACAAUGGUGGUAAGUACAAGAGUGAACAAUUUCUUCAAAUAUGCCAAGAUGAGGGAAUUGUGCGACACAACCACAACAGAAUGGGGUGGUAAAAAGCAUGAACCGGAUUAUAUUGGAGAAAAUUCGGUGUAUGUUGUCCAAUGCUGGAUUGGGCAAAGAGUUUUGGGCUGAGGCAAUUAUACAUGCGUGUCAUCUAAUCAAUCAUUUGCCAUCAGCUGCAAUUGAGGGUAGAACACCCAUGGAGAUGUGGACCGGUAAACCUGCUACUAAUUAUGAUUCUUUACAUGUUUUUGGUUCCACUGCUUAUUAUCAUGUAAAGGAAUCUAAGUUAGACCCAAGAGUAAAGAAAGCAUUGUUCAUGGGUAUAACUGGUGGAGUAAAAAGAUAUCGUCUCUGGUGUCCUGUUAUGAAGAAGAUUAUUUUCAGCAUAGAUGUAACUUUUGAUGAAUCAGCCAUGUUGAAACAAAAAGAAUCUCAAGAGAAUGAGAAGACCAGAAGAACUUUGCAGCAGGUGGAGUUUGAAAAGAUUAAAGCUGAUCCAGCUGGUGUCAAUGAGAUGGAUAGUGAUUCUCUAUCGACCGAUGAUGAUGAAGGGGUUCUGACCCAGGAACCUUCACAGCAACAAGAUUCAAUUGCAUAUAGAAGGUCACACAGAGAGAUUCACAGACCUGCUCGCUUUGUUGAUACGGUGGCCUAUGCACUUCCAACUGUAGAUGAUGAUUUCCUUCCACUUACAGAGAAGCAGUAAGUAACCCAGAAAGUAUACAGUGGAAGAAAGCAAUGAACGAAGAAAUGCAGUCUCUUCACAAAAAUGAAACUUGGGAGUUAAUUACACUGCCCAAGGAAAAGAAAGCAAUUGGGUGCAAAUGGGUAUAUGCAAAAAAGGAAGGAUUUCCUCGUAAAAAUAAAAUUCGAUACAAGGUUAGAUUGGUAGUGAAUGGUUACGCUCAGAAGGAAUGAAUAGACUACAAUGAGGUAUUUUCUCUAGUUGUGAAACAUUCGUCUAUUCGAAUUUUGCUAGCCAUAGUUGCACAAUUUGAUCUUGAACUAGUUCAGCUUGAUGUAAAAACUGCAUUUUUACACGGUGAUUUGGAAAAUAAAAUUUGCAUGACUCAGGCAGAUGGAUUCAAGGUUGCUGGAAAAGAAAAUUGGGUUUGCAAAUUGACAAAGUCGCUUUAUAGAUUUAAACAGUCUCCGAGGCAGUGGUAUAAGUGAUUUGAUCGAUUUACGAAAGGGCAAAGGUACACACGAAACAAAUUUGAUCAUUGUGUGUAUUUUCGCAAGCUACAAGAAGGAUCUUUCAUUUAUUUGCUAUUGUAUGGCGAUGAUAUGCUAAUAACAUCCAAGAGUAAAUAUGAGAUUGAGAAGUUAAAGACUCAACUCAAUCAAGAAUUUGAAAUGAAAGACCUGGGUGAAGCUAAGAAGAUUUUUGGCAUGGAGAUAUGCAGAGAUAGAGCUCGUGGCAAAAUAAGCUUAUCUCAAAAGCAAUAUUUGAAUAAGGUAUUACAACAGUUUGGUAUGACUGAGCAGAAAAAACCUGUAAGUACCCCAUUGGCUUCUCAUUUCAAGCUUUCUACACAACUAUCUCCUUCGACAGAUGCAGAACGAGAAUACAUGUUACAAGUUCCAUAUUCAAAUGCAGUGGGUAGCUUGAUGUAUUCAAUGGUGUGUACAAGGCCUAACAUUUCACAUGCAGUUGGUAUAGUGAGCAAGUAUAUGCAUAAUCUUGGUAAAAGGACAUUGGCAAGCUGUAAAAUGGAUUCUAGGGUACAUUUAGAAGACUGUGGAUGUUAGUUUACUGUUUGAGAGAGACGAUACACUUGGUCAAGGUGUGAUCGGGUACGUUGAUUCUGAUUAUGCUGGUGAUUUGAACAAACGACGGUCAACCACCGGAUAUGUAUUUACUUUUAUUGGAGGGCCAAUCAGUUGGAAGUCUACACUACAGUCUACAGUUGCACUGUUGACCACAAAGGCCGAGUACAUGGCAAUUACGAGGCUGUUAAAGAGGCUAUUUGGUUACAAAGCUUGCUUGAAAACUUGAGAUUGGUACAGAAGCAAAUUAAUGUAUAUUGCGACAGUCAAAGUGCUAUUCACUUAACGAAGAACCAAGUUUAUCAUGCACGUACGAAGCAUAUUGAUGUACGAUUUCACUUUGUGUGGGAAAUUGUUGAUGAGGGGAAGGUUCUUCUUCAAAAACUUAAGACUGCAGAUAAUCCUGUAGAUAUGUUGACGAAGGUAGUGACGGCGGCAUUGUCUAAACGUGAUCAAUAUCCUACAAGUUUGAAAGUAGUCGGAGAAGGCAGAGAUUGGAGGAUGAUUUGAUGUACUGGAAGUUUAGUAUUCGGCUCAGAAUUGAAUAAAUCUUAGCCGAGAUGGAGAAUUAUUGAAAAGUCAAAGAAUGACUUGCAAAUUUCAAAAGGCAAAGCUGGUGGGUUUGCCAAAUUCAAAAAAGUAAAGUUGGUCGGCUUGCUAAUUUCAAAAGACAAAGUUGGGUGUUGAAAAGCUUGUGCAUGCAAUACAAGAUCUAGCUCAACGUUUUGACCAAUUGAACCCAACUUGGAGCAAAAUGCACUCUAUAAAUAGAGAAGCAUUUUGCAAUUGUAAGCAUCCAAUUUGAGAGAAGCAGAGAGCAAUUGCAAGUGAGUUCUUUGAGAGAGCUUUAACUUGAGUGUUCUAGUGAGGUUCCAUUUGGGUGUAUUGGGGUUGUGGGUUUUGUAAGUUUUUCUCACUUUUGUAAAUUCCCAUUUGUUGGUAAAAUUAUCUUUCAGUUUUUUACCCGUGGACGUAGGCAUUACGCCGAACCACGUAAAUUAUUGUGUCCUAUUUUCUUUGCAUUUGUUUAUCACCACAUUUAUAUUUCUUUAGAAGUUGCAGUAUUAGUAAUUGCUCAACCCACACUUCCGCAACACAAAUUUCACAAAUUUCACAAAUUUUCCAGAAACGUAUGGGCCCUAUUUUUUUUCAUUUUCAUUCCCUCUUCUAUUUUAAGAAGCAUUCUGAAUUUGAUUCCUGAGUCCCAUGAGUAAACACACUAUUAAUGUAACUCAUGAGUGUAACCAGAGUAGUAAAGGCCAGUAAAGACAGCUGUUAGGAAAAAAAUUACAGCAAAUUGGUCGAAAUUGAUUACUAACAACUCAUUGUAUCCGUAUAUGAAACAAAGUGUUUCAUGCAUGGGGCUGGAAUCAGAUUACCUAAGAGUUUACAAAAUAAAUAAUUAAAUGAUCUCACAAUAUGUAAUAGUUUUCUAAAAUAGAUUUAGGUUAAAACCUUGUCUUUGGUCUUAAUUUUAAUGCGUAAAAAAUAAAAUAAAAACUUUCAAAAGAAAAAAAAUUAAUUUGAAAGACAGUGAAGCAAUUAGCUAGUUACACAUAUCAUAGACCUGUAAGUGGAGCAAUUAGUUUGGAUUCGCAACAAGCACUCGUCUCCUUUCUUAUUUACAUUUUGCCAAAUUCAGAGAGAGAAAUUUUAUGUACAAUUAUUUGUUAAUAAUUUAAAUUACAUAAUGCCCCUUUUGCUUCACACAAGCUCUACUAAACGGAGCAACAUAUAUUAUUCGAGUUAAAAAAUUAACAAGAAUUUAUAAUCGAGAGGAGACGACAUUGCCGGUUACAAGAAAUGGACAAUGUGCCUAAUUAUAUACGACAUGCCGGUUUAUUUUGCGAGGGGGAUCGUAUGAUGAGUAGUUAAUGUCGUCUAGCAGAGUAAGUUAUGUACGUGCUGAUCACUGAUAAUGAACAAAAGUUACAAAACCACUACUCCAUUCUUCAGGAGGACAAAGCCUAGAAAUAGUUAAAUCUCUAUCAUUAGAGUGUUAAGACCCUUUUUUACAUUGAGGUGUUGUAGAAAAAAACUGUAAUUAUAAAAUAAAAGUUAAUAGUAUGUAAUAAACAUAAUUUACAAAUAAUAAUUUUGAUAAAAUUAGUAAAGAUAUAAUAGAUUUUUCAUCAUACAAGUAUAAAAUUAAAUUAACUUAUCUUCAAAACUAUAGCAGAUAGUAUUUACUAAAUAUUUUAGUGCUGCAGCUUUGAAAUUAUAUCUGUCCAAACUCAAUCUUAAAAAAAUCCUAAGUGAGGUCUUGGGGGGUGGGGUGUGCCAAGACUAACCAUCAAGUGAUCUUGAUCCAAGAAUUUUCUUACUAUUUGAGAGUUUUUAAACCUUCACUCAUCAUAAGCAAGAUAAUUCAGAGUAGAAUGAACUAGGUAUGGUACUUGAUUCUGCUAAUUACCCUUGAUUAAGCUCUGAAUUCUCGUAAAAAUAGGACAACUAAACUUGAUCGUAUGCUUACAAAAGAUAUUCUAACGCUCAAGUAAGUGUUUGGAGAUUUUGAAAGCUAAUUUAAAUCUGAAUUUUCUCUUGACUUGAUUUUGGAAAUUGGCCACAAGAUCAUUUCUCAAUCUUUCAACUCAUAUUUAUUGACUGAGAGAUGAAAGAUUGGGGAGAUAAUGCUUUUUAGAUUUGAAUCAUUGCCAUUCAUUCUUGUAAUUUGAUUUUGAUAGUUAAAUUCAUUAACUAUUUUUGUUUCUAUUCGAGUUUUCUGCUCAUGGUUCUGUUAGUAAUCACUUAGCGUUACUUAUCAACAUUUUUGGGUUGAGAAAUAUACAAUUUUUAAACAAGUACAGGAAAUGCAAAUUAAUUCUUAAAAUAAAAAAGAAAUGUAGAAGAUAAAAUUUACAGCUUAUUGGAACUCCAGUGAAGUAUUUGCUCAAAGGAAAGAAGGUAAUCAGAUCACACAAUUUCUAGCUCCGCAUCCUCAGCUCUAUUUGUAUGUUUGUAUUCCAAAAGCAAGUCUUAGUGAAAAUUGACUUGCAUAAUUAAUAUUAUUCGUUAUAAACUUCCAUAAUUCUAAAGCACUUGUUAAUAGAAAAUCGCUUUAGAUUGUACUUAAUCAUACUUCGGCACUCUCAUAAUGUAUUCCUUAAUCUCAUCUAACCAUAAAAGAAAAUAUUUAGGACUAUAAUUUCCAUCAAGCAUUCGAAACAUGAGGUCUUUUGAAUAUUCCAAUCACAAAUGCAAAGCCAAUGCAAAACUAUAAACAAGGCUGAACUAUCAGGUGUGGUAUGGCUACCAGUUGGUGGCCAUAAUUUGGUGUGAUGAUGGUUAAAUCUUGUAGAUAUUGUGGUAAGGAACAUGAUGGUCACUAUGGACUGGUCAGAUUCACAACAGUAAAAGUGGAUCGAAGAGGUGAAUCUCACAGGUUUUGAAGGUUUUGUGUGGUGGGUUAUGGUGGCUUUAAGAUGGCUAAUCAGACACAGUGGUGGCUUGGAUUGGGUGUAGUAGACAGAAGGAAGUUUGAUGAUGGUUGAUUGAUGGUGAGGCAUCAGUGUUAGUGGUGGCACUAGAUGAAACUAGGAAACUACAUUGCUUCAGGUAGAGUUUGCUUACAACAACAUGUCAAAUCGAUCUACUAGCAAUACUACUUUUGAGAUUGUCUAUACUUAUUCCAUAUGCUAUGUCUAUUAUCUGGUUGGGAUGCCAAUAGUAGUCGGAGGAAGUAAAUCAAUGGAUAAUGUGGCAGAAAAAGACUGCAGAUUCAUGCAGAGGUGUGAGCUGACUUGGAGGUUGCCAAUGCUAUGUACAGGGCUAAUGUGGACAAGCAUCAACGCAAAAAAGUAUUUUAGGAAGAUGAUUUGGUGAUGGCACAUCUAAGGCAUACCCAUUUUCCUGGCAUUCACACUAAGUUGGACAAGCAGAAGUGUAGUCCAUCUCAUGUGGCGAUGUAGAUUAAUGAUAAAACUUAUGUGCUGCCGCUGCAAGAAAAUUGGAAUAUCUCUCACACUUUUAACGUGGUUGAUUUGUUUGAAUAUCAUCCAAAUGGUGAAGAGUUGAAUUGGCAUAACUCGAGGGCGAGUUCUUUGCUUUGAUACCAACUAAUGAUGCAAAAAUGUAAAAAAAUUGAUUGAUAAUAUAAACUAGGUUUUUGAAUAGCGAAAGUUUUAUUAGAAAAGUCUUAAUAAACAAAACUAGGGUUUGAGGUCCCCUUAUCGUGAAUUUACUAAAAUAGGAAAAUUUGAAAUAUUAUUUUAUAAUAAAUACUCCUAAUCUAAUUAAGGAAAGCAAAAUAACCGCACCCAAAUUCAAUGUAAAAAAAAAAAGAUAAAAAUCAUGAAAGUAAUAGACAAAUAAGAAAAUAACUUAAAAAUAAAAAAAGGACCAAGAAGGAAGCAAAAUUCUCAGCUCAAUCACAGGCAAAAUAGUACAACCAGCUCUGGAUUUGAUUCAUCUCGUCGUAAGCUUUGAAACGAUAUAUUUUAUGGCAAAAAUAAACACCUAUAGCCCAUGUUAUAACCUUCGGAAGAUACCCUACUCAUUCAACACAAAAGUCCUACAACAAUAUGGCAAGUACAGAGGCUAUUAGGGAGGCUAUUUGAUUACAAGGUUUGUUUGAAAUCUUGGGACAAGUACGGGAGCAAUUAAGAUGUUUUAUGACAGUCCAAGUGCUAUUCACUUAGCAAAGAAUCAAGUUUAUCGUGCACGUACAAAAUAUAUCAACAUAUGAUUUCAGUUUGUGCAAAAAAUAAUCAAUGAGGGGGAUAUUCUUCUUUGAAAGGGCAAGACCGUAAAGAAUCCCACAAAUAUGUUGACCAAGGCGGUGGUGACAAUCAAGUUUAAGUAUUAUCUAAAUAUGAUCAACAUCUUGCAAGCUUAAAAUAGUAAGAAAGGCAGAGAUUGGUGGGUGAUUUACUGUACACAGUUUAAUUUCUUUCAAAUAAAGGUAGAGAUUUAUUGAAAUAUUGAUGUCAUGUGGGAAAUCAUUAAAGACAAAUUGGCGAAUAAUUGAUUGGUAAAAGCGUGAAGAUGAAAUAGUAAAACUAUUUGACAAUUCUUUUCGUAAAAUUAAAUGCUAUACGGCGAUUUUGGCGAAAAUGGAACGUGGCAACAAAUUGCACAUGCAAAAUUGUUAACAAAAUGUGCAUGGCUUUAAUGCAUGCAAUUAAAGUUGCUAUCUCCAUGUCAUGGGAAAUUGAAAGGAUGGCAAUUCAUGCUCCUUUUGUCAAGAUUUGCCCAGCAAAAUGGCGGCUUGUCCCAGUGGAUUUUGUUCCAUAAUUGUCAACGGGCAAAGCCAUUAGAUGCCUAUAAAUAGAGCCUCAUUCCACAGAGUUAAAGUCAUCCCAAAUUGUAAAAAUUUGAGAGCAUUUGCAAAUGAGCUCUUCAAUAAUGCAGAGAGAGCACUUUCUUAGAUGUUCCUUGAGUAUGCUGCAGUAAUUUUUUACUUUACUGAUUUUGUAGAUCCUUUUGUUUUUGCUGCUCUAUAAGGCCUCGGCUACUGACGGUCUUUCUCUAACCGUUUCUGUACCUACAGCGGAACCUUAUAAUAAACUUUCCAUGUUUGUAGAGUUGCCGUGCUUGUUCAGCUGAAUGAUACUUUUGUCCCCUGCUCUUCUCUGAAGUAAAUUUUAUAAAUCAAAUAUAUGGUAUAAAUCAGAAUAGUACUUCAUCCAUCUCUCAAAUCUUAUUAUACAAUUAUUAUUCAAUUCCAUUUGUCUUUAUAAAUUAAUUUAAUUUGUACAGUUUCAUUAAUUUACAGCAUUUUGUCAGACUUAAAAUUGAUUUGAUUUGCCAAAUUCGGGACCCAGCCCUCUUUCUCCCCCCAAAGUAUCCAGUAUUUAACUGAGAAUUGAGUAGUGUAGAUAUAUCCCUCUAAUUAUGAGGGUAGAAUUCUGGAUUGUACUUUAGUGAGAAUUAAUCAAGGUGAGUCCUAGUAGAAUUCUAAUUGUAAAAUAUGUAAGUAGAAUUUCCACAUAUUGAAAAAAAAAAAUUGAUUUAAUUUGUAAUGUUAAGUGAUAUUCCACAAACAUCAGCCACAAUAUCAGAAGUCACCCCCGCCCAUGUUAUUCAAGUGAAAUCCAUAAAAUUUCAAUAAGAAUAAAUCUCAACAACCAAAGCCUUUGUAAGCUUGAUGUGCAAUAUUACUUAGAAGAGGCAAGCUAAGCUAUUCAACUAGAACACCAGAAGCUGUAAGGAAGGGGGAAAAAAUCCAAUCAGAUUGCAAAAAGCUAGGCUUAUUAAUUUAGAGGAUUGCUACACAUCCCAAAUCCUUUAUCCCAAAAAAUUUAUUCCAAAUGUUGUGUCAUUCAUCAAUUAGUUAGUAAAUAUUUUACUUAGAUCUUGUAAAGAAUUACCAACCACUCAAUUAAUAACACCUCAUUUGGGAUAAAAUUUAGGAUAAAAAUUUUGAGAGGUCUAUCAUUACUCCUAAAUUUAUUGUUUAUCCAAAUGUACACAAAAUAUAAGAUAUUUUGCAGGAAAAAAAAGAAAAGGAAAUAGACGGUUUAGUAUUACAAUCUAAUUUGAGUUAAAAACCCCUCUGUGAGCCAUUUUCUUGCCCCAGAUUGAAAUAAAAAUAAAGUUAUCCAGAUGGCCUUCAGCUGGACAUAAAAUGAGGUUAAUGAGUGCCAUAUACACGUGUGCGCGCACGCAAUAGUGGAUGCAAAAAUAAGAAAGCUGUACGAAGAAACAAUGCUGCAAUGAUAAGAGAAAUUAAGAAUACAAAACAGAAUAUUUAUUUCAGUCCUUUAGUUUUCCCUAAAUCGCAAACUCACAUAGCUUCAAUUUCAAAGAUCAUGAAUGCAAUUUUGAUUCAUGGAAGCCACAUUCUGAACAACUAUUGGAAUAUUGUUUGUUUCUGAUCCAAGCAGAGCAUUCUCUGGUAAUUCAGCAUAAGAAAAUUUUCAAGAGUAGAUAUAGUAAAUAAUAAAAAGAAUGUAAAUGAAUUAUAAAUAGCAAAGUACAAAAAUUGAAAUUGAGAUAUAUGCGCAAGAGGGUAAUCACCAGGCUUCACCCAAUCGCUCUUCAUUCGAGCUCUCUAAACCUUUUAGGUUGUGGUUCCUCAUCAUCACAGCAGCCACUUCCACUGGCUUCUGCCCCAAAGUAUUCAGUAAGGCUUCGCUUUGACGUUGUGGCUACAAUCAUCUUCGAUCCAACAAAAUGUUAUCGAAUUCAUUCAGAUUAUAAACAGUAAAACGACUUGGUUGGUUUGUCGUUUGGUCUAACUCCUCCACUUCGUCCAUAUAAACUGGAUGUAAACCACACAUCUUCACCUCCAAUCCUUGGCCCAACCAGGGUUCAAGUGAUACAUUAACAUGAUUAGAUUCAAAGGCUCAAGAUUAGACUCUAAAGGCAAUCUAAUAUCGUAGCAUGUUUGACGAGACAAAUAGAGUAGCCAAAGAUGGUCUGACCCAGCCUGACCGAAUUUAUCUCUAAAAUCAAUUCGAUAACUGCCAUGUCCAAUGCGGCAAUUCAACUGAUGUGUGGGAUAUGAACCAAAACGAUUGUUACCACGUGAAUUUUUUAGGACAUGAAAAACACAGCAGAUAGCAUAUCCCACCAACUUUUUCUUAUUAUACAGAUUUGAAGGCCUUGUGACUGUUAUUGAAGAUCCCUCAUUCUGAUACAUGAACCACUCCGGUAUUUCACUUCCUGGAACAACAACGCUUAAAUGUUGUCUUGUAUUUGACACUGCCUGCAUCCAAAAUAAUAAUAAUAAUAAUGAAGUCCAAACCAUUGCUUAAUGUUUUGGCAUAUAUAAUUUUGGCAUACGGAGUAAAAAACUGACCUCUAGGUACUCUCGUAGCAUUGAAAACGCCAAACUUUUGUUGCCGAGCAAUUUUAAGCUGUCUAAACAAUUAAUCAUUGUGCUGUCGGGCUUGCAUAAUUUUAAAGCAUCUAAUAAUGUCACUAACGAAGCACAACCAUUUACUCUAACUUCCCUGAUAUUGGGUGGAAGUUGUGGCAGAGAUUGAAGCCUCUUGCAAUCCUCCAAUUCAAUAUUCCAAAGCUUAGAAAGACGGGUAAUGCUUGUUGGAAGUGAAACAAAGCUGUUUUUACUCAAAUAUAACUCUUCUAAUGAGCAUAGGUUGCCAAUAUCACUUGGAAGGGCUCCUUCCAUUAGAUUACAAUCAGUGAGAUUCAAUUUCCUCAAAGAACACAAACCUGAGAGAGAAGGCAACUUCAGAGCCACAGACUUUCGCAUUAAGUUGAUUGGGAUGUACGAAUACCAUGACGUCGAAUGUGGUACAGCUGUUCCACUGAUAUCAAGCUCCUCCAAACAUUCAAUUUGUCCAAGUGUCUCUGGCACAUUUUCAAGUUUGAAGCAGCCAGAGAGAUUCAGAGUUUUAAGAGAUUUCAAGGCAAUUAUACUGCUUGGAAGUCUCACAAGAUUUUUACAGUCACUCAAGUUCAGCAAUUCAAGUUUUGUCAAAAGUUCUAUGGAUGAUGGCACUUCUUUGAUAGAAGUUCCAUCUAAAAAGAUCUCUGACAGAUCUUUCAUACUUCUUACAAUCUCAGGAAACUUCUUAAGUUUCGAGCAACCAGAGAGCUUUAAAGUCCUAAGACAUUUUAAACUACUUACAGUAACUGGAAGAAUCUCGAGACUCCUGCAAUUUUUCAAAUUCAACAAAACAAGGCCGGACAGAAGUUCAAUUGAUAGUGGCAAUCCUCUAAUGGCUGUUCCCUCCAAAUGAAGCUCCGACAGAUGCUCCAUAUGUUCUACAAUCCCUGGAAACUCUCUAAAUUUCAAAUCACCAGAGACAUCCAAAGUUGAAAGACAUUUUAGACCACUUAUGGUCGUUGGAAGACUUUUGAGAUUCUUGCAAUUGUUUAGAGCCAGCAAGACAAGUUUGGAUAGAAGUUUAAUAGAUAAUGGCAGUUCUUCAAUAGCUGUUCCAUCCAACAAAAGCUUCGACAAACACUCCAUACUUCCCACGAUGUCCGGAAAUUUCUUUAAUUUCGAGCAACCAGAAAGAACAAGUUUUUCAAGAGAUUUCAUCAAAAUCUUGCCAGGAAGAGUUAUAAGACUUGUACAAUCUUUCAUGUUCAAUAUGAUAAGCUUAUUGUGAAGCAGCAGAGAUGGGUGAAUUUCAUACAACCUUGUACAUCCUUCAAGAAUCAGCUUCUCUAAAUUUGGGGCCCCUGUGAAGUCUGGCAUCCUUAUCAAGUUCUCGGAAUGGCUGAGUAUCAUGACUUUCAACUUGUCUAAACGCUGUAGAAAAUAAAAAGGAGCGAGAAAGAUAUUUCUUAAUUCAAUUAGAGAGGAAUGGCAAAACUAAUAAAUUUAUAUACUAUUAUUCACUGAGAAAAUAUAUAUUAGUGACAAAAUUGAUCUUACUUUGAUUCCCUUCCACAAUUCUCCUAUGCGGCUAUAAGACAUGUUAAUUUCAAUAGUUUUAUCCAUUUGCAAAUUUGAUGGCAAAAAUUUCAAAGGAUAUCCAUGCCAAUCAAGUAACCUUAACCAAUUAGACAGGUAUUCAAGGCCAUUAGGAAGUUGCGGAUUACAAAUUUUGAGCAAUCUUAGGUUGGUCAUCUUCGAAAAUGCUUUAGCACUCGCACACAAAUACACCUCAUUUUGAAGAUGGUAGUUAUCAAGUACUAUUCCUUCCACUAGUUCAGUUCCCUGAAAAAAUCAUAAGCAAAGGAUAGACAAUAAAAUAAUAAUGUAAAGAUGUUGAAAAGUUGUCUGAGAUUUAAGUAGGUGAAAGAAAUUAACAAGCACGAGCUGAGGAAUACAUGUUUUCCAAACAAAUUAGUCACUUACUGUGCUUUCUGUCAACACAUGGCAUACUUCUUCUUCCUUCCAUAAUCUGCUGCGUUUCCCAGGUUCUUCAGGUGAUUGUCUCUGGACAAUUUGUUGCCCUAAUUCUUGUAACAAAUCAUGCAUCCACAGUGUGUUAUUAUGCACAGUUAUUAGACAUUUUUCAAUGAGAACUCUUAUUCCAAUAACUGGAUGAAAACCACAUCCCUCUAGAAAAUUCGUGACAUAAUCCCUAUCAUUUCCUUUAAAGAAACAUGCAACAUCGAGAAAUAUUUUUUUCUCUAGCUCCUGUAGCCCAUCAAAACUUAUUUGAAGUAUAUCCAGAAUCUCACUAGGAGGUUCUAUUUCUAGCCGUUCCAGGGUACUUCUCCACUCAUCCACAGAUCUACCAGACAAAAAGGAACCCAAAACUUCUACAGCCAAUGGAAGACCACCAGCAUACCGGAUAACACGUGCAGAUAGCUGCACACAUUCUUGCAAAGGUUGAUAAGUUUUAAAAGCUUUCAUAAUGAAGAGUUGAAGAGCUUCAUCAUAAUUUAGCCCAUGAGGCCUAUACACUUCAUCAACCCCAUGUGUUUUCAACAACUGUUCGUCUCUUGAUGUUAUGAUGAUCCGGCUGCCUGAACCAAACCACUCACGAUUUCCAGCUAAACUUUGUAAUUGUUUUACAUCAACCACAUCAUCAAUAACAAGAGCCUUUUUUCUUUGCAGUCUACUUCCUAACAUGUCGAUACCAUCAAAGACAUUCCAUAUACUAUUAUCUGCAAGCUUUAAUAACUGGGAAAGGAGUUGCCUUUGUAAAGAGACUAGGCCCCCUUUACCGGAAAUUUCUCUAACAUUGGCAAGGAAACCACUUGCUUCAAAUUCAUGAGAGAUCAAGUCAUAAACAACUCUUGCUGUCUUACCUAGACCUCCCAUCCCACAGAUCCCUAUCAUACGCACAUCACUAGACCCUGAGUCCAUAAGAAACCUUAGUUUCUCACAACGUGAAUCCAUUCCUACUAGCUCCUUAAGAGUCUCUGGUUUUGUACGAAUUUUACUUGAUACCACAUUGACAAUUUCCUCAAUAAGUUUUGACUCAUUGCUACAGAUUGAAAUCAACGAGAAAAGAUUAGUGUUAAAUUAAAGUAAGUGUGGACGUGGAGUCAAAUUAAUUCCAUUAAAUGUACAUAAAAAUUAUGCAAAAUUCAUUGGACCAAAUUGAAAUAAUAUAUUUUACAUAUGGAAAAUCUUUAGUUGUGUUCUUCAUGUAAAUAUCUACAUUGAUCUGUACCUCUCAGUUUGCAAAAAUAAACUUGUGGAGCUACUAUUUCAAAUACUACACAUCAUAUGAAAUAUGUAUUAACUAGAAGCAUUUUAAUUGAAAACACUCUAAAAGCUGUUUAAGAAUGGUUACCUUUGUUUUAAUUCCCAACCGGAGAUAUUAGCCACCUCUUUCAAAAUGUCUCUCCACUUUUGCACCUUUUCUUUAUUGUCCCUAAAAACUUCUUCAUGUUUAGCAAAUGCCUCAUGAAAAUUUCUUGUCUGUUUUCUUACCACAGUCGGUUCCAUAUCAUAGAAAAUAGGAAAAAUUUGAUCUUCUGCGUUCUUGCAUUCAACAAUCUUAACAAGUUCAUCCAAGCACCAAGUGGAAGAAGCAUAGUUUUGCGAGAAAACAAUAAUUGAUAUUCUUGAUUCUUCAAUUGCUUUAAGGAGUUCUAGUGGAAUGGAUCUUCCUCUCUCAAGUUCUUUGUCAUCCUUGAAUACAUAAAGUUCUUUAUUUUUCGACGCAGCAUAGAGAUGACCUGUGAAGCGUUUACGGGUGUCUGCUCCUCUAAAUCUUAAGAAGGCAUCAUAUUUCCAAUGAGAGAUAUUUUGGAUGCUGGUGGAAGCCAUUAUAUCUUUUUCCUGAAAAUUUACAAUAAACUAAGUGGCUUCCUGGGAACAAAAUACCCAUCAUUACUAUGCAAACAAAAAUGCAAUAUAUAUCUCAAUUGUCAAAGUUGUAUAGCUCUAGGUUGCACUGCACUGAAUUGCAUUAAGCUCUGAAGCAAUACCAUGUGUUAGGUAAAUAAGAGCACCAACUCGGCCAUGCCAUCAAUGGUACGAGCAGAACACUGAUAAUGAGCCCUCUACAAACAUGGGCCGACUAGAGACGAGUACCAGCCAGAGGAAUAUACCGACCAGAGACAUAUACCGAGCCGAUACCCAUUCCCCAAAGAGCGGGAACACGAUCCCACAGAAUCACAACAGUUGUGCUUUUCCCAAAACCGUUGAGGGAAGCGCGAGAUCCCACGUUUGCCCAUAAUGCAGUAGUUAGAGUCCCAUGAGGGGCUGCCACUACCCGAACAAGGGGGGAUGAAGGGUAAACGGAAACGUGGGACAGCGGCUAUAAAAGAGGAAGAAAUCGAUGAAGAAAGGGAUAGAAAAAUUGAGAGAAGGGAAAACUCUGUCAAAUUGAAACCAGACCAUUUUCAAUACAAAUUGUGAGCCCAUUAUAAGCAAUUUAUCGAAUCUUAAUUGUACCGUUUUCCCGUAAACACCUUGUGCUAACUUAGGCAUCGGAGGGUUUAUGCCGGCAAAACCACUGGCGUCUCUGAUCCACUUUUGUGAACGCAGGCUUAGUGGGAGAAAGAAGGAUAAUUCCAACUUCGGUGACUAGAGCAAUCGUCGAAGCAAGAAGAAAUUGACAUCCUCACUGUUGAUAAUAUAAACGUUGGUGUAAAGAUCUGGUCGGGCAAAGGACGAGCAGAUUUCAGCAUCAACAUUUUGGCGCCGUCUGUGGGGAGCUGGAUAAAAAGCUACCACCAAGUUAAUAGUAACUGGAGAAGCAACGAACGAUUAGAUAUGGAUGUGUCAAGGAAGGAUGCUUUGAGGGAUGACAAUGAAACUGUUGAGACAAUCACUCUCCGGGAAAUUGCGAAUGAAGCUCAAGAGAGGAUGAUGCAAGAUCGACUGGAGCGGAUGGAGAAAUAAAUGGAGACUCUCACGGCCAUACUGUAUGAGCUGAGGGAUGAGCGGAGAAGGGAUUGUGAAACCCCCGCGAGGAGAGAUGAAGUUGGAGCAGAACCCAGCCUCCGGAGGCCUAAAGUCGAGGAAAUUCCUCCGCCGGUGGACCAACCUAAUGGGGUACAUCCCCACAGAAGUACUGGUCAGGUUCCAACAGAACACGUGGAUGAAAGGAGGGACCAACCUCGUCCCGGACGGGUAUUGGAAAUUGAUGGCCGAGCAGCCAAUGUUGAUGAAGGAGAGCUCAGGCAAUGGUUGCAGAAUGCCGAGCAAGAACGAGAUCAGAUAGCUGCACGUGAUCCUGACCGUGCUGUAGAAUUGGAGGGAGAGGUGCGCAGAUUGGCACAGGUGAUGGAGGAGAUACAGGGCAAGAGAAAGCCCCCGAGCUGGAGGAUAAUGCUAGAUGAAGAAUCUCCGUUAUCAACCGAGAUCAUGGGUACUGUAAUCCCAAGAGACUUCCGCUUCCCCGACCUCAAAUACUCCGGGCGAAGUGACCCGUUGGUGCACAUUGAACGUUUCAACGACAUGACGGGUGUGCAGGGGCUGACACCAGCUCAGAGGUGCAGGGUGUUCCCAUUGACGCUAAAGGGACAAGCCCGAGAAUGGUACUGCAAGCUGCCCCGAGAAAGUAUAAAAGGGUACGAGCAGAUGUACCAAGAGUUGGCCGAACAGUUCCGAGGAGCAGUAGCCUUAAAGGACGACAUGAUAGAACUGAUGGGGAUGAAGCAGGAGGAGCAUGAAUCCCUUCAGGAUUUUGUAAAACGAUAUCAUCGGGCCGUGCUGGAUCUGGGAGCUUUUAAUCACCCGCAGGCGUUGAGGGGAUUAAAAGAAUGUGUAAGAAUCAGCCGAUUGUGGAAUAACUUAAGAAGCCCCAUAGUGCAGAAUUACUCGGCGGGGUAAGAACAGGCGAGGCGAGAUAUAGAAAUCGAAGAGGAGAAAUCGGCAAGAAUAAAAAGUGAACAGCUGGAAGAGCUGAGACGAAAGGAACGGAGAGCCCCGAACGAGAACGAAUCGGGAAAGCGAGCUGGGGAAUCCUCAGUAAUGGGCGGAAUAUCAGCUCUGUCCCACCCUUACCCCAUAGCUCAGAGACCACAACAGUUCCAACACGGCCGGGCUCAACCUUCACGCCCCCCAUUCCCGGAGCGGCAACGAGAAUUCAGACAGAUGGCUGCCUACCCUUAUCACAACACUCCCAGAGCGUUACAUGCAACUAAUUCCAGGGCUGGACGACCAGAUCAGCUACCGACGAUACAAGCCCGAGGUGAUAUCCAUGAUAGCCGAGCAGUUCAACUGGUUGACCAGAGCUUGGCGUAUAGACAGUACACCCUAUUAAAAAUCUCCAUGGAGGAAUUGUAUGAGAGGAUCGAAGGACGAGGUCUGCUAUACCCUCCGGCCCCUAUAACAAAAUCUACUCACCGACGUGAUAAGAGCAGGUUCUGCAAAUUCCACAACACUCAUGGUCACACUAUCAGUCAAUGUCAUGACCUAAAGAUUCAGGUGGAGGAUUUAGUGAGGAACCGGUACUUGGAUGAGUAUGUAGAUGGAGUGUCCCCCGUCAUUGAAUCACAGUACAUGCGGGAUGAAGGAGUUGAGAGGGGUCUGGAACGGGAACAGCCGACCAUCCGUGUGAUAGUAGGAGGGCCAACAUUGGCCAGGGAUUCGAACAGGGCACGGAAGAACUAUGGGAGAUACGCCAUGACUGGCAAAGAGGUGCUUCUCAAUUUGCCAAUAGCCAAGAGAGCAAAGGGGCGGCAAGUUCCCAUUAUGUGGACGGAGGACGACGAAGAGGGUAUUUUAUAUCCUCAUGAGGAUGCACUGGUGAUUAAAGCAUUGGUGGCUAGUACAGAAUUGCAGCGAAUACUGGUGGACACGGGCAGCUCAGUUGACAUUCUGUUUAAGUCGGCCCUAGAUGAUAUGGGGAUUUUAUACUUGAAGCUGAAGCGGACGAAUACAUCCUUGAAGGGAUUUGGAGGGGGACGGUUAACUCCUAUGGGGAUCAUCGAACUCCUAAUUACUAUGGGGUCAAAGCCGUUUGAAAGAACGAUGAUGCUGGACUUUGUCGUGGUGGAAGAAAGAAGCCCUUACCAGAUGAUACUGGGGAGACCGUUCAUGAGGAUAAGCCAAUGUGUAAUGUCCACGCAUUAUCUGGCGUUGAAGUACAGAAUAAAUGGAGUUGUUGGCGUAGUAAAAGACGACCAGAGAAUGGCAAUGAGCUGCUAUGCUACAGCGGCCAAGGAAACGCUGCAGGUUACCUCUCUAGAUAACCGAGGGGAUUCAAAAAAGGGUCGCCAGGAACCUGUUGAGAAGCUGGAGGGAGUUGUUGUAAGCAAGAAUAACCCGAGCAGAGUGGUUAAGGUCGGGUCAGAAUUGGGCGAAGCAAUAAAAGGCGAGCUGGUGAAGUACCUACAGUCCCAUGCAGAUAUAUUUGCCUGGUCUCAUGAGGACAUGUCAGGUAUUGAUCGAGGGAUAGCUUGCCACAAGCUGACAAUCAAGAAAGGGGCAAGGCCGGUGAGGCAGAAAAGGAGGUGCUUUAACCAAGAAAGGUACGAGGCCAUAAUUGCCGAGGUAGAGAAGCUGUUGAAAGCGGGAUUUAUAAGGGAGGCUAAAUACCCAGAGUGGAUUUCCAACGUAGUGUUGGUGAAGAGGCCAACGGAAAAUGGCGAAUGUGUGUGGACUUCACAAACCUUAAUAAGGCAUGCCCGAAGGACAGUUUUUCCUUACCAAAAAUAGACCAAUUGGUGGAUUCAACGGCGGGGCAUAGUCUGCUCAGCUUUAUGGAUGUCUUCUCAGGAUACAACCAAAUACCCAUAAACGAGUAGGACGAGGAGAGUACCACCUUUAUAACUAACAUGGGUUUGUUUUGUUACAGGGUGAUGCCUUUUGGCCUGAAAAAUGCAGGAGCUACCUAUCAAAGGUUAGUGAACAAGGUCUUCAAACCAUUGAUCGGUCACACUAUGGAGGUAUAUGUAGAUGAUAUGAUCACAAAGUCAAGAGAACCGAAGGAUCAUGUGAAGCACUUGGAAGAGACCUUUGAAUUGCUGAGAAGGUAUGAAAUGAAGCUGAACCCGGAGAAAUGUGCAUUUGGGGUCAGCUCGGGCAAAUUUUUGGGAUACCUGGUGAGCCAUCGAGGGAUCAAGGCCAACUCAGAAAAAAUACGGACGGUGAUAGAAAUGAGGUCCCAAUGAACAGCUAAGGAGGUGUAGAGCCUUACAGGGAAAUUGGCAGCAUUGAACCGAUUCAUUUCGCGAGCCACUAAUAAGUGCCACCCUUUCUUCCAAACCAUAAAGAAAGAGAGGAAGAUGGAAUGGACAUCAGAAUGCAAAGAGGCAUUUGGACAGCUGAAGGAAUACCUAGCCCGCGCCCCGUUACUAUCAACUCCGAGAGAGGGUGACCAGCUGCUUUUGUACUUGGCAAUCUCUAAAUGGGCUACCAGCUCGGUCUUAGUCAGGGACGAAGAAGGGAAGUAACACCCGGUAUACUACACAAGCAAGGCCCUGGUAGACGCAGAAACCAGAUAUCCACUGAUGGAGAAGUGGACGCUGGCUCUAAUAACGGCAGCACGCAAAUUCCGACCAUAUUUUCAGGCCCACCAGAUUGUUGUGAUGACUGACCAGCCCCUUCGGCAAAUGCUUCAAAAACCAGAUGCAUCUGGUCGGUUAGUAAAAUGGUCCGUGGAGCUGAGCAAAUUUGACCUAUCCUAUAGGCCCCGAAGAGCAAUCAAAGCCCAAGCCCUGGUCGAUUUUAUAGUUGACCGUGCUGAACCAGGGGAAGAAAUUCAGGAGGAACAACCAAUAGAGCAGGAGAAACCAGAGGGGGUGUGGCUGGUGAUGGUUGAUGGGCACAUAAUGAACAGGGAUCCGGAGCAAGAGUUGUAAUACGGAGCCCAAAAGGGAUCGAGGUAUCCUAUGCAGUAAAAUUCGAGUUCCAGCUUACGAAUAACCAAGCUGAAUAUGAGGCCUUCAUUACUGGGCUCGGGCUUGCACAUGCACUACGAGCUGAAAAAGUAGAAAUCCGAGCAGAUUCCCAGCUAGUCUGCAAUCAGCUCUGCAACUAAUUCCAAGUAAGGGAAGAGAAGUUGGGGCGUUAUUUGAAGAAGGUGAAGCAAAUGGUUGAACUCUUCAAAGAGAUAGAGGUAAAGCAGAUAUCCCAGAUGAGAAUUACCAAGCAGAUAUGUUGGCUAGAAUGGCUGCAAUUGUAGAUCCAAAAUUACCUAAGUCAGUUCCACUAGAGGUGAGGACCUCGCCUAGUAUAGGGGAGGAAGUAGAGGUAAUGAGAGUAAGCACUGAAGAAUCCUGGAUGGACCCGAUUCUCGCAUACAUCCGCGAUGGCAUUUUACCGGAGGACAAAAGGCAAGCAAGAAAAUUAAAAUGCCGAGCAGCGAGGUACACGCUACUCGAUGGGAUGCUCUACCGCCGAGAAUUCACCUUGCCCCUUUUGAGAUGUUUGGAUGAUGAGGAGGCAGAUUAUGUAUUAAGGGAGAUUCAUGAAGGAAUAUGUGGAAAUCACUCGGGAGCAAGAACUUUAGCCUUCAAGGCACUCCGGCAAGGAUACUUUUGGCCAACCAUGCACCAGGAUGCGAAAAGGAUGGCAAAGAAUUGUAAAAUCUACCAAAGUUUCUCAGAUAUUCCUGCACAACCCCUAGAAAAGUUUACCACUAUGACAUCCCCAUGACCUUUUGCUCAAUGGAGAAUCGACCUGAUUGGUCCGUUACCGAAGGGCCGAGGAGCAGCAACACAUGCAAUUAUAGCAAUAGACUACUUCACCAAGUGGGUAGAAGUGGGAGUCUUCAGCCAAAUCACGGAGAGAAAGACGACGGAUUUUCUUUGGAAUAAUAUCAUCUGGAGAUACGGAAUCCCUUAUACCAUCAUUACAGACAAUGAGAGGUAAUUUGACAACAACUUCAGAGAAUUUUGCCGGAACCUGGGGGUAGACCUGAAGUUCUGCACCUUGCACACCCCCAGGCAAAUGGACAAGUGGAAGCAGCCAACAAAGUAAUAAAGAAACUCCUGAAAACUAGACUGGGAGAGAAGAAGGGAGCUUGGGUCGACGAGCUGCCAGGAGUAUUGUGGGCUUACCGGACAACUCACAAAACCGCCACAGGGGAAACCCCGUUUGCUUUAGCUUUUGGUCAUGAGGCGAUUGUCCCAGCAGAAAUUGGAGUGGAAACACAUCGGACGGAAUAUUUCAAUAAGGAGCAAAACGAUGAGUAGAUCUGCUUGAGCCUGAACCUGCUGGAGGAGAAAAGGGAAGGGGCCUCGCAGAAAGUGGCCCAAUGUCAGCAAAGGGUGAUGCGUUAUUACAACAAGAACGUAUGCGUGAGGCAGUUCCGAGCAGGGGAUUGGGUGCUUAAGAAGGUGAAUCAAAACACUAGGGAUCCUAACCAUGGCGCGCUCGGCCCGAAAUGGAAAGGCCCAUACAGGGUGAUUCGGGCGACUGGACCAUGAGCUUACAAGCUAGCGUACCCAGACGGACGAGACGUGAAGAGGUCGUGGAACGCCGAGCACUUGAAGAAGUAUUUUCAGUAAGCAGAGUGCUCUACUAAGUCUUCAUUUUGACAAGUUAUUUCUAUUAAAUGCAUGAUGAAUUGUUACACAUGCAUAUAUUCUGCAUUUCUGUAAAGCAUUCAAAUUUCAAUAAAGAUGAAUUCAGCAUGAAAUCCCUCUGCUAGCAAGCCCAUUAAAUUUUACUAAGGCAAGUAAGUGUUUGUUCCUGCUCGGUCAACGAAAGACCAGCAGGCAAUUUCACGAAAUUUUACUAAGGCAAGUAAGUGUCUGUUCCUGCUCGGUCAACGAAAGACCAGCAGGCAAUUUCAUGAAAUUUUACUAAGGCAAGUAAGUGUUUGUUCCUGCUCGGUCAACGAAAGAUCAGCAGGCAAUUUCACGAAAUUUUACUAAGGCAAGUAAGUGCAUGUUCCUGCUCGGUCAACGAAAGACCAGCAUGCAAUUUCACGAAAUUUUACUAAGGCAAGUAAGUGCAUGUUCCUGCUCGGUCAACAAAAGACCAGCAGGCAAUUUCACGAAAUUCUACAAAGGCAAGCAAGUGUCUGUUCCUGCUCGGUCAACGAAAGACCAGCAGGCAAUUUCAUGAAAUUUUACUAAGGCAAGUAAGUGUCUGCUCCUGCUCGGUCAACGAAAGACCAGCAAGCAAUUUCACGAAAUUUUACUAAGGCAAGUAAGUGCCUGCUCCUGCUCGGUCAACGAAAGACCAGCAGGCAAUUUCACGAAAUUUUACUAAGGCAGGUAAGUGCCCAAUCUUGCUCGGUCAAUGAAAAACCAGCAGGCAAUUUUAUGGAAUUUUCACUAAGGCAAAUAAGUUCCUAUUCCUGCUCGGUCAACGAAAGACCAGCAAGCAAUUUUAUAAAAUUUUACUAAGGCAAGCAAGUGCCUAUUCCUACUCGGUCGCCAAAAGGACCAGCAGACAAAUCUACAAAUUUGGUUAUAGCAAACAACUAUCUAUUCCUACUCAGUCGAUUAUAGGGCUAGCAGGCAAAGCCAACUAAAAGUGUUAAGGCAAUUUGCAAAAACGAUUUAUAAGUAAAACCACAAUAGAAGAGCCAAUAGAAAGCAUUUAAAAUUUAUGCUAAAAAAUGUUUACAAAACAGAUGAAAAUUUAGAGUUUAUACAAAAAUAGAACUAAAAAUUUGGAGGGUCGACAGCUUCAGCAGUUGAAGAAUCAGCAAUCUCGGGAGGUGAAGGAUCAGCAAUCUUGGGAGGUGAAGGAUCAGCAAUCUCGGGAGGUGGAAGAUCAGCAACACCGGGAGGAGGAGGCAUGGACCCUUGACCCAUUUCAAGAGCACGACCCCCAGCUUCCCCUUCCUACACCCCAUCUACAGGAGCCUCCACCUGAUCCUGCUCACCCUGCUCCUUACCUCCAUGAUCGGCCUCAGCCAUAUAUCUCUGCACUCCAGCCUCCAGCUUGCUCAUGUCCAGCUCGGGAUAUUCUUCCUUAAGCACAGACAUGAUGCACUUAUAGCAGAAAGCAACCCCAGAGUCAUACUAUGCAUCCAGCCAAUCAUCCACAUCAACAGAUUUGCCUUUCGCCUCAGCCAACUGCUCAUUCAAGGAUUUGAUUUCUCACUCAAGGGCGGUCCUCAAAGUAUCUCUUUCACUUUGAGUAGCCUGAAGAUCAGACUUCAGGUCACCCAACUCACCCUCAAGUUUGGAAGAGGUGGACUCAGUAACCGCAACUUUCUCCUCCAGCUCCGUAAUCUACUUGUUUAGCUCAGCCAGCUUCUCCUUCGAGCGAUCAGCAGAUUCAGUUUUUUUCUUCAAAUCCUGAUUGUCAGCUUGAAGCCUCCUCUCAUGGCGCGUGGACCUGUUCUUGUAACAAGAAACUAUAGUGGCCAGCUUGAAGGAGACCCUCUGGACAGAACCAGCCAACUCACUGAGGCUCAUACUCUCGAUUUCCUUCACCAUCUUGGGCCCCACCGAUUUGCCGUAAUCCCUCUAGUACGGGCUCAGGUAGUCACCUUGAUCCCGAGAUGGAAGAGGAGCAGACCGGUCCCCGGAUUGGAUGCUGACCUCGGGACCCUUGUCGGAAGUUUUCUCCCCACCACUCUUACGAGGUGGAGGAGGAGGCAGAGCAGGAGCAGGAGCUUUGGAAGGACUGACGCUGGUUUUCUUUGGAGGAGGAGGAGGGUUACUGGAGCUGCUUGGAGCCCGAGCACAUUUUCUGCUCAUCGCGCUGAGGAUCUUGUUAUCCAUUCCGGCUGCAAUGUCCACUAAGCCCGAACCGACCAAGUUUGUUGGUGACAGGAGGUCUUGGCAAAUAGACGCGUUCACUAGAGCAGUUUCCACCUGAAGCAAAGGUUGGUCUUCAAGAUCCUUAACCAAACCCCACGAUUCUGAAAAAACAAAUAAGGUUAAAGAACCCAAUAAGUGGCAAUUUGAGAAAGAAUAUAGGCAAAAAAUGAAUGACCUGGGGUGACAAAAUGCGUUGGAAGGUAAAUAUCACCACCCAACGAGCGGGCUGCUGGACACCAAUUUCCUCCAGCAAAGAAGAAUUUGUUCUUUCAAUUUUUGCACGAGGAGGGGAAGCCAGUAAUUGGCUUCCUCUUCGCAAAGCUCGACAUGAAAUAAUACCAGCCUGCUUCCUUUGGGCUACUCCUCAGCUGGUAUAAAUGCUUCACUUCAACAAGGAAGGGCUCAUCUGAUCCACACCUCUCCCAUAAUACGAACAUAGCCGAGAGAACCCUCCACCCAUUCGGAUGUAACUGACCUGGGGCCAGGUGCAUACCCCCCAGUAUCUUGGCAAAAUAACGCUGAAGGGGCAGCCGAGCUCCUAGUCUAAAACUCUUCAGGUGCAUCGUCACAUACCCCCGCGGAGGCCGACUAGGAACAUCACCUUUCCCAGGAACUACAAGGGGAACCUCCUCAGGAAUGUUGUAAAGGUUCCUAAGCUUGAAUAGAUCAGUUUGGGUGGUGGCACAGGCUAUGUAGUCGAUAAGGUAAGAAUCCGCCUCCACCCUAUGGCCAAGGUUUCUCUUCUUAGGAGCUCGGCUCGGCUCGGAACUGCUUCUCUCACCAUCACCCACUUCUUCAGGGACCCCAACCCCAUCAGAACUGUGGUUCUCACCAGAGCCCGACGUAGGUCCCCCUCUAUUUCCUACAAGCUCUAAUUCAGGGGAAGGUGAAAUGGUCAGGGGACGUGGGUACUCAAGGGUAUCCCUGCCAUGGGAGGGGCCUACACUACUCGAGGGACGUAAAAAAUCAGUGUGUAUUGACAAGUUAAGGUGUAAAUCCUCUGUUUCUUUGUCACUCUCAUCUGCAAUCAACUUCCUUCUCCGAUUUGACAUAUCGAAGUCCCAAAAGGAAACCAAAACAAACCCGAGUAUACGAAUACAAAAAGGGGCAACAUAGAACCCAAUCAACAACAACCAAAGAAGAGGUUAAAGGCUAUACUUGGAAUAGACUGGCACUGAUAAUGUUGCUGUGAUGGAGGAAAGACCCAGUAAACGGAAAUCCCAGACGCGGAAAGUAUGAACGAAGUUCGUAGGAGUUGUCUCACGACAGAGAAGCGAAUAGUAAAACGAUGAUGAUUUCAAUCUAGGGAUUUGAAACGAAAAGGGGGAAAUGGAAGCGUUUAAGUGAUGGGCAUGCCAGCUCACUCACCUUAUAUCGAGGAUGGAUAGCCCGUCGUUUCAAAUUUCAAAUACGAAGAGUCGGGAAGCGCCACGUCACUAACUAUUAUAAAAGGCCUGACGAGACAUAGGCCCAAAUAUUUACGAGAUAUAUUCAUAAAGGCCCAUACUCGGAUAAAAAUCUCCUCAGACGAGAGAGGGAACCUCAGGUCCAUCCCAGUAAACAGAAGACCAAAUGGGAAGUUUCCCGGGCCGGUAAGAUUCGAUUAUCAGUUUCUACUCUCAACUCCUUUCACUCGCAAGACCAGAAACUGGGGGACUGGUGUUAGGUAAAUAAGAGCACCAGCUCGGCCAUGCCAUCAAUGAUACGAGCAGAACACUGAUAAUGAGCCCUCUACAAACAUGGGCCGACCAGAGACGAGUACCAGCCAGAGGAAUAUACCGACCAGAGACAUAUACCGAGCCGAUACCCAUUCCCCAAAGAGCGGGAACACGAUCCCACAGAAUCACGACAGUUGCGCUUUUCCCAAAACUGUUGAGGGAAACGCGAGAUCCCACGUUUGCCCAUAAUGUAGCAGUUAGAGUCCCAUGAAGGGCUGCCACUACCCAAAAAAGGGGGGAUGAAGGGUAAACGGAAACGUGGGACAGCGGCUAUAAAAGAGGAAGAAAUCGAUGAAGAAAGGGAUAGAAAAAUUGAGAGAAGGGAAAACUCUGUCAAAUUGAAACCAGACCAUUUUCAAUACAAAUUGUGAGCCCAUUAUAAGCAAUUUAUCGAAUCUUAAUUGUAUUGUUUUUCCGUAAACACCUUGUGCUAACUUAGGCAUCGGAGGGUUUACGCCGGCAAAACCACCGGCGUCUCUGAUCCACUUUUGUGAAUGCAGGCUUAGUGGGAGAAGGAAGGAUAAUUCUAACUUCGAUGACUAGAGCAAUCGUCGAAGUAAGAAGAAAUUGACAUCCUCACUGUUGAUAAUAUAAACGUUGGUGUAAAGAUCUGGUCGAACAAAAGACGAGCAGAUUUCAGCAUCAACACCAUGUUUAAAAAAUAAUAAAAAAUUAGAUUAACACUACUGUAGCAACGUUUUUCUAAACAGUGCAGCCAGCCCAAAACCUGCUCCCAGAAUAUAUUUUAAUGCUGGUCUAACUACAUCAGCAAACAUUGCAACUAAAACUUGUAGCUAAAUAUGGGAUAACAAAAUUCUGAUAAGGAACAGUAUUUUAAUGCAGGCUGCCAAACGAUCUUCUUCUUCUUAAUAAUAGAUAAACUUACUAAGCUUGCGAAAGGUUCUGAUUUCGAAGUUAAUCAUCUUCUUCUUAAACAAACUAAGCAGACCCAUCAGCUUCUUAUUUACUUCAUUUACCAAAAAGGAAAAAUUAUACCUAAUAAAUCCCAAAUUGUAAUAAAAAAAUUUAUUUUCAAUGCUGAUUGAAAAAAAAAAAAUCCUUCUUUUACAGUCAGGGCAUGCAAACUAAUUGUGAAAAUAAAAGAGAAAGGACCAAGCUAAAACUUACAGGUUGAAGCGUGUAUCGCAGGGAGCCACUUAAUUGAACUCCAAUGAAGUGUUUGAAUGAAAGAAGGAAAAUAUAUUUCUUCUGUGUAAAAGCAAUCAGGCAAUUUCGGAGCUCAGUGUUCUGCUGUAUGUCUUCAGAAGUCCUAUUUCCAAAAGCCAAAAGCCUUGGUCAAAACUAACUUUCAAAGGUUUUGCCCCCACGAAAUUUCCUUGAAGCUACAAGAAAUGUUUUAUUUUUUUUUAAUACGCGUGUUGAAAAGCGGGAAAACACUCUUUUUGUCACUUUUAUCUUUUUUUUGUUCUUUUUUCCUUCCCACCCCCCGCCCCCCUCCAGCUACGGUGGCGCUAUUUAUUAGAUGUAGGUGUCCAGUUGUUUUCACAAUUAUUUUAUGUGACAUCAUUUUCUUAAUAUUUUUAGAUUGCGGUAAUACCUAGUUGGGGACAGAAAUGUGAAGGUUGGACAUGUGGCAAUCUUUGACUAAACAAGCCAGUCGGGAUAAAUAAAAUAAUAUUUGAAACGCUUUUUUCAACUUUUUAUUUUCAAUUCAAAACCGAAAUGUCAAAAAAUUGAAACCACAGGUUAUCAGCAAAAAGUAAAACUAAGACAAAAAAUAAAAUAAGACCAAAAAUAAAAAUUUCUCAAAUUUAUGAGUAAUUAUAUGUAAUGGGGUAAUGCUAGACACACCAUUAGAAUAAGGCUAACGCUACGUUACGUUAAACGUAAGAUACAUUCCACAAAGAUAAUAUCAAUAAGUGCCCCUAAUUAUUAUGGAAACUACAUUAUUUGAAUUAAAAGAAAUACUUUUAAAUCUCAAAGAAGAAAUGAAAGAAAUCAAACAAGAAAUAGGAAAGAUAAAAAUAGAAUUGUCUGUAAUUCAAUUAAGCCAAAAGAAAAAUAAAAGAGUGGAAAAAUUUGAAAUACUAAAAUCUGGAAUAAUUGGAACAAGCCUUAAAAAACCCAUACAAAAACCUCAACCAGGCAGCUACGAUGACUGGUUUGUAAAGACUCAAUACCCAAAAAUAUUAGAAGAAACAGAAAAAUUAAAAGCAGAAUUAAAAAUUGAAGAAAAAGGAAAAGAAAAACUAGAAAUAAAAGAAACAUCACUUAGCGAUACUGAUUAAUGGAUGAAAUACUAGAAGAAGUAACUGAAAAAUUCAGUGACAUAAAUCUAAGUGAUUUGGAAGAAUUUGAAAGAGAAUAUUGUGUAAAAAUGAAUACUGCUGGAGGACCAGAAAUGAAACCUAAUGUAGCAGAGCCAAGCCAUAGAUAUGAAAUACAAAAGAAGAAAAGACCAUUUUUUGAAUAUAAUCAAAUAGACAAUCCUUACAUGGAAGAAGAGGAAAAACCCCUAAAUCCAAAAGAAGAAGAAUAUAAACAAUUUUCUACAUGGAUAUAUUCCACUUGUUCUCAUAAUAAUACAAUAUUUAGAGCACCUGGAAAAAAUAUGUACCCCAGGAUGAUUGUUACAAAAGGAGCAGACCCACUCCUUGUUGGGAAAAUAGCAAAAUAUGGCUAUUUAGACUUAGUAUAUCCUAGUGUAGAUCUUCGAGAAAUAGCCAGCUUUGAUGAGUUACUAAUAAAAGAAGUCUCAAGGUUUGCCCAAAAAAGACCCAUAUAUUUAAAGUUUUAUACUAUAAGUCCAGAAUACCAUCAGAAUAUAGAAUACCAAGCAUUCUACAUGAUUUCUGUAGGUCAUAUUACAAAAAAUUUUAAAGUCGAAGUAGGAACAGAAUAUACAAAUGUUCCUCACAUAAAUGAAACCUGGAUCAGAACACGGAGAGCCAGAGGAAUAAAGGCUAUAUGGAGCAUAGCAAAGGAUUUAUAUAAGAGAAAUUUCAGAUCCAUCAUUAAAUUUCAAAAUUACAUCCUUAUAACUUCUGAGGAUGGACAUACACCUUCAAAUCUGUUACUAGAGUUCAUCAAUGAAAUAAGUACUAUGCGUUUCCCUAGUAGCAGCAAAACCACAGAACAAGCUUAUCAACUCAUGGAUAUAAAGCAGUGAUUGACAGGCUAUGGCCGACAGCAUAAAACAAAGAAAAGAUAAAGAUAUGGUGGACAAGAUAAAAGGUGAUGUCUGACAAAAGGAUACGAAGCAUGAAGAUAAAGAUUCGAAGAUAAGGCAUAUGGAAAAGCAACAACAAGACAAGAUAAAGUGGCUUGACAAGAUACGAAGCAUGAUAGACAAGAUAAGGAGCAUGAUAAAUCUACAGGAAGAUGCUUGAUAAUGAUGUAAAAGCACAAUAAUACAAGGACAAAAAUGUAACUUGCUUGAUAAUAAUGUAAGAGCCCAAUAAUACAAGGGCAAAAAGGUAAACAUAAACCCGAGACGACUUGAAUAUAAAUAAAGAGCAAUAAUCUCUAAGGGAUUAUUCAACCAUUUUUACAAUAAUUCCAUUGUCUUCUAUGAUCAUGAAUAGCUAAUUCUCUCAGCUCAGAAUCCUAAAUCGAUACAUCAUUAAUAAAAAACAAAAAAUCACCAUAGAAAGGAAAGAGAAACCUAAAUUUAUUCAACAUUUCUAAGCUCAACGAUCGCAUUCCAUACAGUAAGGCCACUCGAGUCCGCCGAUCCCGUUGAGGCAAGGAGGCCGUUGAGGGAGUAAGGACAGUAAGGCUGCAGGUCACUGGAGAAAGAUCGGAAGGCAAAGAAACAAGAAUAGCUUGGGUAAUAAUUCUCAAACCUUAUCUGUUGGUGGAAGUUUGUUGAUUAUUAUUGAUGAGGAGAUUUAUGGAGGAAGAGCUAAUUUCUUUGAAGUGAAAUAUUUUAAUGAACAACAAUAUCAUAUUAGGAAAUUCUAAGGAAUACAUGAUAAAUCCAACAACUAGAAUAACAUAUAAUGAUUAUACAAUGAUUAUAGAUUUCAAUUUAGGAUCUUUCAAACAAAGUUCUUAUCUUUUAAAUAAAGACGAACUUGUUAGAACUGAAGAACUACAAGCAGUAUAUGCUCUUGAAUUACCAAAGGAAAUAAAAAGAAAAAUAAUAAAUCAUGUAGAAAUAGAUACUUUAAAGCAUAACAUCAUCAUGCUAACUAUAGAACAAGGAAUUGACAUAGCUCUGGCAUAUACAGAACAUGAAAAUAGAGAAGCUGGACCAUCAUACAUAAACUACUUAGAAAAUUCUGAUAAUGAAGAACUUGAAUUAUAUGGUAUAUAGGCAAGCAACCCAUGACGUAAAUUGGAUAGACGAUCCCGAAUGGGCGUUAGUAUCCUCUGUACUUUGGGAUAACAAGCCACGUACCUAUAAUCAGUAUAGUUUAUAAUCAUGGAAAUUUAUAAUGAAACCAGAUAUUACACUAGUAUAAUAAAUAAUUUUAUAUAUUUUAUAAAAGUAGAAAUAUUCUAUUCAGAAAAUGUAACAGAAAGUUUAAAUAAUCAAACUUUAAAUCCUACAUAUAUUUUGGAAACUAAUAGUAGCUAUUACGACUUAUAUGUUCCCAUUCUUCCUAAUACAUUUCCUAGAACAAUUGAUGGAGAACAAGUUAUAGCUGUAUUUUUAAGAAAUAAUAAUAAUACAGGAUAUGAUAGAUAUGUGCUAUAAAUAAUAAAAACCUUUACAAAAAAAAAAAAUUUAUCUGUUUUUAGUAGUUUAAUUUUUAUCAUUUUUUCAGUUUAUUCAAUUUAUUUCAGUAUAAUUUUUAGUUUCACCGAAACAAAUGGUAUCAGAGCCAAAGUUCUGAAAUAAAAUUCUCACAAAAAACUUAAUAAUAAUUUAUUAAUGGACCCGAUACAAACAAUAGUUAAUAGCUUAUACACUUUAAAGGUAUAUAAUAAAGAAGAAAUAAAAAAUCUCAUUAUGGCUUUAAAAAUUGAUAAAAAUAAUAUUAGAAAUAUAGAACUCGAACUAACAGAAGAACUUAGAGAACGACAUAUAGACACAACAGGAGGAGAGAUAUUAAUAGAAAAGAAAAUGAAAUUUAUAGAUGAAUUUAUAAAAUUUCUAGUAUACUGGUAUAAAAAAGAAACAAUAUGAACCAUAAUCAACAUGCAUUUAAUAUAAUACAUGGAUUAGUAGAUAGUAUAGAUCAUAUGAUUUUAGGAUGGGAAAAUACAUUAAAUACAUAUAUAACUUUAAUAACUCAGAAAAUAGAUUUACUAGAACAAGAAAGAAUAGGAAUAAUAAAUUUAGGACCAGAAAUUUAUUCUGAAAUUAUAGAUCUAUAUGAAUUUGAUAACCAUUUAAUGUUAUUUAAAGAGGUAAUCAAAACCUUAGAAAAAAUAAGAAAUAGAUGUAGAAGGGAUGGAAGAAGACAAAUACAUCUAUAAUUAAUAAAUAGAAGGACCCAAGAAAAAUUAACCAGAAAAAGAAAAAGACAAAAAACGUAAGAUACAUUGAUCGUAACUUAGGUACUCCCUUAGAAUAAACUUAUCCUGUAACUAAAAAGAAAAAAAAGGCGGCGGUUAAAAAUUAAAAUAAAUAAAAGAACUAAAGAAGGAGCUGUAAACAGGAAAACAUAUACACACGUGUGAGUGAGAGAAGCUACCAAAACCUGACCCGAAACCCGACCCAAACCCGCAAGCCCGACCCGGCCAUAUCUCCAAUUUCCGGCCACCUCAUCGGCCGAGCAACGUACCAACCUGAAGCUUGAAGACCAUCAUACCCCAUCUGUCCUCGUCGCCGGAAAAUGGUUAGAACGCCGGCGAUCAAGCUCGAUAAGCGGCGGUAAAAUCCACCCCUUCUCGCCGUCGAUUCCGCCAGUUUUGGGUGACGUCACCGCCUGGAUCUUGAUCCUCAGAUCAUUCCCAUCAUUUUCCGACCAACCCCGCCACCUGAAACCGCCGUUUUGGCAGCGAACGACCGCCGGAAAGCUUGCGGCUUGGGAAACUCGAUCCGCCGCUUUUGCCGCGCGUGCAAGCUCACUGCCGGCACCAUUAGGCUCAGCGUGGCCGAACCUUUCAGGCUUGAGCUUCCCGGCUACUGUUGACUGAAUUUCGGUCACUGAUGACCGGUGAGGGCAAUCUCGUAAUUUUAUAUUUUGAGGGCGAUUUUGUAAUUUCGGAUCAUGUGGAGAUUUUACUUAUUCCGAAAAAUUAAGGAUUCGUUGUAAUUAGGAUUUUGAGGGUAAUUUGGUAAUUUUUAAUUCGGGAGUAUUUUAAUAAUGUACAAACUCAAGGGUAUUUUAGUAAGUUUUUUGGCACAAGAGUUAUAAAUUAUGGAUUGAUAUUGGUUUUGAGUUUAUUGCAUAAAUUUGGUCCUAAUUUCGAUUAAUGAAAAAAUAAUUAUGUCAUUUCCUUAAUUUAGGAGGAUCCACAAGCUAAUCAAUCCGUAGACGUGAGCGAUAAUUGAGUCUGAGCAUCGUCACUAUGAGUGAAAUAUACAAAACCUAUUUUUAUAGUUAAUUAUGAUAGUGAAACAUGUUCGUGAAAUGAGAAAUUUAAAUGUCUUGAUUCAAUAAAUUUCUCGAAAUGGAUUUAAGUUACGCAUUAAUAUUUUAUUAAAAUGUUUUGGAUUAUGAUUUUCCAUAUCGACUUUGGAAAAAAUAUUAUAAGUGUUUUAUAGACAAGAAAAGUGAUUUGGAUGUGAUAUAAAAAGAAAAUAGAUUUAAAGUAUGUUAAAUAGAAAGGAAAUGAGAUUUAUAGUAUGAUUUUAUGUUCAUGUAUAUGUGUAUAAAAUGUUGAUUGUAAAAUUAUUGGACAGUACCAUUCUUUGGUUGCAAUGAUACAGAUAUGAUGAGGCUUUUGGAGCCCGUUUAAAAACACAUAAAGGCUUUUGGCCGUGUGUUUGGGUGUUUCUGCCUUUUGAGGGCAUAUAUAUGUGAUAUGAUGAUAAUAGUGAUAUAGAUACAAAUAAUAAAGAUGAGAUACAAGCUUUUACAGGCUCGUCUAAGUACACACAGAAGCUUUGGCCCGUGUGCUUAGGCUCUUUUGUCAUUUAAGAACUAGAUUAUGCAUGCACAAAUAUGAUGAUAUGUGAGAUGACACUUUUAUGUCUAUCUGUGUAGCUCUGGGGCAUAACCGUACCUAGAUAAUACAUCAAUACCCAUCUGUUGAGGUCUGGAUACGGUGAGAUUAUUUCUUUGGGUACUUAUUUAAUGAUAAUUUUAAAUUUGUGUAUUUUAUAUGAUAUUGUAAUAUAAUUUCCAUGGUUAUUAUGUACGAUAUUACAUAUGUUCUUCAAGGUUAAUAAUCUGAUUUAAAUGUUAAAUGAUUUAUAAAUAUUUUCUCGUAUAUGGUUUGAUGAAAUCGAAUUUAAAAAUGAUAUGAUUAAAUUAUUUUUAAGUUAAAUUAAUUUUCAAAAAUCAUUAUCCACUGACCUCAUUGAGUUUUAUAUUCAUCAUGUUUUUAUUAUAUUUUUCCCCUCAAAAGGAGAUUGUAGGUACACCAAAUCAACCUAGGGACUGUAGAUAUUUUGAAUUUUGGGCACAUGAUAGUGUUACAAGAUAUAGAUGAUUUUUAUUAGGACAUCCUGAUCAUUUCAUUUUUCUUUUUUUGCGAUUGUAUAAUUUUAUUGUAUUAUUCUUUUGGGAUUAAGAAUAAACUAAUGUAUAUUAAUAUUGGUUAUAAUAAAUACGAAUACAAUAUUAAAAUAAAAAUACUAACUAAAAUAGCACAUUAAUACAAAUAAGAUAUUAAAAUAAAUAUAAUUAAAAAAACAAAAUAUAUAUGUCAUGCAAAUUAUUUUAAUAUUAAAGCCAUUAUCAACAUGUCUCAAUAGAUUUUAUUAAAACUUAAAUUUGUUAAUCCAAAAAUUUAUUUUUUAUUUAUUCUAUUAUAGACAUAACUCAAAAAAAGUAAUAUAUAUAAUAUAAUAUAAAUAUCGAUUUUAUAAAUUAUUUUGAACGUUAAAUACAUUUAUUUUAUAUUAUUAAUCUAUGAAACCAAUUUUAUUAAUAUUAAACAAAUCUAACAAAUUAGUAAUAUCAAAAAAAAUAUUGUUUAAUAUUAAAAUAAUUUAUAAUAUUUAUAAUAUUUUAUUUAAUGAACUAUUUAAUAUUAUAUUUCUAUGUGUUAUAAAAAUUUAUUUAAAGUCAAUUUCUAUGUUGUUGUAAUCUAAGAAUAUAAUCUUUAGAAAGGGGUAUGUGUGAUCAUUUGUGAGAGCAAGACGACCUAUGUUAUAUUUUAAAUAAAUCUUGGAGGCAUGGGUGCAUUUUUUCCUAAAGAAAAUAAAGACUUUAAAAAAACUUAACUUGAUUAAAGGACCCAGGGUUUAGAAUUCGUAAUAGCUAGCAUGAACAAAUAUCGUAUUCGGGGCAUCAAUCUUUGUUAUUAUUAUUAUUAUUAUUAUCACCAUCAUCAUCAUUAUUAUUAACAAUUACACAAAUAAGAAUAAUAACAAUAACAAUUAUAUAAUAAUAUUUUAAUUGAAGACAAAAACAAAAUUAUGAAGUUUAAGUGGGGUAAAAUUUGGAGCUCAUAGGAAUAAGAACUUGACUCCCAAAGGUCCAUAAGAAUCAAUUCUCAUUCAUUAAUCCUAGAAACGUAUCGGCCCCCCACAUUUUAUUUUCGUUCCUUUUUCUAUUUUUAAAAAUAAACAUUAUCGAUCAUUCUCAUUUUGAAUUUUAAUUUCAGAAUCUAACUAGUAAGCACAUCAUUAAUGUAUCACACGAGAGUAAUAAGAGUAGUAAUAGGCCGGCGAAGACAACGGUUAGGAAAAUAACUACAGCAAAGCGGUGGAAACAAAGUGUUCCAUGCAAGUACGGGUUCGGAAUUAGAUUUGUCUAGGAGUGUAAAAAAUAAUUAAAUUGAAUAACUGAGUUACGUAAGACAAACAUUCAUGUAAACUUCUAAAACAAAUGCUAGAAUACAAAACUGCGAGGAAACUUACCGCUCUGAGCGCGUGGGAGGCACUGAAAGAUGAUGAAAUUUUACUUAGAUUACAAUUAGGACAGUGUUUAUUUUUUAGAGUGGGAGUGAGGAGUGUGGAUUCCUCCCACUUUAGUGUUGACUUCAACAAAAUAGAGAAGGAUUGGGAAUCCCACUCCGUGGGCUCCACUCAUUUUUGGAGUGGGGAGUGGGAGUGGGACUCCCACCUCUCCCUUUUCUAUUUUUUUUUAAAUUUAAUUUCAUAAAAUAAAAUAAUUUAUAAUUAUAUUUAUUUAAAUAAUAUUAUUAUAUUUAACUAAAUAAUAAUUUACAUUGAUUAUAAGUUAAAAUUACUUUAAAAUAAUAUUAUUAUAUUAAUAGAGAAUUAAUAAAUAUAUGCUAUCUUUAUUUAAUAAUAUAAUAUUAUUAUAUUUAUUUUAAAAAUAACAGUACUAUAUUUAUUUAAUAUUAAUAAUUAAUAAUAAUAAACAGUUUAUUCUAAGAAAAUAUUAAUUUUGUACUAAAUAAUAUUAUAUUAAUAAAUUUAAUAUAAAUAUAUAAAAUAAAAUAAUGUUUCAUUUUAUAUUUACCCUUCUUUUUAUUAAAUUUACUACAACUAUAUUUAAUAAAUAUUUAAAUAAUAUUAUUAUAUUUAACUAAAUAAUAAUUGUGUUUGAUUCUAAGUUUAAUUUACUUAAAAAUAAUAUUAUUAUAUUAAUAGAGAAUUAAUCAUAUUACUAUAUACAAUCUUUAUUUGAAAAUAUAAUAUUAUUAUAUUUAUUUAAAAAUAAUAGUAUUAUAUUUAUUUAAUAUUAAUAAUUAAUACUAAUAAAUAGUUUAUUCUAAGAAAAUAUUAAUUUCAUACUAUGUUAAUAGUAAAAAUAUUUCAUUUAUAUUGCCCUUAUCAACAAUUUUUAAUUUAUAUAAUUAAAAUAAAAAAAAUUGUGAUGUUCAUAAUUAAGAAUAUUAAUAAUUAUUAUAAAUUUACAAAUAUAAUAAAAUAAAUGUUUAUUCAUUAAAUAUAUUUUUUAUUAACUUUGUGAUUAAAAACUAUAAUUCUUUACAUAAGGAUAAAAUUGUAAUUUGAAAUUAUUUACUCCCAAUUCAAGACAAAGUAAACACAUAAAUUAGAUUCUGAUCUCUAUUCCAUGCUUCUAUUCAUGUGCAAGUAAAUAACCUACUCCCACUCCCACUCUACACUCCCAAUCUUAAAAUUCUCACUGCUCAAGAUUCCCACUCUAAUUCAAAAAGUAAACGCAGCCUGUGUUUCUUUCAAAGAAAUCAGUUAGAGGAUUUCAUGUUUUCUAAUUAAUUCUUCUUCUUUUGUUGGCCGACAGCAAGUCUUGUCAGCGAUAUUUGCAAGAGAUAAUUAUAAAGGACGGCGAAUGGAAUAAAAGACAUGUUCAACUGUAACAAAUGCUUCGAUAACGUAGAGUCCUAGACACCUAAAGCAAUUGCAUUAUCUCUAAUUAUUUAAAUAAUAAUAAUUUAGACUACUUAAUGAAACAAGACAUAGAAGAUACAUGGUAUGAACCAACCUCUCCACUGAUCAUCUAUUUUGUCUUCUUUUUCUCUUCUUUUUCUCUUCUUCAAGUUCUUUUAGUACGUGACGCGGCAUUUUAUUUUGUUUAUUCAGUGUCGAUAAAACUGUGUCGGAGCAUCUUCCAAGAAAUUAUAUAUGAAACAUAAAUUAUAAGUAAGUACAGUAAUAUUAUAUUCAUAAAUUAUGUCUACAAAUAGAAAGUAAAUUAACAUAACAUCAAUGAAAUAAUAAACAUAUAAAUAAUAAUGAUAGAUAAAAAAAAAUGUGAUAUGAGCCUAAUUAGAUAAAUCAGUAAUGCCUUAAUAAACAAUAGUAUAGUUUAUGGUAAGGCUAGCCUUUUGAAGAGAUGAAAAUCCGCCAAACAUCGUUUCCUCAAAAAAUAGGAACUUUUAAAACCAUAUGCAUAUGAAAAUUUAUCAAAAAUAAACUUUAUUAUACACUAAUUGUUCCGUGCCAUUUUCCUGAAUACUUUUUGUAUAUUUUAGAAACACAUACCUAAACAAUCUGAUCAAGCAUGAAAUCAUUUUCGAUUCAUGGAAGACAACAACUUUGGGGAUGAUAUUUUGCUCUUGUGGUAAUUGAAGAUGCAUACUUACUGAAAUAUUCAGAGAAUAGUAAGUAGGCUUCUCCUUUUGUAUGAGUUCACUCAAUGAAUCUUUGAGGUUGUGGUUCCUCAUCACCUCAACAUAUGCAGUAAGGCUUCGCCUUGAUGUUGUUGCUACAACCAGUGGCGGACUCAGAAACUAAAAUGAGGGGGGGCUUAGUUUAAAAAAAAAUUAUUUAACUUAAAUUUUUUUUAAUGUUCACUUGAAUACAUUUUAAGUCUUAUAAAUUCAAAUUUUAUUACUUUUUUUUAAUUCUAAAUAAUAAUAGUAAUAAAUUAUUUUUUUAAAUGCGUGAAAAUAUCAUUGUUUCGAAGUAGUUUCCACAAAAUAUUUUAAAAAAUAAAAUAAUGUGGCUAAUGGGAUUUGAACCAAGGUUUUAAAACCAUUAAAUAGCACUCUUACCAUUGAACUACAAGUCUUUUGAUGUAUAAAAAAUAUGUCCAAAUUCAUUUAUCUAACUUUUUCAGAAGGGGCUUGGGGCACAUUUAAAAGAAAAUUUAACGGCCCAGGGGGGGCUAAAGCCCCUCCUGGGCCUUCAUUGGGUCCGCCCAUGGCUACAACCAUCUGUGAUGCAACAAAAUUUUGAGAGGGUUCAUUCAGAUUAUAAGUGGGUAAAGCGACCCCAUAUAAACUGGAGGGAUAUCAUACCUCUCACCUCCUAUCCUGGCCAAAAUAUGUUGAAAAAAUAGCAUAUCAAUAUGCUAUAUUGAGGGCACAUUUUGAAUGGGUCCCAUUUAGCAAAAAUGAGAAAUCUUUGUGAAGUUCGUGUUCUUCUUCGUGAAUAUUUCGAAAGUAAUAUUUAUUUACUCAAAAUGGUGCUUGGGUGAAUAAGCAAUUGUCUCUCAAAGUUCACUCUUGAAGUUGAAAAUUUGAAAGGAAAUGAGGUUUAUCCCACAAGGGAAAAAUAAUCCAAGGGAUUUGUGUUUAUAUAGGCACUUACCCAUACAUGAGAAAAAAGUAUAAGGAUAGAAGCUUAUCUUCACACGCGUGUGCGCAAAGGGGGAUGCGAAUCCAAGAUCGAUUUGGUUGCCCGCGUGUCUUGCGUACGCGAAUGUCAGUCCAAAAUUUCAAUUUUUUUAUAACAGUUUCACAAUGUUUGAAUUCAAAGGAUUUGUAACAGCUUCGCAAUUAUUUUUUGGGCUGUUAUGCAAUUCAAUUUUUGAAUUCAAUUGGCUGUUACAACAAUUAAAUGGCAUAUAUUGAAUUCAGAAAUUCAAUACUAUGCUGCUGUUAUAUCCUCACAUGUGUAUAAAAAGGCAGCUUCCUCUUCUAUUUUUCGAACACACAGAAACCAGCACACAGAGCACUUAAAAUUUUCUUUCCUUCUUCGUCCGUCUUCUUUUCUGAUCGAGUUUGUCGCUGUUGUAGUUUGCCGAAAUUAUCUGUCUGUGCUUGACGGAUAUUUCUUGCCCAUUGUAUCAUGGGAAACAGUUACCAGCAAACCUAAAGCACUGCAGUAGGUGGUAAAUAUAUUUUAAGGAUACUGUGUUACAGGCCUUGGAUUUAUUUUCUUUGUUUCGUUUGAUUUCCAGUUGCUGUUUUUUGCUGCUGUUUAAUUCCAGUUGCUGUCUUGCUGCAGUUUAAUUCUAUUAGCAAUUAAUUUUGUAUAAUUACCUACUGGUUUUAUUUGUUAACUCGCUGUUGUUAUUUUUCUAACAAAAUACACCUCUGAGAAGGUACAAAUUUUAUGAAGACGCGCAACCCUAAAUUUAUAUUAUUGAAUCACACUCAACAGCUUGGGAAAUUGACCUUGUUGAUUUGAUUGCUUUUGGUUUGGAAAUCGUAGUGGUGGCGCAACGGAUAUCAUCUUCUCUUUGUUCAACACUUCAGUUGGGAAUUGGGAUGGCAUGGUUCCUACUUGGGCAUUUUAUCAAACAUGUUCUGGGCAUGGGUAUCAUACAAUUACUCCUCAAACACAUUUUAUCAAAUCUGCAAAAUUUAACUCAAAUUAUAAUUUAAAAAAUGUGUCAUGUAAUUUAAGUGAAUGAUUGAAAUUUAAAAAUUUAUCAUUAAUCAAAUUUUUUUCAAUUUACGUGUAGGGAAAAAAAGGGAAUAUUAUUUUGAAUUUUUAAAAUAACAAAACAAUAUAAAUUUUUUUUUUUAUUAACACAUUUAUUGAAAUUCAAAUUUUAAGCCUGUCUUUAAAAAUAUAAAAAAAAAAAGAAAAAAAAGGAGAUUUUAUGAUAAGAUUGGGGUGGGGUAGGCAAAUAGUCCAACUCCGUAAAAAAUAUAAACAAAUAGUUCAACAAAAGUCAAAAAGUACAAAUUAAAUAAGCAAGGUUGAAUUCAACAAGCCCAUAAAGGCCUACAAAAUUCCAACAUCAAAAUGGAUGGGAAGGGCACUUGAUGAAGCCUUAUUUUACAAUGAAGACAACCUGUCAGUGGCUAUGAACAAUAAUUGUUUGCCAAAAAUAUUUUUGGUCAAAUAUGUGGUAUGAUCCUUAUAAAUAAAUGAUAAUUUACUUCAUCAAAAUAAAUUUUAUCGAUACAUAUGCAUUUAAUUUCAUUUUUCUCGAUAAAUUAUUGUGCUUUCAAGUUUCUUUAAUUUGCAGCAUUUUAUUAGAAAUUUAUUAGGGCCAGUUUGAGAUUGCAGUAAUUGAUGAAGUAAAUAAUUUCUGCCAUGCGGAUAAAAGAAACUGCUUACUUAAAAAAAAGUUCAAUGUUUGCUAAAUUAUGUUAUUGCAGUUGCUAUAAGUUUAAAAAGCAAAGUAUAUGCAUUUGAUAAAUUUUAUUAUGAAAGUGUUAUUUAAUUAUAUAAUUAUCAAAGUAGAUAUAAGUUUAAAUUAUUUUUUAUUUGUAUAUUAGAGUGAUUUCAUUGGAAAAUAAGAUAUAAUUAUCGUUGUUUUUAAAAUGUUAAGGAUAUAAUAAGAACUUUAAUAAGAUCAACGACUUAUUCAGUAAGCUGCUUAUAAAAAACAACUUCUAUCCUAUUUCAAAAAACUGUUGACAUAAUAGAAAAACUUAUGAAAUAAACCGUUUUAAAAAUAUUACUAAACACUAUUUUUAUUAAAAUUUAUGAAUUAAGCAAUUCCUAACGGGAUUUGUACUAGGAAUAACUAGAACUCUUAAGGCGCUAAUGCUAUUUAUGUAAAAUCUAUACAAAUUCAAUGAAAAUCUCAACGAGCGAAAAUCCUUAUCCGCUUCAAGUACUAUUUAUAAUUUACGAUAAGCUUAGCUGGGCUACUCAACCAGAACAACCGAAGCUAUAUGCAAAAAAGAAUUAAAAAAUAAAAAAAGAGUAUACUCAACCAGAUUGCAAUGAGCUAAUUAGUUUAUUGAAGAUAUUAAUUAAUUAAUUUAUAAAGAAAGUUAAUAAUCAAAAUAACCUCAAAGGUAAAGUACAAAUGAAUAUAAUUUUUAUUUUAAUUUUGGGAUUAAUUUGGUAAAUUAAUUUUUUAAAUAAUUAUUAGAAAGACUAUAAUUGUAAGGGUAUUAAAAAUUGCUUUAAGUUAGUUAGUAUUAAUUUUAUUUUAAAUCAUUAGAAGAUUGUUGUAAGAGUAUGAACAAUACCAGUUCAUUCAGACUGAUAAUAAUUGGUUAAUUUACUAAUAAAUAAUUAUGGCUAAAUUUGUUAAUUAACAUUUUUCAUAGAUUAAUUAAUUAAUGUCUCCAAAAUUGUAGUAAGUGUAUUAUUGUAAAACAAAAGAAAACAAAAGGCAAGAGUGCAUAAAUUCAAUAAUUAGGGUGUCUUGAGAUAUUUUUUAAAUAGAAAUAUUAAACAGAUAUUCAAUCUAAAAUAUAAAGACUAUUCGAACAUUUACCCUCACAACUUUUGACAUGAAUCAUAAAGGAUAAUCGCAUAUUAAAAAAGUAAUUUCUAGUUAAAUUUAUAAUAGUUAUUCAAAAUAGAGAAACUUUGUUAUAGUGAAUGAUAAAAUAAAUAUUAAGAUACGUGCAUAUGAGAUUAUUAUAGAACGAACCUGCUAUCAAACCCGAAGCUUGAUCCUCAGCUGAGGUUUGUAUUGUACAACUCCCAUCAUUGUCUAAAUCCAGAUUCCGUAAAAUCCAAACGUUGAUAAAAAGUUCUCCGAACAUCAGUUGCUAGGUAGCUGGACACGGCUAAUGGACUGUUUAAAGACACUUAUAACCUUUUUUUUUAUCCGUCCGUGAAAAUCACAACAAAAAUAAAUUUUGUUUUAUUGUACAUUCAUUUUUUUAAAAUCCAUCUGUGUAAAUUAUAAUACAAGUAAAUUUUUUUUUUUGUCUGAACCAGGAGGUGUUCUUGAGUGGACUUCAACUGUGGGAGGCACCUUUAAGCUCGUACCACAACCCAGACUAAUCCCCGCUCGUACCGAGUCGACCCGUAAGGGGUAAAGUACUAGCCAAAGUGGUGACUCCAUACGAGAGCGGGACUUGAACCCCUGACCUCAAUUAAAGAGUGAGAAUGCCAAACCACUCACACUAACCAACAUUGGUUACAGUACAAGUAAAUUUUUUAUUGUACAUUUAUUAUUCAAAUUUAUUUUUCUGCAAAAAAAUUAAUUUGGUAAGCACAUUUUUUCAAAUUUGUGGCAUGCGCAUAAAGUAGAGCUCGAAUCUAAAACUUGAGUCGUAGAAAGGCUUCCUUUAUGAUUGGAGCUAAAUCUAGCCUCUAACAUAGUACGUGCCCUUUCUUCAAGUAAAUUCAUGUAAAGCAAACCCUGAGAUGCAAGUAAAAUUGAAAAUGUAAGAAAAUUAACUUACAUGUUUGAGCUUAUUGGAAGCAAUCAAAGAUGAUAAAUUUUUGCUUGAAUUUCCAAUUAAGUUCGUUUCAAAGAAAUCAAUUAGUGAGAGGAUUUUUAUGUGUUCUAAUUAAUUUCUCAAAGACAAAAAAUUUAAUAAAAAGUGUAUGCCGAAAGUAAUUAUGAAGAAUGAUUUUGGUUUUUAGUGGCGCAUGGAAUCAAAGAUAUGGUCGACAUGAUGUUGACAAAAGCAUGUUAUUAAUGGCGUCUUCAAUGUAACUGCAUUUUAUAGGGCACAUUGAAUUCCACUUUAAUCUUUUAAGAAUUUAUUCUUGUGGAAUAAUUCCACUAAAAAUCUUUUAAGAAUUUUUUAUUUAAAUUGUAGAAUUUUCUUGUUAAAAUAAGUAAAGAUGGGGGAGUAAAGGUUAAAAGGCUUGGCAUUUUUUUACUUGAAUUUCCAAUUAAGUUUGUUUCAAAGAAAUCAAUGAAAGGAUUUUCAUGUGUUCUAAUUAAUUUCUCAAACAACAAUUUUAGUCUAAAGCGUGUGCCGAAAGUAAUAAUGAAGAAUGAUUUUGGUCUUUAGUGUAGAAAAGACAUGGUCUAUUUGAUGUUGACAAAAGCUAGCUUCAAUAAUCUACACAUCAAAGAAAGGAUUUCAUAUGUAUCGGAGGGUUUAUCUUUUAUAAUUAAUCACCAGCCAAAUUUUAUACAGUUAAACUUCAUAGUAGAUAAAUUAGGACCAUUCUAUUUAUCAAUUAAUUUUAAGCCAACAAUAUCAAUCGAUUAUUCUUCUGGAAGUGGGGCGGAUUACCAAAUAACAUAGAGUCUUUAACAGCAAAUAAGGAAGGAAAUCAGUCACUGAUUUGAAUUGAAUUACUUACUAUAACCACUUUCGGGCUUUGUUUUACAGUUACAGAGCAUCACUGCCUAUGCGUAUAUUUAUCUAUAUACAAUGUUAUUAAUUACUGCAGCAUCGUCAUCACAAAAGCGAAAAGCUUCUAAGCGACAAUAUUCUACUUGCAAAUUUCCAUCAUCAUUUAGAGUAAUUAAAAUAAUUAAUUGGAAAAAAAAAAGAAAAGAAAGAAAGAAACAAUCGAACAGGCAGAGGCAAAGGGUUUCAUUUCUCGUAUUUAGACAAUGAUAAAUUAAUAAUAAUAUGAGCAAAUCUUGAGAUAUGAUAUGAACGAAAAAGAAGGUUGACAUUGAAGAUAAAGAGAUCACCAUCAAAUGAUAGUCAAACAGCAUAUUAAAGAUGAUCGGUUACUACUUACCUUCUUCAUAGAAGCCUUCUCUACCAGCGUUUUCACGAACAUUUUUGCAACAAAAAUCUCCAGGGAAAACCAAUCACUUCAACUGAAGAUCCAAAACGGCAGUUUCAGAAUUUUAUUCAUUUUUAGGGAAAAAUGAAUAAAAUAUUCUUUUGGAAUAAAGAAAAAGAGCAUAUUCCAAAAUCAAUUUCUACUUAAACUUAUAGUAGUCAUGCAAAAGAGAGAUAGUGAAUGUAUAUCACUGUGCAGAAGUAAACAAAGUAUGCAAGCAUGAUGAAAUAAAGAUCAUGAUAUGUGCCUAUGAGAUUAUUAUAGAACGAACCUGCCAUAAAAAAUGAUGCAGAGACUAACCCGGAAGAAAAGGCCACCUAAGAUGUGAAUUUGCUGUUAUUUGAUUCAACUCUUCGGCAUGGCUCUUGAGGUUUGAAUCAGCCUAUGGCAGGCAAGUGAGCAAGAUAGCUUGAUGCCCUUAUCAACAUUCUUUUUCCAUGAAUCUGAAUCUUUCUGUCGAACAACAUUAAUAAGAAUGCACAUAGAAGUAAUACGGUAUUGCAUGUUAUAAAGGAAAUUAUUAAUUUUGUAAAGUACCUUAGCAAUUCUGCUUUUGCUAACUUUGUUACUGUCUAGACUGCACUCUGUUCCACAGUCGAAAUCAUUCUGCAUUUUGGCACAAUUCCAACGCAUCUUCUAUUUAACAAAAAAGAAAAAAUAAGAAUCAACCAUUGUCAAUUCUUAUCAACAAAGUCUUCAAAUUGACAUUGCGGUCUCUGUUGUUUAAAGGGGAAAAAAAUCGAUAGUUGUGAAUUCUUAUCAACCAAAAUUAAACAUGGGGGUGGAGAAAAGAAAAAUAAAAAUCAAAUGUUGAAUCCUCUUGAUUGUAUCAUGGAUAAAUCUGAUUUAGAUCUGAGUCCAUAUUUUAAGAGAUUCAUCGACCCAUUUUCAGACAUGCCAGGAAUUGUAAAUUAAGUCAAAUAUUCACAAAAAACAGAUUCUGUGUUCAGCCGCAAAUGGGCUAUUUCACGGCCAAGCAAGAAAACAAAUGAAGAAAAUUAAUUGCUUUCCACUGGUUCAAGAAUUAAUACCAUGAUUGAUUGCUUCUCUUUUGGAAGAAAUAAUUUUGAAUAAAACACAGCAUCAUUACAAAAAAUGCGAUGAUAUUUUUUCAAUAAUCAGAUGAUGAUAAUUUCUCCAUACAUUCAUUCUACGGCCUGACUCUGUUUUAUGUCUAAGGCUAAUGUGGUGCACUUGCAGCAAGAUAACCAAACCGGUAUGUGUUGGGAAAAUAUGCUCUUUAAAAGCAUAUAUGUUUAUUUAAUUGUAAUAAACUAUUUUUCUGAUUAAUAAAAUAAAUGAGGUAUUUUAUUCAAAUAUCUUAAUUGCAUUAAUACUUGUAUUAAAGUCCAUUUAAUCAUAUUAUAUGUAUUUAUGUGAUUACCAUGUGGAUUCACAGAAGACAUAAAUACAUGUUAUCUUAUGAUUAAAUAAAUUUAGUUCGCAGUUGAUAAAUAAAGUUGGGCACUUUAUUUAGGUAUAGACUGUAAUAAAUUCAUUGAAUGAUUUGUCUUAAUCAUGUAUGAAUUUAUUGAUGUAGUACGACUACAUUGAACAGGAUCACAUAUGAGAUUUAAUUAACUUUGUAAUAACUGUCAGACUUAUUAAAUCUCAUAGGCGUUGAUUUUACUGUAAUCUUAAUCUUGAGUUAAUUAUGAUUUCAUGAUUGUAAUUGUUAUUCCAUUUGAGUUACCAAUGGGCACGACACAUCCUUGUGGUCAAGAUUACCCGGUAUCUUGGUGGGAGCAAUUAUGAGUAUUGGAGUUAUAGAUUAACAAUAUAGAAUUUGUACAACACAUCUCUUCAUGGGUUUUCGGCACUUGAUCAUGGAAUUCUCUGGCCAGAGUGUGUCAACAUAUUUAGUAUGUUGAAAAUGAUCAUUAGAGAAAACCAGUAAGGAUCAAGGAAUAAGAUGUUAUUAAAUUGAUUGGACAGUUGAGAUAUCAAUUUAAUUAACGAUGUGGUACAAAGGAUUGUGCAGUAAAGAAAUCAAUGUGGCUUGGGACGAAUUAUUAUUCGAGCAUACAAUUAUGGAAGUCAGUUCCAAUCUUUUAGUGGAGUAGAUUUGGAAUUAAAUAAUUGGGCUAGUUUAAUUACAGGCCUAAUUAUUGUAGCCACUAUUGUAUGUUCCCAAAUGAUCCCCGGGUUAGCUCAUUUAAUUGACUGCACCACUACUGGACUAAUAAGUAAGAUAACUAGCUAUUUGGGUCAAAAGCCUAAAUAUAUCAUUUAGUGGGAGGCUCCAUUUAAUUAGCUUUUGUAUAAGGGGCCUUAUGUUAUUUUACAAGGUGGGUCCCCUAUUGAAAAAGCAAAUAAACGUGGGUUUUGUUUUUCAUUUAUUUGAAGCCUAGGGUUUUCACUAAAGGGUGAUAUAAAAGGCUUAUUUUUCCCUAAAGAAAAAGUGAGAAGCCACUUUAUACAGAUCAGAGAAAAAGAUUUUUCUCUCUAUUGUUGAGAGAAAAAUUUUCUCGUGCUAGUUGCUUUGGUAGUGAUAAAGGCGCCCACACGUCAAGUGCAGAUCGAACCUGAGUCAUAACCUGGAAGAUCAUUGGAGACUGUUCGUGAUCUAACAAGCGUGGUGGUGACGGAUCGUGAUCUAACAGGAGCGGUGGUGGCGGAUCGUGAUCUAGGAGCCUAAAACACUUCAGCGGAAAAAGCCAACUCGGAUUUUCAAGGUACGAUUUCUAGAAUACAAAUUCUUAUAUAUUAUAUGAGAGCGAUCUUCAAAAGGUUUUAUAAAAAAUUAAAAACCUAAUUUUUCCCCAACAAUUGGUAUCAGAGCCAUCUCAUAUUAAUAUAUAAGAAUUUCGUAUGAAAUUAAUCUUGAAAUUUAUGUAUUAGAGUGGCACAUUUUAUUCAGAUAUAUAUUAUUUGUUUAAUAUAUGAAUAAAGCAUGUUAUGGUUUGUCUUAAUUCAUGGUUAGAUGUUCUACUGUAUUUUUCGUUUGGAUCUGUAACAAGAGGGGUGGCUUAUUAUCACCAUGUUUCCCUCUUGAUUUAUUGUAAUGUAAUUAAAAUUUUGUAAGCCAAAAUUAGCAUCGGAUUAUUGUAAAUCACUGGAAAAUUGCGGAAACUUGCUGGAACCUGCAGCAACGAACCAGCACACGCAGCAGCGAGCGGCCACCAGCACACGCUGCUGCACGAGCAGCGCGCGGCCAGCAGCACAUGCUGCCAGCAGCGCGCGUUGCACACGCAGCGGCCAGCAGCCACGCUGCAAGCAGCUCGCGCUGCACAUGCAGCAACUGCAGCGCGCGUUGCAACGCUGCAAGCAGCGCUACCUGCAGCGAGCGAGCAGCAGCUGCAGCGCCCAAGCAGCAGCGCGAACGUGGGCUGGAGGCGCGGAGCGUUUUGGUUGACGUCUUUCCGGCGUUAAUGACGGCUGUCCGGUGUGGAAACAGUGAACAGCGGCUGGAUUUUUUUGGAGAUGGCGGCUGGGGAAGAGAGGAAGAAAAAUAUGGAUUUAGGGUUACAUGGUUUUUAUCAUGGAAGUCCCUAUGGUUCCAUAAUUUUUCAUUUGAGCAGAAAGUUUUUUAAUUUUUUGCAUUUAAAUCCAAAAACAGUUUUGGGUUUAAUGAAUCCUAGUUUUAGGCCCAAUUUCAAUUGGGCUUAAUGGAUUAAAAAUGCAUAGACAAAAUUAAAUACAUUAAAUUUAUUUUUGGUCCAAAAGCUUUAUUUUAAAAAAAAAUAAAAUAAAAUAAAACUAUUUAUUUAUUUAUUUCCUUUCAAAAUUAAAAUUGGACCAAUUAUAAAUUUAAAAGCCCAAUUUCCCCUAGUCCAUUAACAAAAACAAGCUUAUGGAAGAUGGACAUUGACAAGAAGCCCAAUGAAGAUUAGGCUUAGGGUUAAUGUAUUUUUCAUUAUUAGGAAAGCCAUGAAUUAAGAUUAUUUAAUUAUUUUUCUAUAUGUUAUGUUUUGGAUGAUAACAUGCCAUGAUAACAUGUCAUAUAGAAUAGGUAGUGUCACUCUAUGCAUAAUGAUACAUGUCAUUCAUUAAAUAAUGAAUUUCAUUAUAUUGUUUGAAAUUUGCAUUUGCUUAAUAAUAUUUGAUAUCAUCUAGAUAAUAUUAUAGGAAGCAUGCAAUUAACAAUAUGUAUGUUUUAAAAAGGAAAAAUCAAUUUUAAAAUAUUGAGUGGGAGAGGGAAAAUUCAAGAUAAUUUUUCCCACGGGCUCCAUUGUUAGUUCAAUAAUAAAAUUAUAUAUAUACCUCAACUUCAUGAUACGGUGAUGCUCCCUACGGAGGGUAUAUAUAUUGGAUAUUUUAUUUGAUGAACUUCUUCAAAGAUAAAAUUGAAAUAUUUUUUCAAUCGAUUGCUCGCCCCAACGGUGACUAUUGAUAUGAAAAAUACGUAGAUUGAAACAAUGGUUAUACACUCAACUAAAGUUUGUUAUUAACCUUCCCAACGAAGCUCUGUUAACAAAUUUAGGCCCAAAGGGAUAACGAUAAUUAUUUAUCAUGUCUCUACAUGAAAGUAAAUAAUCUAAUGGAUAAUUGGGUCUAGUAAGUGUAGACAUGACUUCCCCAACGGAUAGCUUGUCAAAGCGGUACUAGAUUAUCGUUACAAUAAAUUAAAAUGCAUUUAUGGUUUUUUGUAUUUUUGUCAUUUAUUGUGAAUAUUGUUUCAAAGUAUUUAUGCAUGUCUAUUUUGUUUUUUCAGAAAAUGUCUUCCAUCAACCCAUUAUUAAUUAUUCUUGUUAAAAAUGAACUCACUGGCGAAAAUUAUUUAGAUUGGAAACGCAAUCUAUUUAAUAUUCUCACUGCUAAGGGAAGCAAAUAUGUUUUGACUCAGCCUUGCCCUCCUGAACCAUCGUUAUACGAUUAUAGAAAUCAGAGGGAGCCUUAUGAGAAAUGGUGCGAAGCUAACAAAAUGGCUAAGCGCUAUAUAUUGGCUUCGAUUUCUGUGGAACUGCAUAAGAAACAUCGGAGCAUGGAAACAGCCACUGAAAUAAUGGCUAGUCUUCAUCAGAUGUUUGGGUAAAAUACCCAUUUUUCUAGAGAAGCAGCAUUGAAACGUAUUACGGAUACUAAGAUGGAAGAGGGCACAAAAGUUCGUGAUCAUGUCCUCAAAAUGAUGGACUAUUUGAAUGAGGUAGAGAUUCAUGGUGUUCAAAUCAAUGAUAAAUCAAAGAUUAACAUGGUGAUUGAAUCUUUACCUGAUACAUUCAAAGAGUUUAAGGUCAGUUAUAUCUUAAACAAUAAAGAUAUGACCUUAAUUGAAUUAAUGCACGAACUACAUGCUAUAGAAGAAUUCUAUCAUAGCAGAAAACUUCCUGAAAAAGGAUUCUCUUCAAGGCUUAAGUCGAAAGACAAGAAUGAGCAAGCAAGAGUUGGGAUCGGCAAACUGUCCACUAAAAGAAGUGGCAAGCCAAAAGGCAAGUGUUACAAAUGUGGACAGAAGGGUCGCUGGAAGAAAGAUUGUCCUAAGAUUAUUAAAAUCAGGUAUAGGAAAUCUUUAAGCUUCCUAAUUAGUUCAGAUUUCUAUUGCAUCAUACAAUAAUGAAUUCUGAGAUAACUAAUCUUAUUUGUAAUUCAUUUAUUUGGUUUUCAGGAAACCAAGAGAUUAAGUGAAGAAAGUAUCAAACAGCAGUUGAGGACAUGCUAGUUUAUAUUAAUUGAAAGACUAGAUCAAUUUUACAAGACUUUAGUUUUGAUAUUUGUCUUUAUAUUAGAGGAAUUUAAUUUCGGUGGCUUGUUUUAAUAAACAGGAGUACACUGUUAUUUUUUGGAUCCUCUAUUUAUUAUUUAUUUUGGUUAUUUAUAAAGACAAUUUAUAUCAUAGAAGUCCAUUGAUCUAUUCAAAGUAAGAUAUAAUGAUAAAAAGUAUAUGCAUUUAUCUAAGAAAAGAAAUGUUUCUUCUAACCAAAAAUCACCUCUGAUAUUUAUGCCUAAGUCAUAUAAACUAUAAUAAGAUUUUAAGAAAAUGAUUAAUGAUAGACUUGUUGGCCUAUUAAGAUUGAUCAUUGUAACUCCAUAAAUCUUAUUUAGAAAAGUAAUAUGACAAGGAUGCUCUUUUUGAGCUAAAAGCAUAACUAUGUAUUUGAUGAUUUAGCGCAUACAAAUGUAUACGGACUAAUCAGUUUACAUGUUAUAAGGGGUUAUGAGUAUUCUAUCAAUCUUGUUGAUGAAUAUUCAUUUUAUUUAUGUUUGUCUAAAUGCGUCAUGAUUCCAUUGCUUUUGAAAUUCAAAAGAGUACGUGGAUAAGACAGAAGCAAUUAGACAGGAACAUAAAAGAACUUCGAUAUGAUCGAAACAAAGAAUAUCUCUAUGGAGAAUUCAAGCACUAUUUGGUUGUCAAUGAACACUAUAAUACAAUAGUGUAAUUAAAUGAAGAAACAAGAUUCUUUUGGAUAAGACAAGAUAUAUACUAAGUGGUUUAUCAUUUACCUUUUUUGAUUCCAGAUAUUAGUAUUUAAAACUACAAAGUUUAUUGAACUUAGUUUCAUCUAUCUCGGUGUCUACUACUCCAAGAAAUUAUGAAAAAGUCACAAACAUGGUUUGAGACACAUUCAUAUUUGGAGUUUACUAGUAUUUCUACUAGAAUCAGAGAUAGACAAGAUGGAUUCGUGUUCAGAAGCUUGCAUGUUUUAGGUAUCUUAAAGGAAUAAGGGAAAGUCUGAAUUAUAGUCCUCAAGAUAGGAAUGUAUUUAUAGAAAUAUUCUUUACUUUCUUUGAGGAAGACUCUAUAAUGACUUAUAACCUAAGAGUAAGGUAAAACUAGAGAAAUAAAAGAGAUCAGGUUGAUGCUCAGCUUUCAACACCUGUUAUAGAACAGGAAGAACAGCAACAACCAGCUGAUCAGCACAGGAUUAUCCUUGAACAACCAUCACUUUUAGAACCUUGUCGUAGUGGGAGGGUAACUAGGUUACCUGCGAGAUACAUAUUUUUGGGAGAAACCUAUAUGGCUAUCUUAGAUGAACAUGUACAAAAUCCCACUAGUUACAACGAAGCUCUAAUAGAUAGAAAUGUUAAAUUUUGGAAAAAGGCCAAGAACACAUGGUAUGUAAGUUGCAGAGAUCCAUUUAUAGAUUGAAGCAAGCAUCCCGGUCAUGGAACAUCAGAUUUGAUCAAGCGAUUAAAUCACUUGGAUUCAUUCAGAACAUUGAUGAACCAUGUGUGUACAAGAAAAUUCAGGGAAAAUUUGUAGCCUUCCUAAUUCUUUGUGUAGACAAUAUUCUUCUGAUUGGAAACGAUAUAGGAGUAUUGACUACAAUAAAGAUUUUGUUAGCAAAAUAAUUUGAUAUGAAUGACCUGGGGGAGGCAAGUUAUAUUCUUGGUAUCAAGUUACUACGAGACCGGAAGAAUAAAACUUUAGCAUAGAUAGAAAUGUUAAAUUUUGGAAAAAGGCCAAGAACACAUGGUAUGUAAGUUGCAGAGAUCCAUUUAUAGAUUGAAGCAAGCAUCCCGGUCAUGGAACAUCAGAUUUGAUCAAGCGAUUAAAUCACUUGGAUUCAUUCAGAACAUUGAUGAACCAUGUGUGUACAAGAAAAUUCAGGGAAAAUUUGUAGCCUUCCUAAUUCUUUGUGUAGACAAUAUUCUUCUGAUUGGAAACGAUAUAGGAGUAUUGACUACAAUAAAGAUUUUGUUAGCAAAAUAAUUUGAUAUGAAUGACCUGGGGGAGGCAAGUUAUAUUCUUGGUAUCAAGUUACUACGAGACCGGAAGAAUAAAACUUUAGCCUUGUCUCAAGCGGUCUAUAUCGAUAAGAUAUUGGCUAGAUUUAGCAUGGAAAAUUCCAAGACUGGUUUAUUACCAUUCAGACAUGGAAUUACAUUCUCUAAGGAUCAAUCACCUAAAACAUCUGAAGAGAUAGAGAGAAAGAGACGAGUUCCCUAUGCAGACGCUGUGGGAAGUCUCGUGUAUGCCAUGCUUUGCACUAGGCCAGACAUCUGUUUUGCGGUAGGGAUGGUUAGCAGAUAUCAAUUUAAUCCUGGAUCUCUAUACUGGACUGCAGUCAAGCAUAUUAUAAAGUAUCUGAAAAGAACUAAAAAUUAUAUGCUUGUGUAUUCUGGUGAUGAACUCAUUCCAGUGGGUUAUACUGAUUCUGACUUUAUGUUAGAUAAGGAUUCCAGAAAAUCAACUUCCGGCUAUGUGUUUACAUUGGGAAGUGGAGCUAUUAGUUGGAUGAGUGUGAAACAAUCUUGUAUCACAGACUUAAUAACUAAAGCUGAAUAUGUGGCUACAUCUGAAGCUGCAAAAGAAGCUAUAUGGCUCCGCAAGUUCCUACGAAAUCUUGAGGUGGUACCUAUUGUAACUACACCCCUUAAACUAUUUAUGUGAUAAUGGUGGUGCAGUAGCUCAAUCUAAGGAACCAAGGAACCACAAGAAACAAAACAUAUUGAAAGGAAGUAUCAUCUUAUAAGGGAAUAAUGUAGAAAGGUUAUAUGACAAUACCCCAAAUGGCAUUAGAUGCUAAAUGGCAGAUCUUAUUACAAUGGCCAUUAGUGGGAAACCUUUAUAACCUGCACUUAGAGCCCUAGAGCAUGUGCAAUAUGCCAGAUAUGCUUUGAGAGCUAGUAGGAGAUUGUUGGGAAAAUAUGCUCUUUAAAAGCAUAUGUGUUUAUUUAAUUGUAAUAAACUAUUUUUCUGAUUAAUAAAAUAAAUGAGGUAUUUUAUUCAAAUAUCUUAAUUGCAUUAAUACUUGUAUUAAAGUCCAUUUAAUCAUAUUAUAUGUAUUUAUGUGAUUACCAUGUGGAUUCACAGAAAACAUAAAUACAAAUUAUCUUAUGAUUAAAUAAAUUUAGUUCGCAGUUGAUAAAUAAAGUUGGGCACUUUAUUUAGGUAUAGACUGUAAUAAAUUCAUUGAAUGAUUUGUCUUAAUCAUGUAUGAAUUUAUUGAUGUAGUACGACUACAUUGAACAGGAUCACAUAUGAGAUUUAAUUAACUUUGUAAUAACUGUCAGACUUAUUAAAUCUCAUAGGCGUUGAUUUUACUGUAAUCUUAAUCUUGAGUUAAUUAUGAUUUCAUGAUUGUAAUUGUUAUUCCAUUUGAGUUACCAAUGGGCACGACACAUCCUUGUGGUCAAGAUUACCCGGUAUCUUGGUGGGAGCAAUUAUGAGUAUUGGAGUUAUAGAUUAACAAUAUAGAAUUUGUACAACACAUCUCUUCAUGGGUUUUCGGCACUUGAUCAUGGAAUUCUCUGGCCAGAGUGUGUCAACAUAUUUAGUAUGUUGAAAAUGAUCAUUAGAGAAAACCAGUAAGGAUCAAGGAAUAAGAUGUUAUUAAAUUGAUUGGACAGUUGAGAUAUCAAUUUAAUUAACGAUGUGGUACAAAGGAUUGUGCAGUAAAGAAAUCAAUGUGGCUUGGGACGAAUUAUUAUUCGAGCAUACAAUUAUGGAAGUCAGUUCCAAUCUUUUAGUGGAGUAGAUUUGGAAUUAAAUAAUUGGGCUAGUUUAAUUACAGGCCUAAUUAUUGUAGCCACUAUUGUAUGUUCCCAAAUGAUCCCCGGGUUAGCUCAUUUAAUUGACUGCACCACUACUGGACUAAUAAGUAAGAUAACUAGCUAUUUGGGUCAAAAGCCUAAAUAUAUCAUUUAGUGGGAGGCUCCAUUUAAUUAGCUUUUGUAUAAGGGGCCUUAUGUUAUUUUACAAGGUGGGUCCCCUAUUGAAAAAGCAAAUAAACGUGGGUUUUGUUUUUCAUUUAUUUGAAGCCUAGGGUUUUCACUAAAGGGUGAUAUAAAAGGCUUAUUUUUCCCUAAAGAAAAAGUGAGAAGCCACUUUAUACAGAUCAGAGAAAAAGAUUUUUCUCUCUAUUGUUGAGAGAAAAAUUUUCUCGUGCUAGUUGCUUUGGUAGUGAUAAAGGCGCCCACACGUCAAGUGCAGAUCGAACCUGAGUCAUAACCUGGAAGAUCAUUGGAGACUGUUCGUGAUCUAACAAGCGUGGUGGUGACGGAUCGUGAUCUAACAGGAGCGGUGGUGGCGGAUCGUGAUCUAGGAGCCUAAAACACUUCAGCGGAAAAAGCCAACUCGGAUUUUCAAGGUACGAUUUCUAGAAUACAAAUUCUUAUAUAUUAUAUGAGAGCGAUCUUCAAAAGGUUUUAUAAAAAAUUAAAAACCUAAUUUUUCCCCAACACAUGCAGCAAUAAAUAAUCAAAUUCUGUCCUGUAUAUUUUUAUUUAGAAAAUUGCAAAAAAGCUAGUCGCUAGAAAAAAGUAAUUAAUUAAGUAAACACUGGCUUUGCACUUUGCACUGUGUUUGCGGUAAACUUUUGUUAAAGACAAGUAUACAUAAACUACCAAGGCACUGAAAAUAUGAAAUCAAAACAAUAUAUUGAAUCAAAACAAUACAUGUCUAUAGCGAAGGAAUCUCAAAAUCUGCUCACUAGCUAUGGCUCGUGUAGAACAAACCUUCACAAACUGACCUUGUUGGUUGAUUGCUUUUGCUUGGCAAAUCAUAGAGUUGAUGCAACACAUCAGGUGGGAUGCACGUUCCUUCAUGGGCAUAUUAUCGAACACGUCCUAGGCAUGAGAAUUAUACCAUAAUUCCCCAACAACUCCCCUCUUCAGCUGGGCCUGCAAAUUCCAUAUAAUCAUUCCAUUGUCUAUUUUUCGUUCGUUCUGAACCUAAAUCAAGCUUGCCAAUUCAUCUGAUCAUAUUCAUAUAGAUAUUUGUCUGUCUUCCUAAAAUUCAACAUUUGUCCACCAAGUAUUAGACCCAUAAAAAUUCAGAGAGGAAAUGACAAGGAAGAGGGUGAGCUCAAUAGACAGUCUCUACCUCAGACCCUGUGUUUUUUUCCAGCUGCCGCUAAUUGCUAAACACGGUUAAGAAACUUGCACACCAAUCUGGACAGCUCAUCAAUGCCACGUCACUACCCCUUAAACUGAUUUUUAACAGAUUUUUCAAUAAAUAGAAUGCAAAUGAAAUAACAUUUGAAUGCAUGGUUAGUGACAAAUUCAGAUAAUAGUAGGUAUGUAUUUGAGUUCAUCUUUGAGGUUGUGGUUCCUCAUCACCACAGCAGCCAUUCCACUGGCUUCUGUACCAAAAACAUAUUUAAUUUAUUUAUAUUAAUAAUAUAUUUAUAUUGAUUUUUAAAGUUGAUUAUUGAGGGAUUAGAAACACUUAAUACAUCCCAUCAUCAUCAUCAACAACAACAACAACAACAACAACAACAACAAAGAAAGAAAGAAAAGACUCAAGAGUAUUUGCAAAAGAUAAUUAUAAAGAGCGACUAUGGUCAACGGUGGAGAAUGGAAUCAAAGACAUUGUCAAAGGUAGCAAAAGCUUCGAUAAUCUAAACACAGAGACUUUUCUUCAAGUAUAGUUAAAUAAUAAAAUAAUAAUUUAGAUUACUUAAUGAAACAAUAAGUAUUUAUGAUAAAUAAGAUACAUGGAAUAAACUAACCUCUCCGCUUAUCAUUUUCUCUAUUGUGUUUUUUUUUUCCUCUGUCUCUCCUUCUUGUUGUUUAGUAGAUGACACAACAUUUCAUUUUGUUUAUUCAAUUUGCUAUUGGAGCAUCUUUCAGGAAAGUACAGAAAUGUAAAUAUACAGCUAAUAUUAUAUUUAUGAAUUAUUUAUAUGUACAGUACAUACUAAGUAACUAAAAUAAGACAAAUGAAAUAAUAAAAAUAAAAAUAUAAAUUAGAUAAGAUCAAAAAUAUCAUAUGAUCAAUCUCUUUCAUCACCAACAUCUAAAACAUUAUUGCUGUAACGUUAUACAUUAUGUACGAAACAGGAAUGUAAGCACAGUAGUAAUAUAAUGUUAUACAUAUCAAAAUUAUGUCUACAAAUAAAAAGUAAAUUGAAAAAAGAUUAGUGAAAUAAUAAAAAAUAUAAAUAUAAAUGAUAGAUCAAAUAUAUCAUAUGAUCCUAAUUUAAUAAAUCAAUAAUGCCUUAGUAGACAAUAUAGUUUAUGGUAGAGAAUAUUACUUAUCCUCUUAACAUUGUUUGCUCAAUAAUCUUUACUUUUGAUCCAAGCAUCUUUGAUCCAAAAAUUGGUAGAGAAUAUUACUUAUUAACGUUAUAAAUCCAUCCGCAAUUAAUAAAGGAUCACAGCAUAUUCAAAAAGCAAUUAAUUUCUAUUUAGAUUUUUAGUACUCAUGCGAAAUAGAGAAACAAGAUAUGUGCGUAUGAAAUUAUUAUGGAUUACAAGCUACUCGAUCAAAACUCGGAAUCAAAUAAUUGAAUGGGUGUCGAGCACGCUUGUGGAAAGAGUCACGGCACGAGCUCCCCUUCAUCAUCUCUAAAAAACCACACUUCAAAUAAAAAUAUUUUUUUUUCCUGCAAAUUACUUGCAUUCAUAACCAACUAUUUUUUUUAAUAGUUAUCAUUCAUGACUUCCUCUCUAUCCAAAAUAAAUUUGCUUAAAUUUAAAAUAUUAAAUUAUUCUUUUUCUAAUUUUUAUUGAUUGAACCUUAUUUUUAAAUUAAGAUUACUUUCAAAUUAUAAUUUGGAAUAUGUGUAAUGAAGUCCUAAUUAUAAUUUAAUAAGUCAUAAUUAUAAUUUAAAGUAUUUGUAAUUUAAGUCAAUGAUUUAUAUUAAAAAAUUCAUCACUGAUAAUUUGUAUAUAGGAUAGAUUGCAAAUUAACAAGAAUGUUAAAGAAAAGAAAAAUUAGAAGAGUGUAUUAAGAAAAAGGAUGUUUUUGGAAUUAAAAGUAAGAAUAACUAAAAAGAGAGAGAGAGAGAAGGUUUCAUGACAAUAUUAGAGGGGUGGCACUAGUCCAGCUCCAUACAUAGAAAUUACAAAGAAUCAACAAGAUAAUAACAAAAACACAUCCCAUACUCACAAUAUCCAAUUAGAGGGGCACCAAAUUUUUUUUGGCGAAAAUCCUCCAAUGCUCAAGUCAGUAAUUGGGUCUCUUUUAGAAAAACUUGUAUCACAAACUCAUGGCUUAAUUAUAUCAAUUGAAAGUUAGAAAUCUUAAUUCUCAAAAGAAGAAAAAUAAAUGGAGAGAAUUAUCGAGAGAGAAAAAGUCAAAGAGAGAGAAAAUAUGGAAAUAAAAAAAAAAUUGUCCAGCCCUUUUUACCUCCCAUUCUCCGUAGCUUUUAUACCCAACCUGAACCAUCGACUCCAUCUUCCCCACGAUUACUGUUGGCUUGGAAGUGAAAAGCGUGCUGUGUCUUUGAAAUCAUGGGUCAAUGGACAAUGUAACUGCCGCUGAAUGGGCUUUGUGCCCGAGUUUCUUGGAGACAAACUACGUGUUGGCCUUUGAUCAAGCCUUCGAUCUGACUCGAUUUUGGUCUCUCCUCGCAUGCCCUCAGGUCUGCUAUAUAGUACUCGUACGACCAGUAUUCAGAUUUUUUUGAUACAAGCAGUGGUCAAUAGAGUCAACUAAGAUAAAACUUAAAUUUCCCGCCCAAACAAAAACUAACAUACAUAAAGAAUUCGAAUCAUCCUUCAAUAAUAACAUAAAUAGCAACUACUGAGGCUAGUAAUUUGAUCAUUUCUGUAUUUGUCAAUGCAUUAUGGAUUCUAAGACCAGGCUCUAAAAUCAGCAAAUCCAAAAAUUGUUGAUAAUAUUACUUAGUAAGGUUACGAAUCCAUCCACAAGACAGCUGUAAAUAGUCAUAUAUCCUGACAUAUGAACUUUUUAUAUGAUUAAUAAAGGAUAAUAGCAUAUUCAAAAAUCAAUUUCUACUUAAAUUCAUAGUAGUCAUGCAAAAUAGAGAUAGUGAAUGUGUAUAUCACGGUGCAGAAGUAAACAAAGUAUGCAAGCAUGAUAAAACAAAGUUCAUGAUAUGUGCCUAUGAGAUUAUUAUAGAACGAACCUGCUAUAAAAAAAUGAUGCAGUGACUAAGCUGGAAGAAAAGGCCACCUAAGAUGUGAAUUUGCUGUUAUUUGAUUCAACUCUUCGGCAUGGCUCUUGAAGUUUGAAUCAGCCUGUGGCAGGCGAGUGAGCAAGCUGAUAUUGCUGUUGUAGAUAGCUGAAUCUUAUCAACAUUCUUCUUCCAUCUGAAUCUUGAGUGAGCAAGCCUAUGCCCUUAUCAACAUUCUUCUUCCAUGAAUCUGAAUCUUUCGGUCGAAGAUAUUGAUAGGAAUGCACAUAGGAGUAAUACGGUACUGCAUGUUCUAAAGGCAAAUAUUAAUUUUGUAAAGUACCUUAGCGAUUCUGCUUUUGCUAACUUUUUUACUGUCUCCACUGCACUCUGUUCCACAUAGUCGAAAUCAUUCUGCAUUUUGGCCCGAUUCUAACAAGACAAUCUAACUUCCAAGCUUUCAACUUUUCCCAAGGUCUCUGGCACAUUUUUAAGUUUGGAGCAACCACAGAGAUACAACGUUCUAAGAGAUCUCAAACCAUUUAUGGUACUUGGACGACUCUUGAGAUUUUUGCAAUCUUUCAAAUUCAACAAGACAUUGCCAGAAAGAAGUUCAAUAGAUGCUGGCAAUCCUCUUAUAGCAGUUCCUUCCAAAUGAAGCUCCAAGAGCUGAUCCCUGCUUGAAGUUUUCUCUGGGAACUCUCUGAAUUUCAAAGGGCUGGAGAGAUUCAAAGUUGAUAGAUAUUUUACAGCACUUAUUGUCCUUGGAAGACACUCAAGAUUUUUGCAGCCAUUCAGAGUCAACUGCGCAAGUCCAAAUAGAAGUUCAAUUGAUAAUGGCAGUUCUUUAAUAUCAGUUCCAUCCGAAAGAACUUCCCACAAUGUCUAGAAAUUCCUUCAAUUUCCAGCAACCAGAAAGAACACGUGUCUUAAGAGAUUUCAUAAAGAUCUUGCCUGGAAGAGUUGAAAGACUUGUACAACCUUUCAAAUUCAACAGAAUCAGCUUCUUUGAAGCAGAAAAAAUGAGUGAAUCUCCUGCAACCUUGUAAAUCUUUCAGAAAUCAGCUCCCCUAAAUUUGGUACUCUAGUGAAGUCUGAUUGGUCAUAUUAGAAAAGGCUUUAGCACUGACAUGCAUCUCUUUGAUGUUAAAGCGAUCAAAUAUGAUGCUUCAACUACAUCAGUUUCCUAAACACUAUAACAAAAAAUAAGUGGGAACAAAAAAAAAAUGAAACAAAGAAAAUAUUGAUAAAACUAUGCAAAGGUUUAACUAGUUAAAUAAGUGAUCAUGAUCCCAAAAUUGCAAGUUUUCAACCUAACUGAACAUUUACUUGUGCUUUGUGAUAAUACAUGGCAUAUAUCUGCUUUCUCCCACAAUCUAUUGCAGUUUCUAGGCUCCUGAUGGGAUUGCCUCCUAACAAUUUGUCUACCCCAUUUCUUGUAACUACUCAUGCAUCCACAGUCCGCUGAAAUCAUCUACAGUUAAUAGAGAUUUUUCAAUAGGACCAACAAUUUCAAUAAUUGGGUCAAAAUCACAAUAUUUGAGAAUUUUUGUCACAUAAUCUCUGUACUUCCCUUCAUAGAAACAUGCAAGAUCGAGAAAUAUUUUCUUCUCUGUUUCUUUUGACCCAUCAAAACUUAUUUGAAGUACAUCAAGAAUCUCAUUCUCAGGAUCUCCCUAUAGUCAUUGUAGUAUAAUUCUGAAAAUAUUUUCUUCUCUGCUUUGGAAAUUAAUGAUCUUCUUCUUCAUAUUUAUUCUGAAAAUUCAAAAACAUAAAUGAAAAUAAAGAGAACUGCAUGGCAUAAAACUUACAACUUUGAUUAUGUCGCAAGCAGCAUAGUAAUCAAAAUUUUUUAAAUAUCAACUACAUGUCAACGAUGCGGAAUUCCAAGGCAUCUUCUAUUAAACAAAAACAAAUAAUAAGAACCAACAGUUGUCAAUUCUUAUCAACAAAGUCUUCAAAUUGACAUUGUGAUCUGUUGUUUAACGAAAAAAAGGAAAAUCAAUUCCUAUGAACUAAGUCCUCGGACCAAAAUUAAACAUGGAGGUGGAGAAAAGAAAAAUCAAAAUCAAAUGUUGAAUCCUCUUGAUUGUUUCAUGGAUAAAUCUGAUCUAGAUCUGAGUCCAUAUUUAACAUAUUCAUCUACCCAUUUUCAGACAUACCAUGAAUUGUAAAUUAAGCCAAAGAUUCGCAAAAAGCAACAAAGAAACAAAAAACAGAUUCUAUGUUCAGCCACAAAUGGGCUAUUUCACAGCCAAGCACAAUGGUUAAGGAAGAUUGCUAGUAAACAAAUGAAGAAAAUUAAUUGCUUUUCACAGGUUCAAGAAUUAACACUAUUAUUGAUUGCUUCUCUAGUGGAAGAAAUAAUUUUGAAUAAAGCACAGCAUCAUUCCAACAAAUGUGACGAUAUUUUUUUCAUUCAUUCCAUGGCCGGACUCUGUUUUAUGUCUAAAACUCAAGAAAUUCUACAAUUCCUUCUUUCUACCACAUCAUUCACGAAACAACAAAUAAUCAAAUUCUGUCAUGUAUAUUUCUAUUUAGAAAUUUGCAAAAAGGUUAGCCGCUAGAAAAAGAAAAUAAUUGAUUAGAUAAACAUUGGGUUUGCACUGUGUUUGUGGUAAAAUUCUGUUAAAGACUAAAGACUCUCAGAAUCUGCUCACUAGCUAUGACUCAUGCAAGACAAACCUUCACGAAUUGACCUUGUUGAUUGAUUGCUUUUGCUUGGGAAACCAUAGAGUUGAUGCAACACAUCAGGUGGGAUGCACAUUCCUUCGUAGGCAUAUUAUCGAACACGUCCUAGGCACGAGAAUUAUACCAUAAUUCCUCAACAACUCCUCUCUUGAACCUGGCCUGCAAAUUCCAUAUAAUCAUUCCUUUGUCUAUUUAUCGUUUGUUCUGAGCCCAAAUCAAGCUGAGAUCGAUCAUAUUCAUAUUCAACAUAUGUGCACUAAGCAUAGUAACCUCAAUUCCGAGGUUCAAGUAUUUAAACCCAUAAAAAUUCACAGAGGAAAUGACAAGGAAGAGCGUGAGCUCAAUAAACACUCUAACUCUUCGCUCUACCACGGUUAACAAACUUGGACACGUCACUAACCCUUAACUGAUUUAUAACAGAUUUUUGAAUAAAUAGAAUGUAAAUGAAUUAUCAUGUGCAAAAUAACAUUUGAAUUUGAGAUGCGCGCGGUGAUAAAGUCAGAUAAUAGUAAAAAUAAAAUAGUCAAGAAUAAUAAAUUUAUAUUUUUUAUAUUAAUAAUAUAUUUAUAUUUAUUUUUAAAAUAUAAUAUCAAUUUUUGGCUUACUAUAGUCAAGAAUAUAAUAGUAAAAAUAAAAUAAAAUAAAAUAAAAAUUACACAAAAAAUAAAUAAGCAUGUCGAAAUUGUAAAAAGAAGUCAACUAUUAUGUGAUCACUUAAGUUAUAGUUACGUAUGAAUCAAAUUUCUACUUUAAUUGAUCUUGCACAAUUUUAUGUUAUCCUUUCUUUAAUGAAAAGAAAAUACCAUACCGAAAAUCCCAAAAUAUAUCAGAAAAUUUUACUUUCCACAUCCUGACGGGAGAGUGUACCUGAGCAAAUCUUAAAUAGAGAGGAUUUUUGUAAGUAAAUGAAUUCCAAUGAAGUACUUUGCUUUAAGAGAACUUAAGCUAAUCAGGGAAGUAUAUUUAUUUUAAGGAAAAGCAGAGGAUUUUUAUGAGUAAAUGCCUCUUAAAUUGAAAGAAAACAAAAGGAUUCAAGAGCCUACCUUUCUUGAUGAGUCCUGCAGUGGAAUGAUCGAAUGUUGGAUCACGUUAAUGGCCGAAAGAAAAUCACAAGUGGAAAACUUCCUUUUGAUCACAAUAUAAAUGCCUUCUUUCUUCAAUGGAUUGUUCAAUGUUCUCUUUUUUUCAGCAUAUGGAUAAGAGAAGAAGUUGAAGAAGCAAUUGUUUUUUUUUGUGUUGUUGGGGGAAAAAAUGUGUACUCACAUUGAGUUCCAACUCAACAAGUACCGAAAAAACUGUACAUAAAUAAUCAAAUUAGCAAAGAAGAGAACAUAAUCUCCCUCUAAUAUUGACUGAGUGAGUGAUUAGGAACACUUAAUCUAUCACAUCCAAAAAAAAAAAAGAAAAAGAAAAAAAGAAACACUUAAUACAUAAUAAUACUUAAUACAUAAUAAUGUAAGACAAACAUUCAUGGGAAGCAAUGUUGGAAUACAAAACUGCGAGAAAACUUAAUGCUUUGAGCGUGUUGGACGCACUGAAAGAUGAUGAAAAUUUACCUUGCCAAAGAUAAUUCCUCUUUAUAAAGGAGAAAUGUUCCAGUCCGGAAUUUUAAAGUGCGGGAAAGUGCAGGAAAUCUUUAAAACUGCAUGGUUUUAAAGGCUUAAACUGUAAGCCUUUAAAACCGUGCGGUUUUAAAGCUUUCCCGGACUUUCCCGCACUUUAAAAUUCAUGACCAGAAAACUACUACUUUAUAAAGAUCUUUUCAAUUUUGUUUGUUUCAAAGAAAUCAACGAGAGGAUUUCAUGCUUUCUAAUUAAUUCCUCCAAUAAAUGUAAUAAUAUAUACAUUGUAACAUAAUUUCAAUACUUAGAAAAUAUUUUAAUAUUUUACAAUCUAUUAGAUAUAUUUUAUUAUAUAACAUAAAAUUUUAUAAUAAAUAGAAUCAUAAUAUUAAAACAAGUGUAUUAAAAUUUAAAUUAUUUUGAAUAUUAUGGAAAAUAAUAAUAACAUUAGUAUGUGAGACUUUGUUAUUGUAAAAUAUAUUUAAUGCAAAUAUUUAUUUAAAAUAUCUAAAAUAAAUAAAUAUAUUAUUAAAUAAAUAUAACAAUUUAUAUAUUUAAAUUUAUUAAAAUAUUAAGUUAUUUUAAUAUUCUUAGUCUAUUGCGUAGAUUACAUUAUUUAUGUAAUAUUUCUAUUUAUUAAAAAUUUUAAAUUCAAUUUUUUAAAUGACAUAAUGGUCAAAAAGGGGUCUUAGUGUCCCUUUUUUAAAAGUUGUGGGUGUUGGUGACAAUUUCUUCAAAUUUAGGGGUUUACAUGUCCCUUUUCCUUAAAAGAAAGAAUAAUUAAAAAAAAAUGGGUAAAAGCUCGUUUAGUCCCUAUAUUUUGAAGUUAAUGUCCGUUUAGUCCCUAUAUUUUUAAAAAUACUUCAAAGCAUCCCUAUCAUUAAAUUAUUGACAUUCUUGCCAUUAUCUUUUGUUCAUUUUGACUUAUUUUUACAAUAUUACCCUAUUACAAUAAUGUUCCUUUUUUUAAACAUUAUUAAAAAGAAAAAUUAAAUUAUCAGUUUAACACUAAAAAAUAAAAUAAAAACAAUAUAUACAUUAAUUUUUGUGGAACACUCUGCUGAGAAGUUAAAAUAUUAAUUUUUAAAAAAAAUUGAUAUCUUAAUUUUUUACAAAAUUAAAUUUUUUUGGACACACAUGAGCUUCCACAAAAAUUAAUAUAUAUCUUUUUUGUUUUUUAUUUUAUUUUUGGGUUUAAUUUGAUAAUCCAAUUUUUUUAUUUAUAUCUAAAAAAGAAACAUUACUGUAAGAGUGUAAAAUUGUAAAAGCAUGCUAAAAAAAUAAAAAAUAAUGGCAUAAGUGUCAAUAUUUAAUAGUAAGGACGUUUUGAGGUAUUCUUAAAAAUAUAGGGAUUAAAUGGGCACUAAACUCAUAAUAUAGGACCAAACAAGCUUUUACCCAAAAAAAAAGUCUAAUGAGAAUAUUAGAGGGGUGGCAAUAAUCCAACUCCGUGAAAAAGAAUCAACAAGAAAAUAAUAAAAGAUAUUUUUGAAAUUAACUCACGCAUCCGUUAAAGAUCAAGACAAGAACUUAAGUCUUAGAAAAGCUUAGCUGUGAAGCUAGACCUCAACUUCAUGUGAAAUUUAAAGUAAAUUUUCACAAAUAAAAAGUAAAUGAAAUACCAUAUGCAAAUUUAAAGAACAUAAAUUGAAAUUGGGAUGCGUACUCUCACUGUUACACCAGGCCUUACCCUUCAUUUGAGUUGUUUAAAUCUUUUAGGUGGUUGUUCGUCAUCAUCAUCACAGCAGGCAGCAGCCACUGCCACUGGCUUCAGCUGCCACUGCAUUUUCUGCAAGGCUUCGCUUUGAUGUUGUGGCUACUUCCAUUUUUGAUCCAACAAAAUUAUGAUGGGAUUCAUUCAUAUUUGAACGUCAUAGUGAAUGCUUAGGGACAUGAAAAACAAAGCAAAUAGCAUAUCCCACAACCUUCUUUGUAUUAUACAAAUAUGAAGGCCUUGUGACUGUUUUUGAAGAACCCUCAUUCUGAUACAUGAACCACUUUGGAAUUUCACUUCCUGGAACAACGAUGUGCAAACGAUGGCUUGGAUCUGACAUUGCCUGCAACAAAUGGGCUAUUUCACAGCCAAGCAAGAAAACAAAUGAAGAAAAUUAAUUGCUUUCCACUGGUUCAAGAACUGACACCAUUAUUGAUUGCUUCUCUAUUAGAAGAAAUGAUUUUGAAAAAAGCAGAGCAUCAUUAAAACAAACGUGAUGAUAUUUUUUCAGUCAAUAUUAAAUUAAUAUUUUAUUGAAUUUUCUACGUGAAAAAAAAAAAAUUGUGGCAAUAGAUGUAUCAUAAAGUUGCAGCAUAAUUGACUUUAUUGAUUAACUGGGAAAUCAUAAAGUUGAUUUUGUUGACUGUUUGAUUCUGAUUGCUUAGGAAAUCACAAAGUUACAGCAACAGAUGCAUCAUGUCGUUGCUCUCCAACAGGUUAAAAAUUUAUUUAGUCCUUAUAUUAUGAGGUUAGUGUUCAUUUAGUUCUUAUAUUUUUAAAAAUACCUCAAAACGUCCCUGAUGUUAAAUAUUGGCCCUCUUGCCAUUAUUUUUAUUAUUAUUUUAGCUUGUUUUUACAAUAUUACACUUAGUAAUAUUUCUUUUUUGGAUAUUAAUAAAAAAUUAAACUAUCAAAUUGAACCCAAAAAUAAAAUAAGACAAAAAAGAUAUCUAUUAAUUUUUGUUAAAGCUCACGUAUGUCCAAAAAAAUUAAUAUUGUAAAAAAUUAAAUUAUCAAUUUUUUAGAAAAAUUAAUAUUUUAACUCCUCAGCAAAGUGUUCUACAAAAAUUAAUGUAUUUUUUGUUUUUAUUUUAUUUUUUGUGCUAAACUAGUAAUUUAAUUUUUUUUAAUAAUGUCUAAAAAAAGAAACAUUAUUGUAAUAUGAUAAUAUUGUAAAAACAAGUAAAAAGGAACAAAAGGAAGUGGUAAGGGUGUCAAUAAUUUAAUAGAAAGGAUGCUUUGAUGUAUUUUUAAAAAUAUAGGGACUAAACGGACACUAACUUCAAAAUUUAGGUACUAAACAAGAUUUUACCCCUCUCCAACAUACCAGGUGGAUGCAUUCCUUCUUGGGUAUUUUAUCAAACAUGUUCUGGGCAUGCUCUUGACCUGCAAUUCUAUAUUAAAAGACGAACGAGGCCGGCCCUGGGUCAAUUGUUUUAAAGUUUUUUAUUUUGUGAUCAAUUACUUUUAAAUAAAUCCAAAAUAAAAAUUCAUUUUUUUAUUAUUUAGUCUAAUAAUAGCAAUCUGAUUUCCUCUCUGUAAUUUUUAUUUUAGGAUGCCAUCUAGUUGAGAUACUAUACUUAUUAUGUUGAAAACAAGAUAUUCGGAAUUCUAAAAUAAAAAUUACUUUUUUUUGUUUAUUUAUUCUAAUGUUAUGUUUGUACUUAUUUUAAAAUUUAAAAUCAAUUUUAAUAUUACUAUAAUUAAAAGGUAUAAUAGCCAAAAAAAGAUAUUAUAAUGGAAAAAGGAUAUCUACACCCCCAAAGUUUAGAGAAAUAAUCAUUGACAGCCACACAUUUUUAAAAUGGAACACCAAGACCAUCUUUUAACAAUAAUACCCUUUAACCUCUAUUAUCCAAAAAACAAUCAACUCUAAUGUUUUAUAAUAAAUAGAAAUAUAACAUUAAAAUAAAUGUAAUAAUGUAUAUGUUGUAAAUUAAUUUCAAUACUUCAAAAAUAUUUUAAUAUUUUGCAAUCUAUUAGAUAUAUUUUAGUAUAUAAAAUUAAAUUUUAUAAUAAAUAGAAUCAUAAUGUUAAAACAAGUGUAUUAAAAUUUAAAUUAUCUUGAAUAUUAUGUAAAAUAGUAAUAACAUUAGUAUGUGAGUUUUUUUAUUGUAAAAUAUAUUUAAUGCAAAUAUUUAUUUAAAAUAUCUAAAAUAAAUAAAUAAAUAUUAUUAAAUAAAUAUAACAAUUUAUAUAUUUAAAUGUAUUAAAAUAUUAAACUAUUUUAAUAUUCUUAGUCUAUUGCGUAGAUUACAUUAUUUAUAUAAUAUUUCUAUUUUUAAAUGGUCAAAAAGGGGUCUUGGUGUCUUUUUUUAAAAAAAGUUGGGGGUGUUGGUGAACAUUUCCUCAAAUCUGGGGGGUGUGGAUGUCGUUUUUCCUAUUAUAAUUGCUAUAUUAGAAUGAGAGAAAUAAAAAACCAACAAGUACAUAUUAAUGAUACGAAAGUUUUCAGAUUACAUAAUUCAAAUGAAUAUAUAGUUUAUCAAGAAAUCAAAAAUCCAAGUUGGAUUGCAAUUUCAAUUAGCUAAUAGCGAAACAUGAACAUAAUACUAAGCAUGAGUAUAAAAGGGCUUUGCUCUUUAUUAGAUUUCUUAAAUUCUUGUAGCAUGAGGUUCUUCAUCAUCAGUAAGGCUUCGCUCAAAAAGAAAAAAAGAAAAAAUCAAAACACAAACACAAUAUCUAGAGAUGUUUAGAGAGAAAAUUGCAAGCAACAGAAUGGGCAUCAUACAAUAUACCUCAUCGGUCAUCAGCUUAUUAUGGGUUUGUAAUAAUUUCCCGCCCUUUCUAACCGAUUUAACAGCUACAUGCUGACACUAAUGCUCUUCAAAACGACAGUAUUUUCAGGUCGUUUGAUCAUUAUGUAUAAGUGAGUGCACGUGACCAACGCGUGCACUCACUUACUAAGUUUAGACGACUUGAGCCAGACGUCGUACACGAGUCCUCUAGGAGUAAUCGAGAGAUCGUAUGCAAAGAAACAUCAAUUCAUACUAUCAUUUAUUAUUCAGCCCACAUUGCGUCUGGUCUGGGAAUUAGAUUCUGGUUCAUUCUUGAACAAUAGGCAUAAGUGGCAACUAUCACUUGGGAUUUCUCCUCCUUCCACUGGUAGAUUACAGUCACUGAGAUCCCAUUUUGUUAAAGAACAUAAGCCUGAUAGAGAAGGUAACAUCAAAUUAGUCAUGGGAUCUAAACUCCUUCACAUCAUAUUGGUAGGGAAGCACAAAUCCCAUGAUGUAGAUGAUAGUGGUCCACUGGUUUAAGAUUCUUCAAGAUAGAAACAGACGUCGGAAGUUGCCUAAUUGCUGUUCCACUAAUAUCAAGCUCUUCCAAGCUAUCUACUUUCCCCAAGUUCUCUGGCACAUUUUCAAGUGUGGAGCAGCCAGAGAGAUUCAGAAUUUUAAGAGAUUUCAAACCACUGAUGGGACUUAGAAGACACUCGAGAUUUUGCCAAUCUUUAAAAUUCAACACAACAAGGCCAGUUAGAUAUUCAACUGACAAUGGCAAUUCUCGAAUAGCAGUUCCAUCUAAAAUGAGCAUAGUUAGAGAUUUUAAACUUCCCCAAAACUUUUCCAGCUUCGAGCAACCAGAGAGCGUUAGAGUUCUUAAACAUUUUAAUCUACUUAUAGUAAUUGGAAGACUCAAGAGAUAUUUACAACCUUUUAAAUUUUGCAAAAAAUGCCAGAGAGAUAUUCAAUUGACAUUGGCAAUCCUCUUAUAGCGGUUCCCAACAAUCGAAGCGCCAACAGAUGUUCCAUACGUCCCAUGAUCUCUGGAAACAAUCUGAAUUUCAAAAGGCCAGAGAAAUUCAAAGUGGAAGGAAAUUUUAGAGCACUUAUGAAAUUUGGAAGACACUCAAUAUUUUUACAACCUUUCAAAUUCAACUAAACAAUUCCAGAUAAAAGUACAAUUGAUAAUAGUAGUCCCUUAAUAUCAGUUCCAUCCAAAAGAAGCUGCCGCAAAAACUUCAUAUUUCCCACAAUCUCUGGAAAUUUCUUCAACUUUGAGCAACCAGAAAGUACCAAUGUUUUUGGAGAUUUCAUAAAAAUUAACCUUAAGUUCUGAAAAGUCAUAUACCAUGCAUUCGACUACUUCAGUUCCUUACAAAUCAUAAAAGCAGAUGAUAAGUGCAGACUAGGAUGUGAAGAUGUCCAUAAAAUUAUUUAUGCAUAGAUUUAAAGCAUAGAAUGUCAAGCAAAACAAAUGUUUGAUAGAAUGAGCAAUAUGCUCAAUGAAAUGCCUCUAUGAGUCAAGCAUGUCAGAUGACUCAUAAGAGUGAUUCAGCAAGAGAUGAGAAUAAUUUGGAAUAGUCAUGAAGAUAAGAUCAAAGAUUGAAUUAAGCAAAUGUGGGCAGACCUUUCUCAGGGCACAAAGUCGUUUCCUUCGUAUCAAUGUAACGAUGACCAAAGGAUCUCCUUAAAAGCCUACAUUGUGAAAUUGAUAGCUUGGGCAAAGGAAAACAUUUUGUACGUGUAUCAUUAAAAAAAUGAAUAAAAUGUAGGCUGCAUUACAGAAUAUGUUUUACUUUGCAUUAUAUAAUGAUAGCAAUUUUAUACUUCAUUUCUUGACUUUUAGAAUCACGAACUCAAAAUACAUGCAUUGCACUUUGUCACUUACCCUUUUUUUUGUUAACACAUGAUGUACAUCUGUUAUGUUCCACAAUCUGCUGCUGUUGUUCAGCUAAUGUUCUUACAACAUUAGCUGAUUGGUUUACAACACUUUCGACAGCUACACAUAUCCUUUCCCUGGCUGAUUGGUUUUGAAGGCUUUCAUACAAAGAAGUCCAAGAGCUUCAUCAUAGUAUAGUUGCUUAAGGACCAACAAUUCGUCCACUCUAUGUGUUGUCAACGAUGCUUAUCUCUAGAUGUUAUGAUGAUCCUGCUGCCUGAACUUUCUAGCUAACCUUUUUGUGUCGUAGCCCACUUCGAAUUAUGUUGAUAACAUUAUAUACAUUCCAUUUUGUUAGGAAAUCUGACCUCUUUUUUCUGAGGUUUAUCUAACGUUGGCAAGAAAACUACUUACUUCAAAUUCAUGAUAGAUCAAGUUAUAAACAACCUUUGCAAGAGCUGCCUUACCUAUACCUCCGAUAUCACAGAUCCCUAUCAUACGAAUAUCAUUAGGCCCUUUAUCCAUUAGAAUCGUUAGCUUCUCCAAGUGUGAAUCCAUUCCUACUAGCUCUUUAAGAGUCUCUGAUUUUAAAGGAAUUUUGCUUGAUAUCUCAUUGACAAUCUCCAUAAUAAAGUCUGAUUCAUUCCUGCGGGUUGAGUAGAACAAGAAAAGAUUUGUGUUGGUGAGCUAAAGCUAGUGUGAGCGUAACGUAGUGUCAAAAAAUUAGAUAAUAUAGAUCUACAAAACGGAAGUGAUAAAGUCAUAACUUGUGUUUGAUUAAUCUCUAGGUUAUUCUUCAUGUAACUCUUCUCUAAUUUCGUCUAUAACUCUUCGUAUGUAGAUAUUCAUUGAUCAAGUUAUUAUUUCAAUUAAAUCCUAUGAUUUUAACAAAUUCUUAUACAUUUAUUCUAUUGUCUCUCCCUGUUCUUAUGCCUAAAACUUGAUAAAUUCUAGAAUCCCUCUGCUCUACCACAUCAUUCACCCAACAACAUAGUAUAAAAUCUUGUCAUGUAAAGUUUAUUGGAAAAUUGUAGGUAAGUUGGUUGUUUCAAUAACGAGAUGAAUAUGAACGCUAUUUUGGUAAAAUCUUAUUGUUGAUACAAAUAUGCACAUGCACAUGCACACACUGAACAUGAAACUAGUAAAUAAAUAUACUGAAUAAAUAUUGGCAGUUUUUUAAUAGUGGAGAAAUCCAGACAUCUUCUCACUUAUUAUGAUUCAUGCAGAACAAACAAAAAUUAGUUGAUCCACAUCUUAGAAAAUUAAUCAUUGAGAAUAAGAAUGAUUACCUAUCUUUCAAUUCCUAGCCAAAGAUAUUAGCCACCUCUUGCAGAGCGCCUCUCCAUUUUUGCACCUUUUCUAUAUUCUCCUUCAAGAACUUCUUCAUGAUUAGCAAUCGCUUCUUGAAAACUUCCUAUAUGUUUCCUUACCACUGUUGGUUCAACAUCAUAGAAAAUUGGAAAAACCAAUUGUUGGCGAACAUGACGUGUUCUUCCAUUCAACAAUCUUAACAAGUUCAUCCAAGCACCAAGUUGAAGAAGCACAGUUUCUUGAGAAGACAAUAACUGAAAUUCUUGAUUCUUCAAUUACUUUAGACAGUGUUGGUGAAAUGGAUAUUCCCCUUUCACGUUCUUUUUCAUCACUGAAUACAUUAAUUCCAGUUUUAUUCAAAGUGGACUAGAGGUGAUCUGAAAAGUUCUUGCAGUGCGGGUGUCUUGUCUUCACCUCUGAAGCUCAAGCAGACAUGGUAGUUCCUGGGAUGCUCAUGAUGCAAGCAAUUGACUCCACAACCUCUUAUUGCAAUAAGUAACUGGCUGUUAAAUAAUCGUACUUCAGCAAACGAAAAUAAAAUACCAGCAAGUAAAUUGAAACAGUGGAAAACACCCAGAGUAUACCAGUAAAGUGGCAACAGUUUUGGUUCUUGGCAACAAGAGAAAAAAAAAAUUCUCAUUCAACUGCUUUAAUUGAAUUUCUUAUGUGAAUAAAUUGUAGCAACAGAUGUAUCGUCUCAUUGUUCAACAUAUCAGGUGGGAUGCAUUCCUUCUUGGGCAUUUUAUCGAACAUAAUUUCUCAAAAAUUCCUUCCUUAAACUUAGCUUGCAAUUCCAUAUAAGGUGAGAUCGAUCAUCUACAUAUUUGUUUUUCAUCCUUCCAAUGCUUGAAUUUCUUCGAAAAUCCCUGCGAUAUAAUUUACUUGAUCUAGGUUGUUCUAACUUUUUUUCCUUUUUUUUUUUUGAUGAAUCCUCACCAAAGUGAGGAGGUUUUAUUAAAAUAAAAUAAAAAUAUAGCAAGAAAACCAGCCAAACUAAAAUUACAAAAGCUAGCUGAACAGAUAGCUAGGCAGCCUAAAAACAUCCUCAUGCAAAAGAGAAGCAACAUGAAGGGUGCAGAGUCCCACCAAGUAAAGGAAUCCACCAUGGCACCUAAAUUGCUCAAACAAUCAGCUACCCUAUCAGCCUCCCUGAAGACACGAGAAAAGCGCAACGUCAUGGAAUCCAUGAGAGCAAAACAAUUAUUCCAUCGAUGAAUAAGAAACCAUGGGUGGAAGCCGCUUGUUACAAAGAUGAAGCACAGUUAAAGCAGAUUCACAUUUGAUCCAUGACGUAGUCCAACAUUCAAAAGAAGCAUGCUCAAUCGCCAAGAUAACAGCAAACAGUUCAGCAACAAAAGCCGUUUCAACAUGUAAUGGACAAGAGAAAUCCCCCAGAAAUUCUCCCUCACAGUUUCUGAACACAGCCCCACAAGCGAAAACAUGCAAAGAACCUUCAGCGAUUUUUGACUAUAAACGUAAGCAGAUUUUUAAUUUUAAUAUACGCAUUAAUGAUUUAACUAAUUUUAUGUAUGUAUUUAUAUUUUUAAUUUUUUCUCAUUCCUUUUUAUGUAAGAGUGAGUUGAGGCUCGACCCCAAUUCGGCCUUUAAACUAAGACCUUGUUCCUUAUACAUGGGCCCAAAUGGGCUUGGGUCAUUUAUUUCAAGAGUAGCCUUUUGACAUCCCUUAAAAUUUCUUAUAAAACUCAUUUUCUAUUAAAACUACUUGAAUAACUAUAAAUAAAUAAUUUUUUUUAAAUUUUAAAUGGGAUUUCAAUUAAACACUUAAAUAAAUUAAGGUUUUAAUAAAUAAUUUACACCCACAUCAUUUCAUAAUUUAUAUCUAUAUUUAUGAGAAGAUAUUUAAUUUUAAUAAAUGAGUUUAUAUUUUAUAAAUUAAAUAAGAAGUAUUUUUGGAAAUAAAAUUCAAUAAGUGGUGUUGUCUAUUAUGUUUCAGAUAGAUCACCAAAACUAUUGGUGUGUUAAAACUUCACUUACUUUCAAAUCUUAUUGAAGACAAUAUGAAUUUGAUCCAACUUAAUGCUAGUUAAUAUGUUGGUUUAAUGCCUAUGUUGGGGGUGUCAAUGCCUUUGCAUUCAACCAUUUCAACUAUAGACAAUAGAUCUAUGCUGUAUUUUCUUUGUGAUAAAUAUACACAAUGUGCGUCUUGCAACACUUUAAUUCCAAGGAAAUAAGAUAAUAUUCCUAGGUCUUUUAAGGCAAAUGCUUUCCUAAACUGAAUUAUAAAACUUUUUAACUUUAUAGUACUUGGACUUGUAAUGAGUGUUUCUUCUUAUGAAAAGAGAGGUAUCCAAAUUAGUAUUAAUAAAACCCUAAUGGAAUAAACAGCUUUUUAGCUUAUCAAACUAAGCUCUAGGAACUUGUUUGAGUCUCUAUAGACAUUUGUACAAUUUGCACACAAACUCAGGUUUCUCAGCAUUAAUAAAGCCUUUCGGCUGACGCAUGAAUACUUCCCUAGUUAACUCUCCAUUAAAAAAGGCAUUGUUAACAUUAAUUGCCUUAUUUUCCAUUAGUUCAUCACUCCUAGGCUCAGUACCACUCUAAUAAUAGCUAAUUUAACCACUUGACUGAAUGUGUUAAAGUAAUUCACCCCUGCCACUUGCUAAAAUCCUUUAGCAAUAAGCCUGGAUUUAUACUUAGCUACAUUUCCAUCUUUGUUAUACUUGAUCCUUUACACCCAUUUAUUGUCAGCAACAUGAUGACCAGCUUGUCUUGGAAUUAAUGUCCAUGUAUUAUUCUUAACCAAAGCAUUAUAUUCUUCUUUCAUAGCUUGCAGCCCUCUGGAGUCAUCUAAUGCCUCUUGUACAUUAUCAGGUUCUUUAUGAAUGAGAGCAACAGUUGUUGUAUCUUUUUUUUUUGUUUUGUUUAUUCAAUAACAAAAAAACUGAUGUUAGAGCAUCUUCCAGGAAAUUAUAUACGAAAACGGAAACAUAAGUACAAUCAUAUUAUAUUCUUAAAUUAUGUCUACGAAUACAAAGUAAAUUAAAAUAAGAUUAGUGAAAUAAUAAAAAUGUAAAUAUUAAUGAUAGAUAAAAAAAAAUAGCAUAUGAUAGUAAUGCCUUACUAAACAAUAUUAUAGUAGAUGGCAAGUCUAGCUAUUUGAAGAGAACUUUAAAACCAUAGGCAUCUAAAAAAUUACCGAAAAUAAACUUUAUUAUACGCUAAUUAUUCCGUGCCAUUUUCCUGAGCACUUUUGUAUAUUUUAGAAAUGCAUACUUAAACAAUCUGAUCAAGUAUGAAAGCAUUUUCGAUUCAUGGAAGGUAACAACUUUGAAGAUGAUAUUUUGGUUUUGUGGUAAUUUAACAUAUAUGAAAUAAAAAUUGCCAACUGAAAUUGAUGAUGCAUGCUUACUGAAAUAUUCAGAGAAUAGUAAGCAGGCUUCUCCCUUUAUUUGAGUUUACUAAAUGGAUUCUUGAGGUUGUGGUUCCUGAUCACCUCAACAUAUGCAGUAAGGCUUCGCCUUGACGUUGUUGCUACAACCAUCUUUGAUGCAAAAAAAUUUGAGGGGAUGCAUUCAUAUUAUAAUUGGUAAAGCGAUUCCAUUGGAUUGUAGUUUUGUCAAACUCCUCCAUAUAAACUAGUGGAUAUCACACCUCUCACCUCCGAUCCUGGCAAGAACACACCCCUGAGAAGUUACAGAAUUUAUGAUUACAGUCCACAAAGCAUUUGUACUUUUCAUGGGAAUGAAUGGAAAAAAUAUUAUCUAUUUAUUACAGUCCACCGCAUGGUUUUAAAGUUUUUCCGGACUUUCCCACACUUUAAAAUUCUGGAUCAGAAAACUACCCUAUUUGGCAAUGACACAGUCCACAAAGCAUUUAUACUUUUCUUUGGCUACUAACACAUGAUAGAUUGAAAACGAAAACGAAGCUAAUGAGGAGGCAUAUUCCAAUAGGCAUUAUAUAUGAUCAUUAUGUUUUUUCGGUGAAGGAUAUGUUGCAUGUUCUUAGGGAUUGGAUCGUGGAAAAAAGACUUUGGAACCGAUUCCUCCCUGUGGCACAAUGCCAUCAAUUCUUUUCUCUUAAUCUAAAGGAAUUGACUUGUCAAAAUCUAUUGAGUAAAAGGCUGUUGGGUUCAAAUUUGAAGUGGAGUACUUUAUUUAGAGUACUUUGUUUGGAACUUUGCAAGUUCGUUAGUGAACAUCAAGCUUGCUUGGCAUUGUUAAAGUUUUGGAAAUAUGAUGGGUGACCUUCAAGUAGUUGGAAGAGUUAAAAAGCUCGACAAGAAAAAUUACAAUACGUGGGCAACAUUGAUGGAGUCUUGCUUACAAGGUCAAGAUCUCUAGGAGAUUGUUUGUGGUAACAAUAUGAGACCACUAACUGAGGAUGCCGCUUUAAAGAAGUGAAGCAUUAUAGCUGGAAGGCCAUGUUCGCCAUCAAGACUACAAUUGAAGAAGAAAUGCUGCAACACAUAAAAAAGGUUAAAAUACCUAAGAAAACUUGGGAUACUUCUACAAUGAGUUUUUCAAAGAAGAAUAACAUAUGGCUACAACUUUUGAAAAAUGAGCUACUAUCAAUUUUAUAAUGAAACAUGAUGAUUGACGAGUACUUAAACAAGUUAAAAUUCCGAUACCAUAAAAUUUCUAGGUUAGAUUCUACUGCUGUAAUUUCUAAAUUUAGAAUAAAGAGAAUUAUUGUCAAUGGUUUGAGGCUUAAGCUUAAGAGCUUUGUUACAACUAUCUAAGGUUGUCCAACUCAACCAACCAUUGAGAAUUUUGAAAACUUACUUACUGAUCAAGAAGUAAUUGACAAGCAAUUGAGUGGGGCCUUAGUAAUGGAUGAUGAGGAAAUGUUAUUUAUUGAUAACCCUACUAGAAAAAUGACUUUUACUAAUAUUAAGUUGCUGAUACUAAAUAAAAAAUAUCAAUAUUUGAUGACUUAAUUAACUUUUAGUGUGUUUUACAUAUUAAUGCCGGUGGUUAUUAAUAAUAUAGUAUCAUAAACUCUUACUGAUACUAAGAUAUAUAUUUUUAAUUUUAAUUUUAAUUUUUCUUAUUUCACACGACGUGGUUUUACUUUUAAAAUUAGGGUAUCUUAAAUUCUAACACUUGAGAAAUUUUUUGGCCUUAACGAAAGUACUAUUCCCUCUUCAUCUUGCCUCUCUCCCAAAUCCUUCCUACUCAUUUGAAGAAACCCUAAAUUGAAACAAAGCAAAUCACCCAGCCUUUUCAGUCUUAACAAAACAAUUACUCUCAGUCUCCCAACAAAGUAAAAUCAUCCUAGUUUUACUUUAUGAAGCGUAUGGGUCUUGAUUCUUCGGUCACCACCGAAGACAACCAAAGGAUAAAAAAAGUCAAACAAGAUGAGGAGGAAUAAGAAAGAGGAAGAGCAAGUCAAAGAAACUAGCUUCACAAAUCUAUAUGAGAACUCCCUGUUCGAGGUGUUGAAACACGCGGACACCAGGACUUCGUUGCAGGCGGCCUUGCGUCAACAAGCUAUGGCACAAGACACUCAAAAUGAGCACCUUUGGAAGUUAAUUUGCACCCACCACUUCGCUAACGUUGGGUGCGCUACCCAACAGCUCAGAUCUGUAGUCCUGGCUCUUGGUGGCUCCCGUCGCCUUCACUCCCUCUAUCUCGGUGGCUCCCGUCGCUUUCUCUCUCUGCCAUUCUUUCUCUCACAGUCGAAACCAAAACUCAAAUCCCUAACUCCCCAGCCACAAAACCUCUCAUUUGCCUCAAAACAAAACAAAAUCAAUCUGUACUCCUCUCUGAUUAUUCGAAAGUUAGAAGCACCUUCAAUAGUUCUCUCUGAAAAGCCAUUCACCUUAAAUAGUUCUUUCUAAUUUUCUCUUAAUUUCGACUGUGAUUUUAUUGUUUCUAUAGCUGUAGUUUGAUUAAUUUUGAUAAAUUUUGCUUGAUUUGAUGGAAAGCAUGAUUUAUUACAUGUCUGCUUGAGAUAAGCCGGUUAGUAAUUUUUUUAAAAAUAAUUAUAUGUAAUAUUUGUUUUGAUUCGCAUAUCGUAAACACGAUGUUAUUGUCUACUAACUAAUUAUAGACUUCGAUUUACAUUCACCUAAAUAGGAUAUGAUUAUGUAUCCUUUUUUUUUUUUUUGGCUGUUUGCUGAUUGUGUUAUUUAUAGUGUUGUUAUUGGCGGUUUAUAUGGUGAGUAGGGCAGUAUUUUAAUUGAAACAAUUAAAGAUAUGGGGAAUUAUUAGGUAGAAAGUGGCUGCAGGAGGAGGUUCUUCUAUUUCAGUGUGCCUAAAUAGUAUUCAUUUUGCCCCCUUUUUUUUUUUACUGCUGACUAUUGUUCCUUGUGAAUGCGUUUCUAAUCCAGAGACUUCGCCCUGUGGUAUCCACUUUGAGAAACUACUCAUCUGCAACUAAACAGGUAAUUGUGCCUUUUAUAACUUAUUACUUGUAAUGCACUGAUUUUGGCUGUAUGAUGAUUGUAUUCUUCUAUAUGUAUAGGCUUUUAUUAUUAUUAUUAGUGAAUCAGCUGAAUGCUUAAGAAAUUCUAAUACUAAUAGUUAUGUUCUUCAUUAUACUUACUAUGUAUGGAUUUUGAUGCAUUUUAAGAAGAAUAUGAAAUUAAAUAUUUGACUGUAGGGACAACAAAUAUGUUCGAGCUUUUAUUAGUAUAAUAGUAUGUGAAUUAAAAAUAUUAUAAUUUGAACAAACUCCGAAGCUUUGAAACUAUGCACUUUCAUGUUGCUAUUUGUGACAGUGGAUUUUGAUUGCUCUUUGUUAGCGACUCGCUUUUACUUGUUUGAUAAUGUUUAUAAUUCGUCCAUCUCAUUAUACUUGAAAGUUGGUGAUUCUAUGUAAUUUAUAAAUCCAACCGGUAUCUUUUUAUUUAAAUCGGUAGGCCAGAAGCAAAGCAAUCUUUUUAUGCAUUGGCUGUAUUAGUAAAUCACAUAGAUAAAAUCACAGGGUUUAUAUUGUUAUUUAUUUCUUUUCUGUUUGCAGGAAAAUUCCAAGGGAUUUGACAGAGGCAUCACUAUCUGGUGCAGGAUUAUCCAUAAUAGCAGCCCUUUCUAUGUUGUUUUUAUUUGGAAUGGUAGGUUGCCGCUUGCAUAGUUGUGCCUCUUUUGUCGGAUAUCAUGGGUGCAUUUUGCAUAUUCAGUGUAUAUUAUCGUCCACCUGGAUUGUUUGUGUAACAUGAUGCUUUCAUGGAGUUCUAUUUGGCUUUUCAUUGUUUCUAGAACAGAUUAAAUUUAACAAAAACUAUUCGCAAUUUUUCUAUAGGACCUGAUUUAAGACCCACUGGUUCUGAAUUCCACUCAAUGCUUGUUAUACAUUCGCUUAAGCAUGGAGAGGAAGCUGAUGAUGAUUCUGUUGAAGGUUCUCAUACGCUACCUGCCAAUAAUUUUGAUAGUUAUUCACACGAGUAAGUGAGCCUUCUCUGAACCACAACUUAUAAUUUUUAUUUUCAAUUCUGUGAUCACAAUAUUUCUCUGCUAUGUGGCAAUUGCAAUGAUGCCUUCUUUGAUUUGUAU